This 90648-nucleotide long non-coding RNA is filed under the name Hordeum vulgare. Its description in RNAcentral is "long non-coding RNA (HVUL_LNC009180)". Lineage: Eukaryota; Viridiplantae; Streptophyta; Magnoliopsida; Poales; Poaceae. The record is from RNAcentral.
CCUCCUCCUAUGCAGCAAGAGAUGGUGGGUGUGUAUGGAGAAUUUUCUAACCGUAGAAGGAACCAGUCUUCAUCGCAUCCUGGUUAGCAUCACCCAGAGCUGCCUGGCUCAUGUAGGUGUCAGCAAGCUGCACACGCUUGACAUUGUCCUGCUCCUGGACGAGCAUGUGCCCGUACUCUAGCAGCUUCUCGACUGUCAUCUUUGGCUGCUCGAAGGUCACGGGCCCGUCCCGCGAGUUCACCAGCCUCUUGCCAAUGUUCUCGAUUCCGGUAGAGCCGACCCACUUGCGCACCUCAUCGUCGUACACCCGAGCACGCAGAGCACCGAAAAAGUCUGUAUCGGAUCGAUGCAUGAUACUUUGUUAAUUACUGAUAUACAACUUGUCUGCCCUGAUGAAUAUAUAUAUAUAUAUUUGGAAACAAGAGAAAUAUACCAAUGGAUUGUCCUGGGAAGGUGUCGACGAUCUUGACGACAGACUCGUCACUGACAUUGUCGGUCUGGAAGAUACCCUUGCAGACACCGAUACGGUCGUCACGGGUGGGAGCCCAGUAGAACUUCUCCAUACGACCAUCACGGAUCAGAGGAGCGUAGAGCGUCGAGAAAUCGUUACCGGUGACGACGAUGGGCACACGGGGGUUCUCCUCCUUGUUGUACAUGCCAGGGAGCUGCACGUUGGUGGGGGCAUCGGCGAUGUUCAUCAGGGUGGCGUUCACCAUCUGGUUGUUGACGGUGUACUGCGUGGUUCCGCCCAUCCUACCCGCACCAGCGUCAAGAUCGUUGAUGAAGAGGCAGCACAUCUUACCCUUCUUGAUCAUGUCUGCAGCCUCACGGUACCGCUGCCUGAUGAGCUUGGCUGGCUCUCCAGCGUUCCCACUCUCCAGCUCUCCGGCACUCAUCAUGAUGGGGCUGUGGCAAAAAGCACAGGUCAUUAUCUAUUAUUACUAUUAUCUUAUACUCCCUCUGUUCUUAAAUAUAAGUCUUUUAAGCGAUUUCAUCAAGAAACUACAUACAAAACAAAAAGAAUGAAUCUACACUCUAAAGUAUGUCUAUAUACAUCCGUAUGUAGUCCUUUAGUGAAAUCUCUAAAAUGACUUAUAUUAUGGAACGGAGGGAGUAGUAUUUCUUUAGGGAGGAAGUAGAUGAAUGUAAAUUCUUACUUGAUGCCCAUCUUGGCGAACACAAGCUCACACUGGAAUGAUUUUCCUUGACCCUUGCCUCCCCAGAUACCCAAGAUGAGUGGGAUCUGAAUUUCGAUUCAAGGUCAGUUUCAGAAUCAGAAUGAUUCAUUUUAUUGCUGCUUCUGCUAAUAAUCAAUUAAAUUAAAUAACGAUGUCUGCAUGCAUCGAUUAAUUCAACCUCCUUUUUUCAAAAAAAGAAAAGAANNNNNNNNNNNNNNNNNNNNNNNNNNNNNNNNNNNNNNNNNNNNNNNNNNNNNNNNNNNNNNNNNNNNNNNNNNNNNNNNNNNNNNNNNNNNNNNNNNNNNNNNNNNNNNNNNNNNNNNNNNNNNNNNNNNNNNNNNNNNNNNNNNNNNNNNNNNNNNNNNNNNNNNNNNNNNNNNNNNNNNNNNNNNNNNNNNNNNNNNNNNNNNNNNNNNNNNNNNNNNNNNNNNNNNNNNNNNNNNNNNNNNNNNNNNNNNNNNNNNNNNNNNNNNNNNNNNNNNNNNNNNNNNNNNNNNNNNNNNNNNNNNNNNNNNNNNNNNNNNNNNNNNNNNNNNNNNNNNNNNNNNAGGUACCUUGAUGUUGGGCAGGGUCAUGAAGUUUUUGGAGAGAUGGACAACAAGCUUGUCCAUGAAAGCAGGAGCGAUGUAGAAGCCUCCCAUGGUGUUGUCGAAGUCGUACUUCCGCAGGCCCUGGCUGACGUACUCGUAGGAGCUGAGGACGGCCUCGUGGGUGCCGUCGCCCGUGGGCGCCUGGAAGAGCGAGUCCACGAUGCCCUUCCCUCUGGUGAUGUCCUGCUGGUCGUCGGAGAUAUCGUACGCAAGACCCUUCCACUUGUCGGUGUUCCUCUUCUCGUCGAUGUUCUCCGCUGCCAUGACUGUGAACCUGUUGGCCUUGGAGCUCUUGCCAUGGUAGUUCACGGCCGAGGUCACCUGCUUCUUGAGCUUCUUCCCGAGGAAGUUGGUCGGCGUAGAAGCCUGUAUACAUUACAUUACAUUACAUAUACACACAUGAGAUGCCGCUGAAGACACUGAUAGGAUAUCAUCACUAAGCAAGAGAUGCAAUCAAUCAAUCGAUCGAUCAGUGUGUGGUACGCACCGGAGCCCCGACGGUGGAGGAGAAGGCAGCAGCCAUCUCUGUGCUGCUUGGUCGACCUUGCUAGCAACGGUGGAUGCGCGCGGCUGUGCUGGUGAUCAGUGAUGAAUGACUGCUGCUGCUCAAAGUAUAGAGGCCGAGCUAUGUGACGCCUUAAAUACACGUGGAUUGGCAUAUUGCUGCUCUGCUGUGGGGAGCUUGGAGGAGGAGGCGGCAUACACACACCCCUGCUUGUGGAUCAGCCUCCCGAUCCCCCAGAGGCCACACGCUGGAGAUUGGGUUCUGAGCGUCUUGGCCGGCCGGUUGGAUGACUUGGACCGUCAAGACCAAACGCUGCAGCUGCAGCUGCAGAUACGUCUGCUGGCCAUCAAUUCCAUGGCCUUCCACGGCCACAGAAUCUAACCAUUCAUGCUCAAAUCAUCUCCCAUUUCUUCCGUGCCUUUCAUUUUUUCCUUUCACUCGGUCGCCCGUAUAUACUAUCUUGUUUAUUAGCCAAGCCAUGUCAUUGCAUAACCACAAAAAAAGGGUCUCUCGUUGCUUGUUGGAUGAGGCACCCAAGAUUGUAUUCUAGUUCCAAGUACCACAAAUUUGUUGCUGCCAUACAUAUACUGGUUUGUUGAUAACCAUCAAGCUAGGGAUGUCAUUUGGCACCACACAAAUCAAGUCCUGGUUGACAUCAAGCACAUGGGUUUGUACUUUUGUCUACUCCAAUAAAUAUUGCCACUUCGGUAAAAAAAAAUGAAGCGUAUUAAGAGAAAAGGUAGCCAUGCAGUUUUGCUUUGAUGAAAAGAUUAUAGAACGUGUCUAAUGUUUUCAUGUAAAUGUAAUUCGUGUUGCCUAGCUCAAGUUCCCUGCUGGUAUUCUCAUUGUUUGGGUCUAGUACAGACCAUUAAUUGAUCAUUACGAUGAAUGCGAGCCGUUUGGCUCGCACAAUCUUUGUCCAAUACACCUUCUAGUGAUGUUGUCCUUGUUAAUCAACUUUGUGGUGCAAAUUGGGGUUUCCGUAAUCCGUCAAAGGGAAAAUAUGUAUGUAUGUGAUGAGUCAUGACCCCCCACAUCCACAGUACUCGUACCUAAUCAACAAGCUUCAGAUGAUUUCCACAUAUGUGCUAAUCUUCCGACAAGUGCUAAUAUCAAGAGAUAUAUAGGUUGUUGGGACUUGGGACCCUAGCUUGCAUCCAUUGGAGAAAUGAUUAAGCGGAAAAUGACGAUUUAAGAACAUAUACAAUUCCUUUCUCUUUCAAGAAGAGACUUACAAUUGGGUUACCUGUGCGGCGAUGAAUCAAAAAGUUUGAGUGGAUUUCGGGUCCAAAAUAGUCCAACAUAUAUAUAGUGCAUGCAUGCAUCUUAAGUAGAGUAGGACCUUCUACUUGCCGUAGAAGGCACCGGUCUUCAUGGCGUCGUCGUUGGCUUGGCCGAGCGCCGCCUCGCUGAGGUACUUGUCGGCGAGCUGCACACGCUUGACGUUCUCCUGCUCCUGGACCAGCAUGUGGCCGUACUCCAUGAGCUUCUCUAUGGUCAUCUUGGGCUGGUCGAACGUGGGCGGCCCCUCCCUGGAGUUGACGAGGCGCUUGGAGAUGUUCUCCACGCCGAUCUCGCCGACCCACUUGCGCACCUCGUCGUCGUACACCCGUGCCCGCAGCGCGCCGAAGAAGUCGAUGGACUGCCCCGGGAAGGUGUCCACCAGCCUCACCACGGCCUCGUCCGGGACGUUGUCGGUGCGGAAGAUGCCCUUGCACACGCCGAUGCGGUCCUCGCGGGUGGGCGCCCAGUAGAACUUCUCCAUGCGCCCGUCACGGAUCAGGGGAGCGUACAGCGUCGAGAAGUCGUUGCCGGUGACGAUGAUGGGCACGCGGGGGUUCUCCUCCUUGUUGUACAUCCCCGGGAGCUGCACGUUGGUGGGCGCGUCCGCGAUGUUCAUCAGGGUGGCGUUCACCAUCUGGUUGUUCACCGUGUACUGCGUCGUCCCGCCCAUCCGGCCCGCGCCGGCGUCCAGGUCGUUGAUGAAGAGGCAGCACAUCUUGCCCUUGUUGAUAAUGUCGGCCGCCUCGCGGUACCUCUGCCGGAUCAGCUUGGCCGGCUCGCCGGCGUUGCCGCUCUCCAGCUCACCGGCGCUCAUCAUGAUGGGGUUGAUGCCCAUCUUGGCGAACACCAGCUCACACUGGAACGACUUGCCCUGUCCCUUGCCUCCCCAGAUACCCAGGAUGAGAGGAACCUUGAUGUUGGGGAGUGUCAUGAAGUUCUUGGCGAGGUGGACGAUGAGCUUGUCCAUGAAUGCCGGCGCGAUGUACAGCCCGUCCAUGGUGUUGUCGAAGUCGUACUUCCGCAGGCCCUGGCUGAUGUACUCGUAGGAGCUUAGGAUGGCCUCGUGGGUGCCGUCGCCCAUGGGGGCCUGGAACAGGGAGUCCACGAUGCCUUUCCCCCGAGUGAUGUCCUGCUGGUCGUCCGAGAUGUCGUAGGCCAGACCCUUCCACCGGUCCGCAUCGGUCUGCUUGCCCUGGUCAAGUUCCUUUUUGGCCGCCAUGACCCUCACCACCCUGCUCUUCAUCUUGUUGCCACCAUGGUAGUAGUUCUUCACCUUCUUGCCCAGGAAGAUGGUCGGGGUCGACGCCUGCACAAGUAUGACAUAGUCAGCCCCAAUCACAUUCAUGCACGUUGGUUCACUUGCUGCUUGCUUUCAAUAGCAAUUGCCACGAUGAACGCUUAAUUUGCAGAUAUCAACCCUUCAUUUGGGCAGUUCCAGACUUCACUCGCUAUUCAAUUGCAUCCGCAUAUAUAUAGAAUUAAUUAGUCCAUCCAAAAGCUCCAGCUGAUGAACAGGGGCGGAAGGUCAAAGGUACAAUACCAGAAGUGGUGGGCCCGUGUUGAAGAGAGUGGGGGCCUAGGACCCUACUCAAAAUAUGAAAUUUCAAUACGAUUUGAAUAACUUUUAGGAGGAAAUGCUAAAACUCAAUGAAUUUGGAUAAAAUGUGACACCACUCUUAAAUCGUUUUUGUUACUCUCCAUCAUUUACCUCCCUUAUUUUAAUGAUGUUUUGCCACGAGUCAAAAUAGUUUUUAGAUCCGUCCCGUCCCGGCAUGCUGGGCCUUGAAGUUGAUGCCCCAUGGCUUGAAUGACAUAUUGAAUUACAAAACAACCUACUCCCUCCGUCUUGGUUUAUAAGUCAUCUUAUGAAAAAAAAAUCUCAAAACACUUAGGCACGAUGCAUUAAUUUUCUGCUUGUUUUUUGUUUUUUUUUACAUGGAUAAAGGAAUCAACCAAUAAGAGACAUGGAACGUGUAUGUUUUUAAUGACUUGCGACUAACUAGCACGACAUGCAGUGGUUAAUUCAUUACAUGCAAUGAUAUUAAUUAGCAAAUUAAUAUAUUUUUUUGUUUUCCUCUCCGUUUUGAUCACGAUGCACAACCUAAUAUGACCUAUACACUGAGACGGAGGGAGUAACUAAUUCAGCCAAAAGUUCUUACUAAUGAAGAAUGAGGAGAAGCAUACUUCACUAGUUAGUUUCUAAUAUUAUNAUUCUCACACACGGGCUUGACAACCGUGUGCCUCCACUCGAGACUUUUGAGGUUCUAUCUUUCCCUUCCUCCUCCACGCAAUAGCUUCGAAAAAGUGUAACCAUUAGCUUCCCACAUUUCUCAACACUCCCCGUCACCACCCUCACCUCGCCCUAUUUGUAAUUUGCAUCGUGAUUUAAUAAACCUCACAAUAGUUGCUCCUAAAUAAAAUCUCGCUACCACCUCCCGUUCAUUCUCAUCCGCGCCAUCAUGAAACAACCAUUAGUAUUGCCUAAAUUAUCUUUAUCGUGCUAACUCAAUAUUCAAGGUCAUGCCCAAACCGAGAUCAAAUGACCUCAUUUGAUAGCCUUCGCCCCAUGGUGGCUAGCCAUCCGCUGCCCACCCCAUCACCCUAGACUCACCCGAGAGUUUGGAUACCCUAACCCGCUACCCAAACCCGAACUGAACCAAAAUACCCGAAUUGUCGGGUAAUAUGGGUAUCGGGUUAAGGUUUGGUUCUCAUUUCCUGGCUAUUCGGUUUUCGGGUUAGGGUUCAGGUUCUAGUCUGUAAAACCCAAAAUACCCAUACUACCCGAAUUAUUCAUACUAGUCAAAUUAUUUAUGUUAUUAUUACACUUACAUGUUACACAAACUAACUAAAACACCCACACUAUCUGAAUUAUUCAUGCCGAAACUUAAUGUGUGCUCUGAAUAUUUUGGGUUUUUUGGGUACCCGAGUUACCCAAACCAAAAUUUUGGGUAAUUUGGGUUCGGUUAUUUUUUUGACAUAAAAAAUUCCGAUUCCCAUUUUUUUAAUACCCGAAUUACACAUGAACCGAAAUAACCAAAAUACCCGAACGCUCAGGCUGACCAUAGACAGUCUUUUUAAGCCCCGGAAGGCAUGGGUGAGGAAAGAGAUGCCCUUGUCGGAGUCAACACAUAGAGAGGAGGCCCAGCUUGUCGCGUCCGAAUCUCAAAGCAAGAUCACACGGUCACAAAUUAUAUUAAAAACUGUACAAAAUGAAACAAUUCAGACCUGAAAAUGUGUAGCAACUCUGUCAAUUAAUUUAGAGAGACGGUGAGUUUUCUUUUUGUCGUACACACGUUGUGUCCACUGAAUUAAGGAUUAGGAACCACGAGUGUACGUGGAAGUGUAGGUCAUACGUACCGGAGCUCCAACGGUGGACGAGAAAGCAGAAGCCAUGGUGUUGAUCGAUCGUUCUCUUCUCGCUGCUGAUAACUUAAUUACAGUAGUUUCUAAUUAAUUUGAUGUGCGUACGUGCAGUGGUAUAUGCAAGCUAGCUCGAUCAGCUCUCAGCUGGAUUAGGCCGGCGUACUACUAGUACACCUACAGAUGCAGGUGGACUGAGAUCGAUCGUCAGUGAUGGAUGGAGCUGAUAUGGAUAAAAGAGAGGGGUGCAGUGGUUAGCAGGUACAGAUGCGAUGCCGAUCGAUGGAGCUUGGCCAUGGCGUCUUAUAUAGGUGCAUGGACAGAUGGCCAUGGAGCAAGCGUCCAACACGACUGGAGUGACCUAGAGCGUGAGAGACUAUUCUAGAGCGUCCCUGCGUAAUCACGCAGUCAAGCCACAUAAGCUGUGAUUAUCAGGCCGGCUGCGAUAAGUAGCUAGUGAGGCGAGCCAAGUGGAGUGGAUGAUGAGAUGUUAAUUGUGUGGAUAGGGUUGGGCAUCUCCCAGGAGCCACACGCUGAGGAUUGGCUCCAUCCGUCUCUACACAACGGCGUCGACGCGGCUGCUCCUCAGCCUUCCGAUCGGCGCAUCCAACGGCCCAAAUGUGAUCUAAGCUGCAUGCAUUCGGUUCCUUGUCGGAUGGGGAUCCGGAGCAUGCAUGCAUGCCUGCCGUACACCACUACGGAGUACUACAAUACUAAUAGAUGUGCAUGCAAAUUUUCUAGAAUGUAGAUGGUUAUUGAUUGGCUGUGAAAUGAGUUAAAAAAUAACAUUUACACUACACAUGCAUAUAGAAGUAGUACAACGGAGUACUAAUUAGCUGCUAGGAGUAAAUGCAACGUGCCUUAAUCUUUGUUUAUUUUGAAAACGCACGCAAGUCUAACUGUACCUUCUAAACCGUGACGGAGGAAGUAAAUUUCUUUUUUGCGGGUAUGCAUGCAUUAUUACUCUAGUUACGAGACCGAUGCCUUCACCCUUCACCAUAAAAAUCACAUCUCGUUCGUUCUAUUUUUCUUUCUUUUGCAUUUUGCAUGAAAUGUCUAGGCUGGCUUUUACACCGCCACAAAGUACUAAUCCCAUUCCCUCCAGUAGGGCCCGGGUGAAACUUCAUGAAGUAUUUUUAAAUAUUCCCUUCAUUUUUAAAAGGCUGGAAUCGGGUCUAAUGGUUAGUCUUCUGUCCCGGUUCUGGCCACCAACCGGGACCAAAGAGAUGCCUAUAUAUACCCGCACCCUGCGCACCCUGUGCUCUGGUUUUUGGCCUAGGUGUGCAUGACAUGCUCUUGUUGCCACCCUUCUAUGCAUGCACAUGAGGUGUUCGAUGAAAAGCCCGAGCCACACUUAAGCUUUCUCCUCUCCAAGCUCAACCUCCAAGCUCCAUUUUCCUUAAUAUUUGUCUAAGUUUGGCGGUACACCAACUACACAAGGGUUCUAAAAGUUUAGCUAGUUUAGCUCAUUUCAAAUGGUCUAAAAGUAGAGUGGUUUGUGGGUUUUAGUGUAGGAGUGUAUGUGGGAGUUCUUUUGAUUUAGAUGCAAAAUUUGAGCUCAGAUUAACUUCUUAUAGACUCUGUACAUGUAUAGGGUGCCGUCUCGUGCCCGUCCUCGCUGUCGUCGAUCGCCCGCGCCGAUCUCGUUGCCAGCACCACCGUGGUGAGCCUCUUUUUCUUAUCUUCUUUUUAAAAGAAUUUUUUUUCUUACUUGUAUGAUUUAGAUAGAUAUUUGUAUAAAUUACUUACUUUUAUUAUUUUUUGUUAUUAUAUAGUGCGAUGGUUUUGGUAUCCACCCACGUCGUCCCUCGUCCGGCCUAUGAUUCGGACGUGGUAUAUUUUCUUUUAUUACUAUUUGUUUCAUUUAGUGUUUAUGACGAUAAUUAUGCCGACCAAUGUGACAUGGAUGUUUUUAUCUAGGAUGUAUGUGAACCGGAAAUUCCAACCAACCCUCUUGUCGAGAGGUUAAAUUUAGUUGAAAAAGAAAACAAUUACUUGAAGAAAAAAUUGAAAAUAAUUGAGGAGAAGAAUAUGGAACUGGAGUUGCAUGUUGCCGAUGUCGUCGAUGAUCACAAGAUCAACAUGGAUGCAAUGCGGUUGAAGAUGGAUGCAAUGCGCUUGAAGAUGAAUGCAAUGCGCUUGAAGAUUAGGAAUAUUAGAAAAUACGCCACUGAUGAAGAGGCUUGGUAUCAUUAUGUUCUUGGGUCAUUGUUACCUUACUUGUGAUUUUGAUCGCAUUUGUUGUGGCAUUUAAAUGUUUUACAUAGUUGUAUGUUGUUUUAUGAGAGUACUUUAUGUAUUUAUUUUUGCAAUAAUAAUAUUUGAUCACUACAGUACUUUGAUUUUAAUGUGAUGCUGAACUUGUAUUAAUUUGGUCAUUUCUCUAUUCAUGAUGUUCUGCAAUGGUUUUUUGAUAUACUUAAUUUCAUAAUACAAAUGAACCGCCAAUGGAUGUAUGGCGACCGACACACUCCGGAGUACAUUAUGAACCGGGACUAGUGCCCCUCCCCUGCCUACCAAUUAACCCUCCCCACCCACUUAUUUUUUUCUGAUUGGAUGUGUGGGAGGUGGGUGCUAGAAUUUUUUCCUUUGCUACGCACAAGAUGUGUUUGAUGAAAUGCCCGAGCCACACUUAAGUUCACACAAAAUGGUAUCCUCGACAGAGGUUAGCAACCUUAUCAUUUUCAUCUGUAAUUGAUACAAAAAUAUUGCAUGUGUCCAUGUACGGUGGCCAUUUCACUAUUCAUGUAUGAUGCAGAUCGAUGCACGAAAGCGAUGGAUGUAUGACGAACGACGUAGUUUUGGAUUUAUUGCAGGCCUACAUAAAUUUAUCGAUGUGGCUGAGGCAAACAAAGUGGAUAAUUUUAUGCCUUGUCCAUGUGUUGACUGUCGAAACGUCAGGGAGUACUCUAGCUCGAAAACUAUUCAAGGCCACGUGCUUCGGAGAGGUUUCAUGCCCAGAUAUUAUUGUUGGACCAUGCACGGAGAAAGAGGGGUUAGGAUGGAAGACAAUGAAGAAGAAGAAGAUGAUGACAACUAUCCUAUGUUCACUGAAGAAUACGGUGAUACUGCAAUGGAAGACAAUGAAGAAGAAGGAGGUGAAGACCAACCGGCAUGAGAUGAGACCGUUGAUGGUCUUGGUCGGGUCAUUUCUCAUGCAAAGCGAGAAUGCAUACACACAAGGAGAGGUUGAAGUUGGAGGCCAUGCUAUAGGAUCAUAAAAAGUUGAUGUACCCAAAUUGCGAAGAUGGCAGCACAAAGCUCGGUACCACACUUGAACUGUUGAAAUGGAAGGCAGAAACUGGUUUAUCUGACAAGGGAUUUGAGAAGUUACUGAAAAUAUCAAAGUCGAAGCUUCCAAAGGAUAACGAAUUGCCUGAGGCUACGUACGAAGCAAAGAAGGCUAUCUGCCCUCUUGGAUUAGAUAUGCAGAAGAUACAUGCAUGCAUUAAUGACUGCAUCCUGUAGCACGGUGAGAAGUACGAGAAUAUGGAUAAAUUCCCGGUAUGCAAUGCAUGUCGGUACAAGAUCAGACAAGAUGACCCUGGUGAUGUUGAGGGCGAUGACGAGCCCCUGAGGAAGAAGGUUCCUACUAAGGUUAUGUGGUAUGCUCCUAUAAUACCAUGGUUGAAACGUCUGUUCAGAAACAAUGAGCAUGCCAGGUUGUUGCGAUGGAACAAAGAAGAGUGUAAGAAAGACGGGAAGUUGAGACACCUCGUUGAUGGGUCGCAGUGGAGAAAAAUCGAGAGUAAGUACCCGGACUUUGCAGGUGACGCGAGGAACUUAUGGUUUGGUCUAAGUACAGACCGCAUGAAUCCUUUUGGGGAGCAGAGCUGCAGUCACAACACCUGGCCCGUGACUCUAUGUAUCUACAACCUUCCUCCUUGGUUGUGCAUGAAGCGGAAGUUCAUUAUGAUGCCAGUGCUGAUCCAAGGACCGAGGCAACCCGACAACGACAUUGAUGUGUACCUAAGGCCAUUAGUUGAUGAACUUUUGCAGCUGUGGGCCAACCAGGUGUACAUGUGUGGGAUGAUCACAAACAGCGGGAAUUUGACCUACGAGCAUUGUUGUUCGUAACCAUCAAUGAUUGACCUGCUCUUAGUAACAUUUCAGGACAGUCAAACAAGGGAUACAAUGCAUGCACGCACUGUUUAGAUAAGGCUAAAGGUACAUAUUUGGAAAAAUAUAAGAAGGUUGUCUAUGUGGGGUCUCGUCAAUUUCUUCCGACCAAUCAUCCCAUAAGAAAGAAAGGCAAGCAUUUCAACGAUGAGGCAGAUCACCGAAAGAAGCCUAACCUCCCUACUGGUGAUGAGGUAUUGGCUGUGGUCAAGGAUUUGAAUCAAAUAGUAAUCUUUGUAAAGGGUUUUGGCAGUCAAUCUGUUUCGAAAGACGUGGUUACCAGUCACGUGCCCAUGUGGAAAAAGAAAUCUUUAUUUUGGGAGCUACCCUAUUGGGAAUACCUAGAGGUCCGCUAUUCAAUCCACGUGAUGCACUUGACGAAGAAUCUUUGCGUGAAACUGCUAGGCUUCCUGGGCGUGUAUGGGAAGACAAAAGAUACACGAGAAGCACGGGAGGAGCAACAACGUAUGAAAGACCCAUACGACAAGAAGUGUCAAUACUUAAGCAGCUACGCUCUUACCAAAGCAGAGAAGGAAAUCGUUUUUGAAUUCCUGAGUAGUAACAAGGCCCCCGCUGGCUUCUCUUCUAAUAUAAAGGUAAUAAUAAAUAUGGCAGAGAAAAAAAUUCCAUAACCUGAAGUCUCAUGAUUGGCACAUGAUUAUGACGUAGUUGCUUCGAGUUGCAUUGAGGGGGCUUCUACCGGAAAAUGUUCGAUUACCCAUUGUGAAGCUAUGUGCAUUCCCCAAUGCAAUAUAUCAGAAGGUAAUCGAUUAAGAAUGUCUGGAAAGGAUACAGAGGGAUGUGGUCCAAUGUCUUGUCAGUUUUGAUUUGGUGUUCCCCCCGUCCUUCUUCAAUAUUAUGACACAUCUCCUAGUUCACCUAGUCGACGAGAUUUCCAUUCUCGGUCCUAUAUUUCUACACAAUAUGUUCCCCUUUGAGAGGUUCAUGGGAGUCUUAAAAAAUAUGUUCAUAACCGUGCUAGUCUAGAAGGAAGCAUCUCCAAGGGCUAUGGAACAGAGGAGGUCAUUGGGUUUUGUGUAUACUUUCUUCCUGGUCUUAAGCCGAUUGGUGUUCCUGAAUCGCGGCAUGAGGGGAAACUGAGUGGAAAAGGCACGCUAGGAAAGAAAGCAGUGAUAUGUAGGCACGGGCAUUCUUUCACUCAAGCACACUACACAGUUCUACGAAGUUCCACCUUCGUGGCUUCGUAUAUCGAGGAACACAAGAAUUUUGUACGCUCCGAGUUCCCGGGGAAGGCUGACUCCUGGAUUGAAGAAAAACACAUGUAUACUUUCGGCAGUUGGUUGUGAGCACGUCUCAUGAAUGACAACACUGUUGUAGAUCAACUCUACUUGUUGGCCGUGUCACCUUCUUGGAUUGUAUUACAUUUCCAAGGGUACGAGAUAAAUGGGAAUACAUUUUACACGACCGCCCAAGAUAAAAAGAGCACCAACCAAAACAAUGGUGUCCGCUAUGAUGCAACAUAGGAGAAUGGGGAAAAGGACACAUACUAUGGUUACAUAGACGAGAUAUGGGAACUUGACUAUGGACCUACUUUUAAGGUCCCAUUGUUUCGGUGUAGUUGGGUGAAUAUGAAUGGAGAAGGGGUAAAGGUAGACCAGUUGUACGGAAUGACAAUAGUUGAUCUCAAGAAUCUUGGUUACAGAGACAAGCCAUUCGUUCUAGCCAAUGAUGUGGCUCAGGUUUUCUACGUGAAAGAAAUGUCGUCCAGAUCGAAAAACAGAAGAAAAAAAUGAAUACAUCGGACGGUGAGGCAAAGUUUCACAUAGUUCUUUUAGGGAAAAGAAACAUCACGGGAAUCGAGGACAAGACACACAUGUCAGCAGAUUAUAAUAAGUUUGACGAAAUUCCGCCCUUCACACUGAGAAUUAACCCAAGCAUCCCGUUAAAUAAUGAAGAUGCUCCAUGGUUACGGCCAAAGUGAUCAUAGGCAAGGGAUCGAAAUGUAAAUCUAUGUAAUGUAUUAAACUUUAUGUGAUAUGUACUAAUGUAUCAAACUUUAUGUUAUGUGUACUAAUGUAUUAAACUUGGUACCACUUGGUUCUAAAGAAAAUGCACUUUUCCUUUUAUUAGUGGGAAAACGACGUUUUUUGUGAAAGAGGUACCAACUACGAGAACUAAAACAACUACGAGUACGAGAGCUAAAACAACUACGAGAAGUAAAACAACUAUGAGAACUAAACCCUAAACAGCUACGCCAACUUUCAACCUUUUCAGAGCCCAUUUGUAGGGAUUUUAAAUUUCAGGGUCAAUUAGCUCAAAGAACAAACUAAUAGCAAAAAGAAUGAAGUAAAAAGAAUCAACUAAAAAGAAUCAACUCAAAAGAAUCAACAAAAAGAUUAACUAAAAAGAAUGAACUAAAAAGAAUCAACGAAAAUUAUCAAAGUGUUUAUUUGUUAAAAAGAAUCAAGUAAAACAUUAACUAAAAACAAUCAAAAAAAUAUCAACUCAAAAGAAUUUUCAUAAAGUUUUCAGAGCCCAUUUGUAGUGCUUUUCAAAUUCAGGGUCAAUUAGCUCAAAGAAUAAACUAAUAGCAAAAAUAAUGAAGAAAAAGAAUCAACUAAAAAGAAUGAACUAAAAAGAGUCAACCAAAACAUCAACUAAAGAGAAUGAACUAAAAAUAAUCAACUAAAAUUAUCAAAGUGUUUAUUUGUUAAAAAGAAUCAAGUAAAAAAUUGACUAAAAAGAAUCAAAAAAAUAUCAACUCAAAAGAAUUUUCAUAAUUUUUUUUAAAAUAUAUAAUAGAAAACUAAAAUAAAAGAGAAAAAAUAUAUUUAAUAGCAAAGAAUUAAAAUAUAAACUGGGACUAAAAAUUAUUAAAGUAAAAAAAUGCCACCUACUAGGCCAUGAGGACGUGCAUACGACUAGAAACCCUAGAAGCUAGAUGGGCCAGGAUGCAGGCCUGUAGAAGGCCUAGUAGGACCACAGGGUAGUGAGAGUGUGGUUAGGCCCGUAGGCCUGCGUUUGAUAGGAUCUCGAGAGGGUUGGCACAACGGGGCUUAUAAACCACUCUCAACUCCUCUCAACUAGCUAGGUGGGNCGGCCUCCACAGCUAGCUCCAUCUCCGGGCCCCCAGUGAGCUCCUCCUGUCACCACCAUCGCACCCACACCAUCGUUGACCUCGUGUCCCCGCCGUCGUUGCGGGACCCCUCGUAGUGGCAUCAUUUUCGUGCCGUCCCUCGAGCCUCCUCAUCGUUGCCGCGCCCUUCCCCUCCGGUGAGAAGUAUGGCAUCCGUUGUUUCUGUUGACAGAUUCAGGUUUAGGGUUGUACUGAGAUUGUUACAAUCUAAAAAAUGGUUUAAUGAAAAUGCAAUUUGUGUUCUAUCUCAGCAUGUUCUAAUUAGUGUUCAAGUGAAGAAAAGUGAAGACAUUGUUGACUUUUGACUAAAUGUGCUCUGGUUUUUUAGAUGUGCUCUAGUUUUUUAGAUGAGAUGUUUUGUGAAGAUGAGAUGAGAUGUUUUCUGGAAAUGUGAGAGAGAUGAGAUGAGAGAAUUUAUUUUAGGCUUUUUUAGAUAUAGAAACAAAUGUUAAAAUUUGCAUGUGCUCUGGCUUUCUUGUUGCAUAAUGAGAUUAGAUGAGAUGAGUCACCGGCGAUCGUCGGAGGAGUCCUCGACGAUCGCCGGUGAGGAGUCCCCGACGAUCGUCGAAGGAGUCCCCGACGAUCGCCGGUGAGGAGUCCCUCACGAUCGUUGAAGGAGUUCCCGACGGUCGUUAGAGGAGUCUCGGACGAUCACUGGUGAAGAUUCCAGGGCGAUCGCCGGUGAAGAUUCCCCGACGAUCAUCGGUGCGGAAUCCCCGACGGUCGUCAGAGGAGCCCCCGCGGUUGUCAGAGGAGUCCCCGACGAUCGCCGGUGAAGAGUUCCUGACAAUCGCCGGUGAGGAGUCCCUGAUGAUCGCCGGUGAGGAGUCCCCAACGAUCACUGGAGGAGACCCCGACGGUCGUCCAAGGAGUUCCCGACGAUCGUCAGAGGAGUCCCAGACGAUCGCCGGUGAAGAGUUCCUGACGAUCGCCGAUGAGGAGUCCCCUAUGCUCAUCGGAGGAGUCCCCGAUGGUCGUCGGAGGAGUGUACUCUCUUGAAAGUAUAACCCCAAUAACUUCGACAUUAGGGGGCGUCAUGAGCCCCCCCGUUAAAUGACAAUACAUAAAUGUUUCCCUCUCCCCAAGUUAAUUAAAAUGUUUACCUUUUCUUAUUAUUCUUUAUUUUUUGCAUUGUUCUUAAUUUGCAGAUACUAUGGAUCCAAUACACGGCAGAGACGAAUAUCAGGAUGACAUGAUGCAUGGUGUCAUCCGUGAGGAUGAUUUUAUUGUUGGCAGUGUCACCAAUCAGUUUCUGAACGAGUCCGGCGAGGGAGAUGAGUCUGUCAACACAGGAGGUAGAAGCUCCGGUGUGAUAGACGCCCACGCCUCGGGCGAGCGAGGAUUCAGCGGCUCCGAUGAGGGAGAAGCCGACAAGGGAGAAGCCGAUGGCUCCGGCGUGGUGCAUAUAUAUAUUAAUAAAUUAAUCCUGUGCUGUCUAUAUACAUAUAUUAACGCUCUUUCUUCUUUUAGCCCUCCGGAGUGAGCAAAACUUAAGUACGGAUGAAACGAGGCCCAACCAAGAAGAUGGAUGACGGUGAGAGGUACAUGAUCGAAAGAGUCUCAAAAGGCGGGCAAUCGAUUGUUCCCACAGAUGUAAAGAAGAAAUUUGUGAAGGCAUGCAGAGUUAUUGUUAAGGACCACAUCCCUAUCACCACUCGAGAAUGUCUUAAGCCAAGGGUGGAAGGAGUCUCAUAUGUCGGCACAGUAGCCAAAGAAAACCUUUGGAGAAAGCUCAUGCUUCAUUUCACCCUGCCGGCGCCAGAGGUGGAUCCAGAUGAGGAGGAAAUGAAGAGGCGAAACGAGGCCCUAGAGAAAAAAUUCAAGGAGUGGGCUCUUAAGAAAAUGACCGAUCUAUUCAGGGGCUGGAAGAAAAGAUUGCACCAGGAUUUUAUCUUGCAAGAUAAGACUCCAGAUUUCGAUAACGGCUAUGAGAAGAUAAAAGACUAUUUGACCGAAUUUGUGGCGUACAAGAAAUCGGAGGACGCCUUGAAAAAGUCUGCAACAAAUAAGAGGAAUGCACGUAUGAAGAAGUACCACCAUAUUAUGGGGUCUGCUAGCUACGCCAGUAACAUGGCUAAGUGGGACGCACUUGAGGCACCAUUUCUGGCUAACAAUAUCACUCCAGAGCCCUUAACAUGGAUCGAACGGUUAAGAAACUGGUUUUACGGGCAUGGGGCAUGUUGGACGCCAAAGGGAAGGAAAUAUAUAACCAAACACACAAAGAUAAUCCCCUACUACCCAUCGAGAACAUUAGAAGUGUAGUAAAGGAUGUUGAAGAGGAACGGUUCGUUCUCGAUAGAGAGAACGAUGAGCUCUCACGCGCCCUUGGGAAUGAUGAACACAAAGGACGAGCACGAGGCUUACCAGGCUCCCCGCCAUGGAUGCUUGCGUUUUCUGAGGAAAUGAAGAAAUUUCCCAAUAGAAGCCAUCAGAGGAGAAUGGAAAAGGAGGCAGCUGAGAAAGCGGCUACUGCAGACCGGCCGCAUAAUGUAGAAGAAGGAGUAAAGCGGCUGCAACAGGAUCAAAUCAAUAGACUUAGCCAACAAGGUAGCGGCCUAUCUCAGCAUCUCAUGAUAGAAGCUGCAUCGAAUCGGAAAAGCAAUGUCGAUUCCACGCAGCUCCAGGAUGAUGGUGACGAUGAUGCACUGACGACGGCUCCUCCUCGUCGCUACCCAGUGGAUGAUAUCACAGAGAGCACACCUUGUGAGCUAAAGGUGAAAGUUGCUAACUUAAGGUUGACGGUAGCGGUCGGCAUGGUCGUACUAAUUGGACAUAAUCCAACUUGGCAUUGCUCUCCGGUUACAAAAGGGUACGUUGUCAUCACAGUGGAUGAAGUGAUGAAAGAUUAUGAGGAGCUAAAGCUGGACUACCGUGCAGGUGAAUAUAGGGAUUUGACUGAACUUGGAGAAGUCAAGAAACAGACCAUUGUAUGGCCAAAGGAGCACAUCUUGCUUCCAAAUUGGUCGCCAAGGCCACCGACCCCUCAGAGCAGCAAUCCUUCUUCGCCUCCACCUCACCAGUCUCUAGCACAACCGUCGUCUUGACCGCCUCACCAGUCUCGAGCGCAACCGUCGUCUUCGCCACCUCACCAGUCUCCAGUGCAGCCGUAUCCACCACUGCAUCAGCCGUCUUCACUGACCCGUCAGUCGUCUCCGUCCACUGAGGAUCAGAGCCAAAAGCGAAAACGUACCACCACUAAUAGUGGCGGUAGAAAGGGGUUCCGAUCACCGAAAUGUAAGUCGUCGCCCCUCCCAAAAGUACCUCAUAAGAAUAUGGAGAUGAGACCUUGGGACUAUAGUGAAGAGAAAAAUAAGAAGAGGGCAGACGCCCAGUAUCAAAAGUGGAAGGCUGACAUGGCUAACAAGAAGAAGUAGAAAGAGCCAGAGUUCCCGGUCACCCUAGAAGAUCACGCCGCAUGCGUGAAAAUGUUGAAUACUCUUGGACAACCCCCGCCAACAUUGCGAGAAGACCAUGAACGCGCUAUUCUCAAGUCGGCUGAGGUAAAAAAGCAGUGGUUGAACAGUAGUAGGUACAACGCGAAAUCAGUUGCCCAGCUCGGAUAACAGAAAAACCAAUCGUGCCCCCGCUCAAAGUGUAUUCGGAUACAGAGGUGUGCUCGAGUGGAGCUGCGGCCGAGCAGAGGUAUGAUGAAACAACUGAUAUCAAUCCGGAGUUUGUUGCACUGUACAGAGAAGCGGCCAAGGCUCAUGGCAUGACUAUUGUUCGGUACUUAAACAAUAUACAUGAUUUCACUGACGUAGCAUACCAGUACCGGCACGGGUCUCCUCUCGUCAAACCCGAGUUAGUCAAUGAGCUAUCAACAAAAAUGCAAAUAUUGCAUAACUGGUACAUGCGAGCAUCUGCUGAAUAGCAAAACUGGAUCUAUUGUGCAUAUAAAAACGAGCAUUACAGGCAUGGAGAAGGAGUGCUAAUGAUUGAAUUCAAUGAAUUAUUUCAGUUAUACCAACAAGAUGCCCUCGACAAAUCUAUCAUCAGUGCCUAUUGUUUGUAAGUAUUAUUAGUUUAUGUCAUUAAGUCUUACUCAGCUCGUUCAUUGCAUGUAUAAUCUUACUCAUCACUACAUUAAUUUUGCAGAAUGAAGAUUCUCGAAUGCAAAUGAGGACGAAUCUAUGACAUUGGGUUCAUUGACCCAUAUUUCAUUCAAGAAAAAAUUUCUCGAACUGAAUACCAACGAGAUAGAGAAUAAGUUGUUACAAGGGUUAAGGUUGUCCGCUACCAAAAGGGAAAUACUAUUUCCUUACAACUUCAAGUGAGUGUUACUGUCUUGUACACACAUUCUAUUUUCGCUUACUCGAUGUUAAUUGUAUAAUUGACUCGUUAUGUGUGCGUAGCUUCCACUUUAUUCUGUUAAUCAUUGAACCUCACAAUGGACUAGUAAAAGUCAUGGACCCAAAACGCAAACCCCUCGCUGAUUGGGCCAACAUGAAGGAAUGCCUCCAGAGGUAAUCUCAAUCAUUAUGGCACUAUAUCGGCAACUUUUCAUUCAUUUCCUGAUAGCAAGUAAUUAAUAUAGAACUCCUUUAUUUAUUUCCUUUUCUUGGUAGGGCUUGGAAACGGUUCACCGCCAAGUGUUGGGGUGUUUGGUAGCCAGAGCUUACAUUUAGACAAAUGGAUGUAAGUACUACUAGCUAGAUCUGCCAUCUCUUUAUUCUAGUUUCAAUACCAUUAUCAUGCUUGAUUAUGUUCUGAUUGAACUCUGUUCUCGUAAAGUGCUUGAGGCAGGAACAUGGGAACAAUUUAUGUGGAUACUAUGUUUGCGAGUUCAUUCGCCAGACGACCCAUGAGACGGGCAAAAACCGGGACUUCAGAAAAAUUGAAGUACGAUAAACAAUACUCACAACUUUAUUUUAUUACCAUCAAUUGUGUUCGGUUUCAUUGAUAUAUAUAUAUAUAUUGACCCCUUCUUUAAAUUAGAUCAAAUGGUUGCGGGACGGUCUUCUACCAGAGGAACGCAUACGAGCAAUUCAAGAGGAAAUUGUCGGAUUCUUUGAUGCAGAGGUCCUAGAUCUGAAGGAAGAAAACUAUUGCCCGCCGGUUGAAGUGAAAUGUUAAAGUGUAAAAGAGAUGCAUAUGUGCAGGUAACUCGUGUCUACAUUUUGUAAUAUGUUCGACAAAGCACGACAGAUGAGAUGGAGUAAUAUAUUCAUGACGAUGAUGUGCAAUAUAGUUGUUCCUUAAUUGCUGUGUAUGUACCAUCCAAUUUAGUGCAAAACACAAAUUAAAAACGUGCCCAAGACAAAUAAAUGGGAAAAUAGAAAAAAAAUAAGGGGCAGCAAAAUAGCCCCCAUCCAAUUUAGUGCAAAACCCUAAACCCUAAAAAGUGCUAAAAAAGGCAGCGAAGCAAUAGCCCCGAUUCGUAAUAAGAACCCAGACUAAUACUCCUCCCCCCUCGCUCCCAGCCCCGCCACGUGGAGGACCAUUAGCCCCGGUUCGGGGGCGAACCGGGGCUAGAAUUAGUCCCGCUUUUGUGGUACCGAUUCCUGAACCGGGGCUGAUGGCCCAAACGAACCGGGUCUCAAGCCUAUAUUUCUGCUAGUGUUUUAAGCGCAAGUAUAUUAUUGUUCAUACAAAAGUCGGGCAAGUAAAAUAUAACACCUUUAGUUCAUAAGGAUGGAAUGCGGGUGCGUGCGUUUACAUAGGUGAGUAUAUGUGCAUAAGUAUGUGNNNNNNGUGUGUCCAUCUUUACUGUAUUAAAAAAAGCGUUCAUUUUAUACCGAAAAGAAGCAACAUGAAUUUUUAUAGAGAAAAACACCCAAAAGGUAUCUUAUGUCUAAUUACUCCUAUAAAUGAUGAUGGAGUGCCCCGGAAUUGGCGCCCUCGCGCGCGCUCCACAUCGUCUUAUCCACUAGCGCCUCACGUCGGUGCCUGUCUCACGCCCUCCCUACCUUCCAAUCGGACCAUGUCACUCCUUAUAGAGCCGGCAUCCUCGGGGUCCAUGAAUCAUGAGUCACGACCGUGUCCAUGGCCUCCUUUCUGUAGUGUUUUUGUUGCCCCUGCGUGCGCAUUUCCCGCGGUUGGUCGUUGUGGGUGUAGCCAUGCCUUGCCCGAUGGUGUGGAGGUUGCUUCUCGGCUUGUGUGAGCCACUUUCAUGGUAUUCGGUUUUUCCGGGAGUGAUAUAUAGGUUUUACCCCUAAGUUUGACAUAUUUGAGACUAAUUACCCCGUUUAAAAUAAUUUCAUCCAUUGUACCCCAUUUAACAAAAAAUUUGCCACAAUUUACCCCUUUUGAAACUUAAAGCGUUCUGAGUGGUGUGUCAUAAUUAUUAGAUCCAACUCGAGUGCCACGUAUAGAGGUUUUUUAAGGUAUUUUUUCUGCAUACUAAACGGCUUCGCACGGUUUCUAUCUACCGACCAGACUAUACCGAUGGGAAGCAGACGCAUGUCCUCGAACAAUUUAUAAAGUUACACGUCGCUUGAGUCCAGUGCACCAUGAUCAUUCAAUCCCGCUGCAUAUUUCAUUGAGUCUGUUGCGCCAGAGUGGCCUCCAAUCAUGGUACACAUCGCUCGCCUCUAGUCACAUAGAGGAUCGUGCCCAAGUCUGGCCGAGUCCACUUCGCUCCUUCCUUCUGAGAGGGGAGGACGAACGUAUGCGAUGAGCGGUAGGCGACAUGUCAAGUUUUCACUGGGAUUGUUCGAGCUGCAAGCAGCAACCGAUAUGUCAAUCUCCUUCUCUCUUACGCUUGCUUGAAUUCUCUGUUUUUCACUUCAGUGGUUAGGCUUUCAGUUUUGCUCUUAGUCCAGGAUGCAUAUCACAUGGGUUCCGGACAAUUGUUUCUGGUUUGAAGAUCUCCGAUGAGAUGAAUAUUAUUAGUGGAAACAUUAUUGGAUUUUUUUAUUGAUAUAAUCCCGAAUCAGUUUCUGUUUUCUAUAUGUAAAAGGAACUUAAGUUUUCUAUACGUAAGAUGAGAGCAUUUGGAUAACCAUAUAUUCCAUGCUAAUAGCAUGCUGAAAGACACUAGUAAUAGGGAAAUCUGCGAACUUUGUGUCUGAGCGUCUUCUUGUUGUAUGGAUUUUAUCCGCUAAUUAGUGAUUUUGGUUUUCUUGCACAAAUCAUAUGGCAACCGAGAUGUGGAGCGUUAGGUCCACUUUUCAUGUCCGUGGAUACAAUAAUCCAGAGCCAGAGUUGAUUGAGACGGAUUUCAUUAGUUAUUUUGAUAUAAAGGAGAGGACAAAAGAGUUGGGUUUCAACCAUUGUGACAUCGUUUAUUAUGAGAAGAAAGGGGACAAUGGGAACUCCAUGGUUGAGUUAAUAAAUGACACUAGUGUUAUGAAGAUGCUUGAGGAGUUUGAUGCUUAUAAGGAGAUCGAUUUGCAUGUUUUCAGAACCUUGGAUCCAAAUACAUUUCCAUUUUCCAGGAAUGGUGUUGAUUCUUACAAGCCAAUAGUUGUGGUCUUGUUGAAGAGAAUAAUGAAGAGGACAAUAAAAAUGUGGAGAUGCUUUCAGAUGUAUAGUACAAUGAUCAAGUGGAAUACUAGAGGUAUUUGAAUGGGCAAGAUUAUGGAACUUAUUCAAGUGAUGAAGAUUUUGAUGUUGUUGCUGAAACAGAGAAGUUGAGAGCCAUGUAUGCUAAAAUGAAGGAGAAAGAAUUGCCAGAAAAGGGUGUGUAUUUAGAGGAUGAAUUUGAAGAUUUAUUUGAUGUCACAGAAGGCUUAGAUGGCAUUGAUCUUGAUGACAUUGCUCUUCCACAAACACAAAUGGAGAAAGACAUGAAUUUUGCAAAGAAAGAGGAAGCAAGACAUAAAAAAGGAGAAGACAACUAAGAAGAUGGCAUUGGCAAGGAGAAGGGACCAUAAGAAGAAAUUAGUUGACGGUGACUUUGAGCUUUUAGAUUCUCCAAACUCAGAUGGUGAAAAUGAUCCUUUAGGACAAGGUAUCGAUGAAAAUGAAGAUUCACGUUUGAUAGUUUUAUUACAAGGGAGAAAAAGAAGAAGGCCCAAGAUGUUGUUAGACCCAAGAAUGCAAUUUGAUGAUACUUACCUUAAUGAUGCUGAUAGUAUGCUAGAACAACUUGUCAAAGGGAUGUGUUUCAAAUCUUACAUUCUUAAGAAGUUGAUACUACUAGCAUUCUCUCAACAUGCAUAUCAUCCACGUGAGCGUUUUGCCGCAUAGGCUUUCACACACAGCUAUUUACACGAGCAAGUGUAAUCUUUGGCACCCUUCCACAUCCAUCAGAUAAAAAUGUUUAUUGCUAUACUCUUCAUGCAAGAGUUAAUCUCGCUGGCAUGCCUAAUAAACCACAUUCAAUACGUGCAUGCAAUGGAGCAUCAAAAUACCCGCGACCUUGAUCAUGAUAAAAUUACUCGCAAGUCAUGUGUCUCAUUAAUUAGCAUUUGGCAUUUGGAUGAGGUAAUCCUUUCUCGACUCCAUCCUUUUUGGCCAAUGUGGGGACAUGGGAGAUUGAUCCAUUUAAUGGCAAUGCUGAUUCCGGAGGUGUUAUCAUUACCCUUCGUCUUAGCAGCUUAGCUUAUUAAUCUGAACGAAUACAUCUCCAUCGAUCCUCAAAAAAUAUCCACCAAUUCUUCUCAUCUUCCGCAUCUCCACCUCUCUCUCCAAAAUAGGUUUCCACCGGCCAAGCCUUAUGGGUUAUCUCCAUCGAAGGUGGUCCGCUCACUACGCCAAAGUCUUAUGAUCAUUCUUUCUAACUCUACCUUUCUCGUGGCCCCGCGAUCCUUGUCAUCGAUGGUUAUGAUGGCCCAAGACGUUCUCCGAGACAUCGAUAAGAUGAGUUGUACGUGUACAUGCCACCGCCGAUGUCCUCCUCCAACAUCACUAGAGGUGGGUGCUUUCUUUCCUCUCAAUGUUCUCAGAUAUUAACAUAAUUUUUGAGUUGGUUCGAAGGUCUGAUUUUUGUGUGCUCGGAAAUUUAAUUGUAGGAACCUCUGUUCCAUCUCGAGUGAUCUCCUCCGUGGUAAUAAUCUAGUCAGUCUCUCUCCACCAAACUCCUUUCUAACUCAGUUAUUGCAUACACACAUAUGUCGGGAUAAGAUGAAUCAUUGAUGUUUCUCCAAUCCGAUUGUUUUUUAUUGGGGCGCUAGAUGGUGAAAUUUUCUUAUUCCUUUUGUGUUCUUUAGGGUUCUCGAGAGAACAAGUACAUGAAGUUAGAAUGUAUUGUUCUAAACUACAACUACAUCUCGCUAUCUUCCUCCCUUCACACAUAAUAAUUCAGUACAAAUUGUGUAAUUUUAUUCCUCUUCUUUGGUUGUUUUGUAGAAUCAUAACAUAUGGCAUAUUGGCAUAUCGGGGUUCAUUUUCAGGUUAUUUGUUCUCUAUGAGUAGUAUUUAAUUGUGAAUUUCAUGGGAUCUUUCUAUUACAUGAGUUAUAUAAUUGUGUGUUUAACAAUUUUGUUCUUCCCGUACUGCACGACUCUACCAUUGUCACAACAAUCAUCUACCUAUGUAAAUGAAUGAAAUAUAUGUGAACACACUUGCAUUCUCUCUCAAAUUUAAGGUAACUAUAUGUGGUGCCUAUAGACUUAAUAUACAUUUUUUUGUAGUAAUAAUAUCAGUAUGUGAUUAUUAUGGUACUAAUAACAAUCCUAACCUCAGAGGUUUCUUUCGAAUGAUUACUAAGUGGAUAAGGUAUAGGAUUAUGUAGUAAAAUGGAGUGCACAUGUGUCUACUCAGCAGCCAUGACAUUUUGUAUAGCUGGUUAUGUUUCGCUCAAUAACUGGAUCAAGGUGAAGAAUGAUUACUAUUCAGAUGCAUUAACACCGCAAGGCUCACAAAUUAGUAUGAAAUAUAUUCGUUUCUUGCUCUGAUGCACUUCUAAUAGACAAUCGAAUGAUAUGUUAAAAUAUUAUGAGAAAAAACUCAUUACAAUAUAUGUUACUUCUCUUUAUGUUGGUGAUGCAUUCUUCUAAUUAUGCAAAUAUGGAGAUAACUGACCAUAUAUUAAUAGGUCCAACUUUUUAUACCAUUCAAAGAUUCAAAUAGACGUAUAUUUAUAUUAUUGUUUCCAUCAAUUCCAUAAUUUCUCACUCUAUAUAACCUCCUAUAUACUACUACACAUUCCCGGAGCAACGCACGUGGUGUCAUCUAGUAUGUCAAAGAUUGUAGAGUAGCACUUAAGUCAUUCAUAUAUUGCAAGGACGAAGCUUUGGUUUUGUGAAGAAUAAGAUGGAAAAGGUGAAGGUGCAUUGCACACAGCCAAAUUGCGCCUUCUAUCUUUUUGCAUCAAAGAUAGCUAGUGAGUCCACUUCUAUGGUCAGAGAGGAUGUAGAGCCACACUCGUGUGGAUUAAUAGAGUGGACACUAGGCUGAAUUCCACAUGGAUAGCUUCUCAUUAUGAGGCUCAGUUCAGAGUUGAUCCCAAUUGGAGGCUUGAUGCUUUCAUGGAGGCUGUUAAGGGAGAUUUUAAUUUUGAAAUAAGAAAGAGGAUAGCAUAUAGGGCUAUAUCUUAUGCCCAAAAGAAGGUUCUUGGGGAUGAAUACAAGCAAUAUCUUAGAAUUAGAGACUACUUGCAUACAUUAUUGAACAAAAAUCAUGGAAGCAUCGCUAUAGGUACCACUCAGCCAAAUCUCAAGCCACAUGCCAAUGCUAAUCCUCUAUUCACCGGGCUGUUUGUGAGUUUUCAUUCACAAGACCCAGGAUUCUUAUUCGGCUAUAGGCCAUUCAUUGGAUUAGAUGGUUGUUUUGUCAAGCUAGCUAAUGGUGCACAAGUUUUAGCUGCCUCCACAAGAGAUGGCAACAACAACAUGUUUCCUUUAGUGUUUGGAGUGGUUAACAUAAAGGACAUUAACAAUUGGACAUGAUUUCUGCAAACACCAGAGUCAGCAAUUGGAUAGGGAGAGCAACAUGGUGGAUGGACAAUCAUGUGAGAUAGGGAGAAGGUAAUAACAUAUUUCUUAUCUUUUUCAUUUAUAUGUUACAUUUGAUUUGCAUGUUGUAACUGACAACUCUUCCAUUUAUUUGUGAGAGGGAUUACUUUCAGCAGUCACAAAGAUUUUUCCAUGUUGUGAACAUAGAUUUUGCAAAAGGCACGUUCUCACAAACUUCUCUAGAGCUAGAUUCAGAGGUGAAAUCUACAAGAAAUACUUUGAUAAGGUUGUUUAUGUAUUCACUUUGAAUGAGUACAAUAUUGACAUGGAGAACUUGAAAUCUUAUGACUUAGAAGCAUGGACGUGGGUUAGAGAAAUACCCAAGGAGCACAUUAGUAGGCAUGCUUUCAACACAAGAUCCAAGACUGAUCUUGUUGUGAACAACCUCAGUGAGGUGUUCAACAAAUACAUCCUUGACUAUAGAUAAAAGCCAAUUCGUACCAUGACGGGGCUCAUCAGAACUAGAGUUAUGAAAAUAUUUUGUUUGAAAAGAAAGGGAUGUGAGUCGGUGGCUAAGAGCAAAGCAAGGUAUUGCACAACUCAUCAAUUUAGUGUUGGGCUUUCGCAAGUAAACAACACUGAUAAGACCAAUGAAGUAAACAUGCUUAAUAAGACUUGUGGUUGUUUCAGAUUUCAAUUAUGUGGUUUUCCUUGUGAACAUGCGUGUGCAACUAUAUUUAAGGCUAAGGAAAGGCGUGAGAAUUAUGUUGAUGAUUUCUUCAAGUUGAAAAAUUACAAGAAAUCAUAUGGACACAUGAUAUACCCUGUUCCACAUGAAUCUGAGUGGAUUAAGACAUCAAGUCCAGACAUCGAGCCACUAGGUUACACUAUUCAACCAGGAAGGCCAAAGAAAAAUAGAAUAAAAGGGCAUGAGGAGAGUGGUUAUGCUUAUGCAAGAGAAAAAGAAGGAACAAUACAUUGUGGAAAUUGCAAGGAACUUGGCCACAAUGUCAAGGGCCGCAACAAGCCACUAAGAGCAUAUCUUGCUCUUAGGGUGAGAAAACAUGUGGUAAGCGCUCUCUUUUCCUUAAGAAAUUACAUUGCCGGUACUUGAUUCAAGUAUGGUACCAAAUAACCGCAUUUUUACUCUCUACAAUGCAAGACAUUGACAACAAGAACACAUCGGAGAAAUGCCAGUCCACCAGAUACACCUAAUACAGAACCUAAGCUACUCUAAGAGCGGGUGCAACAACAACUAGUAGGGGGAGAGGAAAAGUAGCUACAAAGAAGCCUAGAAGUUCAGCAUCGGGAGCACCUAUGACUGCUAGCACUGCUGCUCCAACAGAAUCUAGUAAGGGGAGAGAAAUAGGAGCAUCCAAAGUACCUAAAGGUACUCCUAAAACAUCAACUGGUAAGGGGAGAGGAAGAGGAGCACCUAAAGUAUCUGCAGCUAAAUUCCAGGUAAAAGAAUCACUUCUAGAAUAAAUGUAGGUGGCAAUAUUUUAUUGUUGUUUACAUCAUCUCAUAAUAUUCAGGUCCAAGAAUCACAUGCAUCAUUAUCAAGUGAUGCAGCAAUUGUGAGAGGAAGAGGGCCUGCUAGUAGUGGAACGGGGUUGCAUUUCAACCUAAUUAUGGACAUAAUAGAUCUUAUGGAAGAAGUUCAAGUGGGAGAAUGCACUCCUAGUUCACCAUUGGUGCUAGUGCAACUGCUACAGAUGGUGGUGCUAGAGAGGAGUAGCAAUUACCUCAUUUGAUAGCCUAUAUAGUUAAAAACUCAUGUCUCAUGUUUUUAUUUUGAACCCCUAUUAUGUUUUUAUUUUAAUAUCUCUAUCAUGUUGAACUCAUGCCUCAUGGAGAACUCAUAUGCAGAGUUUGAUUUGAUGAUGUUUACCUUCUUUGUGUAAUGGAUUAGGAAAAUGCAAUGUGGACAAAAGGCAUGUGUUCUGUCAAAAAUAUGGUAGCUUAUAUCAGACUUAUGCACAUCGUUAUGUGAUGACCCACAAGUAUAGGGGAUCAAUCGUAGUCCUUUCGAUAAGUAAGAGUGUCGAACCCAACGAGGAGCAGAAGGAUCUGACAAGUGGUUUUCAGCAAGCUAAAAUCUGCAGGCACUGAAAUUGUCGGUAACAAGUGAUUGUGUGGUGAGAUGAUUCGUAGCAAGCAACAAGUAGAAAAAGUAGAAAUGGUGUAGCAAAGUGGCCCAAUCCCUUUUGUAGCACAGGACUAGCCUGAAAAAAGUCUUAUAGGAGAAAAAACGCUCCUGAGGACACACGGGAAUUUCUGUCACGCUAGUUUCAUCAUGUUCAUAUGAUUCGCGUUUGUUACUUUGAUAGUUUGAUAUGUGGGUGGACCGGCGCUUGGGUACUUACCUUACUUGGACAAGCAUCCACUUAUGAUUAACCCCUCUCGCAAGCAGCCGCAACUACGAAAGAAGAAUUAAGACAAAGUCUAACCAUAGCAUUAAACUAGUGGAUCCAAAUCAGCCCCUUACGAAGCAACGCAUAAACUAGGGUUUAAGCUUCUGUCACUCUAGCAACCCAUCAUCUACUUACUACUUCCCAAUUCCUUCCUCUAGGCCCAAAUAAUGGUGAAGUGCUAUGUAGUCGACGUUCACAUAACACCACUAGAGGAAAAACAACAUACAACAUAUCAAAUUACCGAACGAAUACCAAAUUCACAUGACUACUAUUAGCAUGACUUAUCCCAUGUCCUCAGGAGCAAAAGUAACUACUCACAAAGCAUAAUCAUAUUCAUGACCAGAGAGGUAAUGAAUAGCAUCAAGGAUCUGAACAUAAACUCUUCCACCAAAUAAUCCAACUAGCAUCAACUACAAAGAGUAAUCAACACUACUAGCAACCUUACAAGUACCAAUCGGAGUCGCGAGACGGAGAUUGGUUACAAGUGAUGAACUAGGGUUUGGAGAUGAGAUGGUGCUGAUGAAGAUGUUGAUGGUGACGAGUCGCCUCCGAUGAGAGGAGUGUUGGUGAUGACGAUGGCGACGAUUUCCCCCUACGGGAGGGAAGUUUCCCCGGCAGGAUCGUCCUGCCGGAGCUCUAGAUUGGUUCUGCUCAAGUUCUGCCUCGUGGAAGCGGCGAAACCACGAAAAAGCUACUCCUUGAUUUUUUCCUGGAAAAAACCCUCCAUAUAGAAAAAGAGGGGAGCAAGUGGGCCAGUGGGCUGCCAACAAGCCCUCAUGGCGCGACCUGGGGGGGUGGCCACACCGUGCAGGCUUGUGGGCACCCCCUGGUGCCCCUCUUGCACUUCUUCGGCCCAGUAUUUUUGAUAAAUCGGGAAAAAAAAUCCUCGUUGAUUUUUACGGCAUUUGGAGUUGCGUAGGAUAGGUAUCUCAACUUUGCUCCACUUUCAGGCCAGAAUUCGAGUUGCCGGCAUUCCCCCUCCUCAUGUAUACCUUGCAAAAUAAGAGAGAAAAGGCAUAAGAAUAGUACCGUGAAGUGAAAUAACAACCAAUGAAGCGAUAGAUAUCAACAUGAAAACAUGAUGCAAAAUGGACGUAUCAACUCCCCAAGCUUAGACCUCGCUUGUCCUCAAGCGAAAGCCUAGCUCAAUAAAUAUGUCCACAUGUUUAGGGAGAGAGGUGUCGACAAAACAAGAUACGAACAUGCAUGCAUCAUGAUCAUGAUCAGAACAGCAAUACCAACAUAUAAUCUCUCAUGCUAAAGUGACAAUUCCUUCACAAAGUAAAGCAUGGAUCAAGAACCUUACCGAGAAGUAACAACCGAUAGCCUUUAGUCAUUGAAGCAAUUGCAAUUUAUGACAACAUCAGAAAGAGUCAAAUAAGAGCUUGUAAAGAAAACCCACAUACUCAAACAUUCUUUCGUCCUCUACAAUUGCUACAACUCACGUGGUACUCAUGAGAUCAAAGUUUCAGGUGGACACAUAGAAAGAUAGGGGCUUAUAGUUUUGCCUCCCAACUGCUUACCUCAAGGGUAAUGUCAACAAUAAUAAUUCAUGAAUACUUACCCCCCAAGUUGACAUAUGAAUAUAGAUCUUUCCCAAGCAUAUGACGGUAGCCAAGAUAAAGGCGGAAUAAGGAAUUGGUGAAGAUCACCAUGACUCUUUCAAGGGAAAAAAGUAAAGGUACAAGAUAGGCCCUUCGUAGAGGGAAGCAGAGGUUGUCAUGCGCUUUUGAGGUUUGGAUAGGUGCCCUGUUAGUGGGUAGGAACGUCACUUUAUAUUGCCCCCUGUGAUAAAGAACUUUAUUAUGCAGUCUGUCGCUUUUAUGUCUUCCUCAUCACAGGUUCGUAUAAAGCUUAUUUUCCACACACUAAUAGAUCAUACAUAUUAGAGAGCAAUUUUUAUUGCUUGCACCGAUGACAACUUACUUGAGGGAUAUUAUUCAAUCCAUAGGCAGGUAUGGUGGACUCUCAUGGCAAAAUGGGUUGAAGGUUUAUGGAUGCACAAGUAGCAUCUCUACUUAGUGCGGGAGGUUUGGCUAAUGUGAGGUGGAAGCAAUCGUCACAUGCAAAGGGAUCUCUAAUCAUAUAACAUUGUUCGGAACCAAGCAAACACAAUUCAUUAUGUUGUCUUCCUUGUCCAACAUCUACUUCUAGGCAUGCAAUAGUUUAGUGAGUGUUCACAAUCAUAGAUGGUGUCAGAGAUGAUAUAUUUAUAUGUGAACCUCUCCUUCUUUAUCACUUCCUAUUAAUUGCAACAAUGACCAAGGUCUACGUUUGCCUACCCUCAACAAGUUUCAAUCCUCAUUCUUUUUAUAUGUGAAGCCAUCACUUCCCAUAAGAUCAUUACAUGAUCUUUCAUGCUUUUGUUCUAUUCUCACUCUUUUGAUCAUGGCAAGAGGCAAAGCCCUUCAACUAAGAUACUCUUUAUUAUAUGGCUCACGAGCAAGAAUACAUUGGAGGUGACACAAAGCAAAACUCAAGACUAAAACACUAAGACUUUUAAACUACUAGAGAAAGAGAAAACUGAAAAGGAAAACUAAAACAAAAGGUAAAGGCAAAAGAUGUGAUGGUGAUACGAUACCGGGGCAACUCCCCCAAGCUUGGCACAAGCCAAGGGGAUUGCCCAUACCAAUGCUCAGUUGCCUUCCUUUGGUGGUGAUGGUGGAGUUGUUGCAACUUGAGUUUGAUCCUCCGUCUUCCAAGGCAUAGGUGCUCCAUCAUGGAAAGAUGAAUGAGUCUCCAGAAUCCUCAAAUUUGCAGCCAACCAUAUAGAUUUAAAUCUAUACUCAUACUCAGAGUUUUGGUUCUGUAGGUCAUAGAUCUGGGCCUGGAGUUGAUCAAUCCUGUCAUAGAGCCUGGAGAGGUGCUUUCUAAUGUCAUUGGCGUCAAUCCUGUGCUUGUUGGUGAACUCCGUGAUCAUCAUGUGGUUGGUGUUGAGUCCACGCUCCACCAUCCCUUCGCACUUGAAGACUUGUUGUUCCAUUGCUUCGAGCCUCGUCUCCAUGCUUCCGCUCUUCUUAGGCCCCUCAACAUCACGGAUGUGCAACAUCCCCUCUCGCAUCUCGAUAGAUUGAGGGUGUUGCAACACUCCCGUGAGGUAGGGAUUGAUGACCUUCUCGAAGAUCUUGUCCUUCGGAGCUUUUGGAGAAGUCAUAGCGAUCUAGAUCUGCAACAGAAACAGGCUCGACACAAAAAACAGAGGAAAUCUGCGUGAUGCAUGGGUCAGAGCAAAUGGAAGUAUAUAUAAUGAUUUUUUUCAGACCAGAAGGAGUACCUUGCACGAAAACGGAGUCCGCGAGGCCCAUGAGGUGGCCACAAGCCCUCACGACACGGCCAGGGGGUGGGCCCGCGCCGUGCAGGCUUGUAGCCUCCUCGCGCACUUUCCGCACUACUUCCAAUUUUUGUAUUUUUUCAAAUAUUCCAAAAUGGAGAAAAUUUCCUACUGGAAAAUUUUUGGACUGUGUUUUCUUACCGAAUCACAUACCUCUUCGUUUUCGGAGUCUGAAACAGGUUGAUAAAUAUCUCUUAGGUAUUCUUUCGGGGUUAUGGUAUUGAUGAUAUUGCUUUAAACAUUUAUGGGAGUACCUGAGAUAUAAUGCUUGAUUCUCUGCCCAUUUACCACUCUCGGACAAUUACCUUCCAUGUUGUUGAUCUUGAUAGCACUGAAACGAUAUACUUCCUCAACAACAUAGGGACCUUCCCAUUUAGAGAGAAGCUUGCCUGCAAAGAAUCUUAAACGAGAGUUAUAUAGCAAGACAUAAUCACCUACAUUGAACUCAUGUUUUUGUAUCCUCUUAUCAUGCCACCUCUUAACCUUCUCUUUGAACAACUUUGCAUUCUCAUAUGCCUGAGUUCUCCACUCAUCAAGCAAGCUAAUAUCAAAUAACCUCUUCUCACCGGCAAGUUUGAAAUCAAAGUUGAACUCUUUGAUUGCCCAAUAAGGUUUAUGCUCUAGCUCAAGAGGUAAAUGACAUGCUUUACCGUACACCAUUCUUUAUGGAGACAUGCCCAUGGGAUUCUUAUAGGCAGUUCUAUAAGCCCACAGUGCAUCAUCGAGCUUCUUAGACCAAUUCUUUCUAGACCUGUUGACGGUCUUUUGUAGAAUUAGUUUAAUCUCUCUAUUUCUUAGCUCUACUUGACCACUGGACUGAGGGUGAUAGGGAGACGCAAUUCUAUGGUUGACAUCAUACUUAGUAAGCGUUUUACGGAAAGCACCAUGAAUGAAGUGUGAACCACCGUCGGUCAUUAGAUAUCUAGGGACUGCAAAUCUAGGGAAGAUAACUUCUUUCAGCAUCUUGAUAGAGGUGUUGUGAUCAACACUACUAGUGGGGAUAGCUUCUACCCACUUAGUGACAUAAUCACAACAACUAGGAUGUGAGUAUACCCGUUGGAUUUUGGAAAAGGUCCCAUAUAAUCAAAGCCCCAAACAUCAAAUGGUUCAAUGACAAGUGAAUAGUUCAUAGGCAUUUCCUGAGUUUGCUAAUAUUACCUAUUCUUUGACAUUCGUCACAAGACAAGACAAACUUACGGGCAUCCUUGAAGAGAGUGGGCCAACAGAAACCUGAUUGCAAUAGCUUGUGUGCAGUUCUAUCUCCCGCAUGGUGUCCUCCGUAGGCCUCGGAGUGAAACUUCUGCAGGAUCUGUCCCUGUUCUUGUUCAGGUACACAACGUCUAAUAACACCAUCUAUUCCUUCCUUAUAAAGGUGAGGAUCAUCCCAAAAGUAGUGUCUCAAGUCAAAGAAGAAUUUCUUAUUUUGCCGGUAUGUGAAACUAGGUGGUAUGUAUUUGGCAACGAUGUAGUUUGCAUAAUCAGCAUAGCAUGAUGCACUACGUGAAGCAUUGAUGACAUUCAAUUGCUCAUCGGGAAAGCUAUCAUCAAUAGGUUGUGGGUCAUCAAGGACGUUCUCCAACCUAGACAAGUUAUCUGCUACUGGGUUAUCAGCACCCUUUCUGUCAACAACGUGCAAAUCAAAUUCUUGUAGCAAGAGAACCCAUCUAAUAACUCUAGGUUUAGCGUCUUUCUUGUCCAUGAGGUACUUAAUAGCAGCAUGAUGAGUGUGAAUAGUGACUUUGGAAUCAACUAUGUAAGAUCUGAAAUUUUCACAUGCAAACACGACUGCUAAAAAUUCCUUUUCCGUAGUGGCAUAGUUUCUCUGGGCACUGUCUAGAGUUUUACUAGGGUAGUGAAUAACAUUCAACUUCUUAUCAAGUCUUUGCCCUAGAACAACACCAACAUCAUAGUCACUAGCAUCACACAUGAUCUCAAAAGGAAAGUUCCAAUCAGGUGGUUGAACAAUAGGUGCAGUUAUCAAAGCCCUCUUAAGUAUUUCGAAGGCUUCCUCACAAUCAUCGUCAAAGACAAAAGGAAUAUCCUUUUGCAAGAGAUUGGUAAGAGGCCUAGAAAUCUCAGAGAAGUCUUUAAUGAAUCUUCUAUAGAAACCAGCAUGACCAAGGAAACUUCUUAUACCUUUGAUAUCUAUGGGGUAUGGCAUUUUCUCGAUUGCAUCAACCUUAGCCUUAUCGACUUCAAUACCUCUUUCAAAAAUUUAUGUUCUAAGACGAUGCCUUCAUUAACCAUAAAGUGGCACUUCUCCCAAUUCAACAUAAGAUUGGUGUCUGUACAUCUCUGUAAGACUCGAUCAAGGUUGCUGAGGCAAUCAUCAAAGGAAGACCCGUAAACGGAGAAGUCAUCCAUGAAAACCUUAACAAUCUUUUCACAAAAGUCAGAGAAUAUAGCCAUCAUACAUCUUUGAAAGGUGGCAGGUGCAUUACAUAAGCUAAAAGGCAUACAUCUAUAAACAAAGGUACCGAAAGGGCAGGUGAAAGUGGUUUCUCCUGAUCAUAUUGUGCAACUAGUAUUUGGGAGAAACCAGAAUAACCGUCUAGAAAGGAGAAGUGUGUGUGUUUAGACAGCCUUUCUAGAAUUUGGUCGAUAAAAGGCAGAGGGUAAUGAUAUUUCCUAGUGGCCUUAUUCAACUUCAUAAAAUCAAUCACCAUCCUAUAGCGAGUAAUAAUCCUCUGUGGGAUCAAUUCAUCCUUAUCAUUAGGGACAACGGUAAUGCCUCCCUUCUUAGGAACGCAAUGCACCGGACUUACCCAAUCGCUAUGAGCAAUAGGAUAGAUAAUACCCGCUUCUAGGAGCUUUAGUAUUUAUUUUCUUACUACUUCUUUCAUCUUAGGAUUUAAUCUCCUUUGAUGAUCAACAACUGGUUUGAAAUCAGGAUCAGUUUUGAUCUUGUGCUGGCAUAGAGUGGGACUAAUGCCCUUAAGAUCAUCAAGAGUAUAUCCAAUAGCAGCACGACGCUUCCUCAGAGUUUUUAGUAACUUAUUUUCUUCAUGCUCCGAGAGGCUAGCACUAAUUAUAACAGGAUAUAUCUCUUUUUCAUCAAGAUAGGCGUACUUAAGAGUAUGCGGCAACUGUUUAAGCUCGAACACAGGAUCACCCUUUGGUGGGGGUGGAUCCCCAAGCAGUUCAACAUGCAAGUUAUUCUUAACGAUAGGAUAUUGUUCCAAGACAACUCUAUCUAUUUCAGCCCUUUCAUCCAUAUGCAUAUCAUUUUCAUGCUCAAGCAAGUAUUGCUCUAAGGGAUCAGUAGGAGGCACAUCAAUAGAAGCUAAGGCAAUAGUUUCAUCCUUACUAGGCAACUCCUUUUCAUGAGGUUGUCUACCAAACUUAGAGAAACUGAACUCAUGUGACACACCUUCAAAGCCAACAGUGACAGUUUGCUUCUCACAAUCAAUAUGAGCAUUGGCAGUAUUGAGAAAAGGUCUGCCAAAUAUGAUGGGACAAAAGCUAUCUUGUGCGGUAGCAAGAACGAGGAAAUCAGCAGGAUACUUCGUUUUACCACACAAGACUUCAACAUCCCUAACAAUUCCGACAGGGCAGAUAGUAUCUCUAUUGGCAAGCUGAAUAGUGACAUCUAUAGGUUCUAUCUCUACAGGUGCAAUCUCAUCUUUGAUUUCAUCGUAUAAGGAUUGAGGUAUUGCACUAACACUAGCACCCACGUCACAUAAGCCAUGAUAACAAUGAUCUCCUAUCUGAACAGAAACCACAUGCAUACCAACAACAGGCCUAUGUUUGUCUCUAGCGUGAGGUUUAGCAAUUCUAGCAGCAUCUUCACAGAAGUGAAUAUUAUGUCCCUCAACAUCGUCGGACAGAAGAUCUUUGAUGAUAGCAAUGCUAGGUUCAACUCUAAUCUGCUCUGGGGGUGUAGGUGUUCUAAUGUAGCCUCUACAUAUCACAGUUGAAGCUUUAGAAUGAUCCUUUAUCCUAAUAGGGAAAGGUGGUUUCUGAAUGUAGGCACUGGGAACAAUAGGAUCGUUAUAGGGAAUGAAUUUCUCUUCAACAGGAGUGGGUUUAACUACAUUGACUUCUAAAGGAGGAUGAUAUUUAAACCACUUCUCUCUAGGGAGAUCAACAUGAGCAGCAAAGGAUUCACACAAUGAAGCUACUAUCUUAGAGUCAAGUCCAUACUUAGUGCUAAAGUCACAAAAAGUAUUUGUCUCAACAAAGGAUUUAACGCAAUCAAACAUGAAAUUCAUACCUGACUCCUUACCUUCUUCAAGCUCCCAAUCUUGAGAGUUGCGUUUGAUUCUCUCCAAUAAAUUCCAUUUGAAGUCAAUAUCUCUCUUCAUAAAAGAACCGGUACAAGAAGUGUUAAGCAUGGUGCGAUCAUCAUGAGAAAGCCGAGCAUAGAAAUUCUGAAUGAUAAUUUCUCUCGAGAGCUCAUGAUUGGGGCAUGAAUAUAGCAUUGAUUUAAGCCUCCCCCAAGCUUGAGCGAUGCUUUCUCGAUUGUAGUCUCAUGAUCCAGUAUCAUCACAUAGCCUAUACCAUGUCAACGCCUUAUCCUUCAAAGAUAAAGGAAAGACCUUCUUCUUGACCUCAUCCUUGGGCACACCUGCAAGCUUAAAUAAACCACUAACCUCAUCUACAUAGAUUAGAUGCAAGUCCAGAUGUGAUGUUCCAUCUCCUGUAAAAGGAUUAGCUAGCAGUUUCUCAAGCAUAUCCGAAGGAAAUUGAAAGCAAAUAUUUUCAGUAGGUGCAGCAGGUUGAGGAGCAACUCUUUGUGCUUCUGUUUGAGGUGAAGAUACCCCGAACAAGCCCCUCAAAGGAUUAGUAUCCAUAGUGACAAGUGACAACAAAUUUCAGCACACUAUAUGAAUGUUUCCUUACCAAGUUCCACUUACCAAAGGCGCUUCACUCCCCGGCAACGGCGCCAGAAAAGAGUCUUGAUGACCCACAAGUAUAGGGGAUCAAUCGUAGUCCUUUCGAUAAGUAAGAGUGUCGAACCCAAUGAGGAGCAGAAGGAUCUGACAAGUGGUUUUCAGCAAGGUAAAAUCUGCAGGCACUGAAAUUGUCGGUAACAAGUGAUUGUGUGGUGAGAUGAUUCGUAGCAAGCAACAAGUAGCAAAAGUAGCAACGGUGCAACAAUGUGGCCCAAUCCCCUUUUUAGCAAGGGACAAGCCUGGACAAAGUUUUAUAGGAGGAAAAACGCUCCCGAGGACACACGGAAAUUUCUGUCAUGCUAGUUUCAUCAUGUUCAUAUGAUUCGCGUUCGUUACUUUGAUAGUUUCAUAUGUGGGUGGACCGGUGCUUGGGUACUGCCUUACUUGGACAAGCAUCUCACUGAUGAUUAACCCUCUCGUAAGCAUCCGCAACUACAAAAUAAGAAUUAAGACAAAGUCUAACCAUAGCAUUAAACUAGUGGAUCCAAAUCAGCCCCUUACAAAGCAACGCAUAAACUAGGGUUUAAGCUUCUGUCACUCUAGCAACCCAUCAUCUAAUUACUACUUCCCAAUGCCUUCCUCUAGGCCCAAAUAAUGGUGAAUUGUUAUGUAGUCGACGUUCACAUAACACCACUAGAGGAAAAACAACAUACAACAUAUCAAAUUACCGAAUGAAUACCAAAUUCACAUGACUACUAUUAGCAUGACUUAUCCCAUGUCCUCGGGAACAAAAGUAACUACUCACAAAGCAUAAUAAUAUUCAUGACCAGAGAGGUAAUGAAUAUCAUCAAGGAUCUGAACAUAAACUCUUCCACCAAAUAAUCCAACUAGCAUCAAUUACAAAGAGUAAUCAACACUACUAGCAACCUUACAAGUACCAAUCGGAGUCGCGAGACGGAGAUUGGUUACAAGUGACAAACUAGGGUUUGGAGAUGAGAUGGUGCUGAUGAAGAUGUUGAUGGUGACGAGUCCCCUCCCAUGAGAGGAGUGUUGGUGAUUACGACGACGACGAUUUCCCCCUCCGGGAGGGAAGUUUCCCCGGCAGGAUCGUCCUGCCGGAGCUCUAGAUUGGUUCUGCUCAAGUUCCUCCUCGUGGCAGCGACGAAACCACGAAAAAGUUCCUCCUUGAUUUUUUUCCUUGACGAAACCCUCCAUAUAGCAAAAGAGAGGAGCAAGUGGGCUAGUGGGCUGCCCACAAGCCCUCAUGGCGUGGCCUGGGGGCAUGGCCGCGCCGUGCAGGCUUGUGGGCACCCCCUGUUGCCCCUCCGGCACUUGUUCGGCCCAGUAUUUUUGAUAAAUCGGGAAAAAAAUCCUCAUUGAUUUUUACGUUAUUUGGAGUUGCGCAGAAUAGGUAUCUCAACUUUGCUCCACUUUCAGGCCAGAAUUCCAGUUGCCGUCAUUCUCCCUCUUCAUGUAAACCUUGCAAAAUAAGAGAGAAAAGACAUAAGAAUAGUACCGUGAAGUGAAAUAGUAGCCAAAGAAGCGAUAAAUAUCAACAUGAAAACAUGAUGCAAAACUGAUUCAUAUACAUUAUUGUCAGUUUCACAUGCUAUCAAAAUUGUCGUUCCAAAGUACAAAAAUAAUCCCGCAGCUCUUACAUACAUGGUUUGAUGAAGAGAAAUAGACAAGCAAAAAUAAUAGUUUGAAUUUCUUUCAUCACAUUGAUAUUUGUCCAAAUUCCUACAUACAUAUCGGUAGUUUAAUACUACCACAAAAAUCACACUUCAACGUCACUAGGUCAAUACAACAUCACUAGUUCACUACUUUACAUAUAUAACCACACUCCACCAUCACCAACAGACUCAAAUACACGUAAAGUGGAUGUAGCUACAUUCAGUCACUCAAUUGUUGUCCAAGUACGUCACAACAACAACAACAGCUGCAAACAGAAGCACGACAAAUGAAAUGCCAAGCUCUUUUUUCAUCUGCACCAAGCUGAGCAACUUCACGGCACACAACUCAUGCACUGUUAGCAGCUCAUCAUUCUUCAUGAAAAUGGCUUCUAGGUGAUACAUCAAACCAGCUACCACAUAAUCACUAGAGGAGUUAAUUGCAUCCCUAUUCACACAUACAAUAGGCCAACAAUGUUUGUACAUGGACUUGCAAGGAGAAACAAUUCAGAGGAAGAAAUAAGCUUGCUGACCGUGAUGGUCGAGGGGGAGGGGGGAGCUCGUCGGGGGGGGGGGACUACGUGCUCGAGGCACGGUAUCCGCAUGCCACUGUCGCGCUCUUUCAACACCCACCGCCACAGUUGAUGUCAUUCACCACCCGCAUUUGGCGAUGAUGUCAUUUAACACCCUCAUAUGCCGUUGAUGUCAUUCAGCACCCAUAGUUGCCGUCGAUUCCCUUCAGCACCCGCCGUUGCUGUCGUUAUCGCCGCCGCCGCCUCCACCUCUCUAAGCUAAGCCCUAACCCUAGGCGUGAGCGAGAGAGGUGCAUGCAGUAAGAAGUUGGGAAAACGGUGCGUGUGCUAGAGGCGAACAUGACACGGCUCGGGUCAAUCGUAGAUCACCAGGACCAGGUCGUUUGGUCGGGCACAAUGGUGUGGACUGGUUUAACAUGGUGUCAUCGUUUUGUCAUGACACAUGACAUGGGGUGGCUUAUCUCGAGUGGUUGAGGCCAAUGUUCGCCAGCGUACUCCGGGAAUGGGAUUGGGAACUAUUGGGGAACGUUGCAUGGAAAACAAAUUUUUUUACUACGCACACGAAGACCUAUCAUGGUGAUGAUCAUCUACGAGAGGGAGAUCAGAUCCACAUACCCUUGUAGAUCGCUAAGGGGGAAGCGGUAAGAAACACGGUUGAUGUAGUGUAACGUCUUCACGAUCCAAAUAGCCGUCGUCCCACGAUCCUUCCUGAUCUAGCAUCGAACGGACGACACUAUCUCCGCGUUCAGCACACCUACAACUCGAUGACAAUCUCCACCUUCUUGAUCCAGCAAGAGAGACGAAGAGGUAGAUGAAUUCUCCAGCAGCACGACGCCGUGGAGGUGAUGAUGGUGGAGCUACUCUGGCAAGGCUUCGCCAUGCCGUACCGAACUAGCUACAGGGUGUCACGAAAUAGUGGAUGGAGAGAGGGCUGCACAAAGGCUUGAGGUGCAAAAACGCUCUCAAACCUCCACUAUAUAUAGGAGGAACCAAGGGGAGGGUGGCUUGUCUCCUACUCCAAGGAGGAGGAGUCGGCCCAGCCAAGAGGGAGGAGUCCUCCUCCAAUUCGGUUUGGUGGAGGACUCCUUCCCAUCUUGUNNNNNNNNNNNNNNNNNNNNNNNNNNNNUUCUUUAUUUUUGCCUUGUCAAAAAUAGGCUUAUUGGGCUGGCCUCACAAGCCCACUAAGGGCUGGUGCACCACCAUGGGCCUAUUAGGUCCUCUCCCGGGUGGGUGGCCCUUCCCGGUAAAACCCCGUAACCCAUUCGUCACUCCCGGUACUUUACCCGUAAUGCCCGAAAUCUUUCUGGAAGCCAAAUGCAACAAUCCUAUAUAUGAAUCAUCGUUUCCGGACCAUUCCGGAGACACUCUGACGUCCGAGAUCUCAUUUGGAACUCCGAACAACAUUCGGUUACCAACAUCAAUAAUUCAACUGUACCGAAAACGUCACCGAACCUUAACUGUGCAGACCCUACGGUUCGAGAACUAUGUAGAAUUGACCGAGACACUCUCCGGUCAAUAUAUAAUAGCGGGACCUUGACGUCCAUAUUGGACCCUACAUAUUCUAUGAAGAUCUUAUCGGUUGAACCUCUAUGUCAAGGAUUCACACAAUCCCGUAUAUCAUUCCCUUUUUCCUUCGGUAUGUUACUUGCCCGAGAUUCGAUCGUCGGUAUCGACAUACCUAUUUAAAUCUCGUUACCAGCAGGUCUCUUUACUCGUUCCGUAAUACAAGAUCCCGUGGCUAACUCAUGAGUCACAUUCCUUGCAAGGCUUGUUUAUGAUGUUGAAUUACCGAUGGGCCCCGAGAUACCUCUCCGUCACACACAGUGACAAAUCCCAGUCUUGAUCCAUGCUAACUCAACGGACACCUUUGGAGAUACAUGUAGAUCACCUUUAUAGUCACCCAACAAUGUUGCAACGUUUGAUACACACAAGGCAUUCCUCUGGUGUCAGUGAGUUACAUGAUCUCAUGGUCAUAUGAAUGUAUACUUGACAUGCUGAAAACUAUAGCAACAAAAUGACACAAUCAUAUGCUACAUUUAUAGUUUGGUUCUUGUCCAUCACAUCAUUCUCGUAAUGAUGUGAUCCCGUCAUCAAGUGACAACACUUGUCUAUGGCUAGGAAACCUUAACCAUCCUUGAUCAACAAGCUAGUCAAGUAGAGGCUCACUAGGGACAUUGUUUGUCUAUAUAUCCACACAUGCAUUUAUGUUUCCAUUCAAUACAAUUAUAGCAUGGAUAAUAAACAAUUAUCUUGAAACAAGAAAUAUAAUAAUAACUAUUUUAUAUUGCCUCUAGGGCUUAUUUCCAACAGUCUCCCACUUGCACUAGAAUCAAUAAUCUAGCUUCAUAUCUCUAUGUGAUUUACAAUGUAAUGAAUCUAACACCCAUACAGUUCUAGUGUUGAUCAUGCUUUUCUCAUGGAAGAGGCUUAGUCAGCGGAUCUGCAACAUUCAGAUUCGUGUGCACUUUGCAAAUAUUUAUGUCCUCCUCCUUGAUGUAAUCACGGAUGGCAUUGAAGCAUCGCUUUAUGUGUGUGGUCCUCUUGUGAAACCUUGGUUCCUUGGCUAGAGCAAUGGCACCAGUGUUGUCACACAACAGAUUUAUUGGGUCCAGUGCACUUGGUACUACUCCAAGAUUUGACAUGAACUGCUUCAUCCACACACCCUCUUUAGCCGUCUCUGAGGCAGCCAUGUACUCCACUUCACAUGUAGAAUCAGCUAUGACACUUUGCUUGGAAGUGCACCAGCUUACCGCACCCCCGUUAAGAAUAAAUGUGUAUCCGGUUUGAGACUUAGAGUCAUCCAGAUCAGUGUCGAAGCAUUUAUCAACAUAACCCUUUACGACGAGCUCUUCGUCGCCUCCAUAAACGAGAAACAUUUCCCUAGUCCUUUUCAGGUACUUCAGAAUAUUCUUGACCGCUGCCUAGUGCACCACUCCUGGAUCACUCUGAAACCUGCCUGCCAUACUUAUGUCCAGGCUGACAUCUGGUCUUAUGCAUAGAAUUGCAUACAUGAUAGAUCCUAUGGCUGAAUCAUAGGGGACGACACUCAACUUUUCUCUAUCUUGUGCAGUUACUGGAUAUUGAGUCUUACUCAACUUUAUACCUUGUAACACAGGAAAGAACCCCUUCUUGGAUUGUUCCAUUUUGAACUCCUUCAAAACUUUAUCAAGGUAUGUGCUUUGUGAAAGAUCUAUCAGGCGCCUUGACCUAUAUCUAGUGAUCUUUAUGCCCAAUAUCUAAGUAGCUUCUCCUAGAUCCUUCAAUGAAAAACAUUUAUUCAAGUAAUCCUUUACGCUUUCCAAAAACUCUACAUUGUUUCCAAUCAGCAAUAUGUCAUCCACAUAUAAUAUUAGAAACGCUAUAGAGCUCUGAUACGUCUCCUUCGUAUCUACUUUUCCAAACUCUUUUGCCCUUGUUUUGGACUCUAAUUUGCAUGAUUUGAAUGGAACUAACCCGGACUAACGUUGUUUUCAGCAGAAUUGCCAUGGUGUUCUUUUUGCGCAGAAAUUCUCGGAAUGAACUGGAAAUUUAUGAGGAUUUUUUGUGGAAUAUAUAAAAAAUACUGGCGCAAGAAUCAACCGGAGAAGUGGAGCGAGGAGCCCACAAGCCCACCAAGCGCGGCCCCCCUGGCCGCGCCUAGCAGGCUUGUGGGGCCCUCGGAGCUCCGCCGCCUCCAACUCCAGCUCUAUUUAGUCCCUUUCUUCCGGAAAAAAAUCAAGGAGAAGAGUUCAUCGCGUUUUACGAUACGGAGGCGCCGCCACCACCUGUUCUUCCUCUGGAGGGCAGAUCUGGAGUCCGUUCUGGGCUCCGGAGAGGGGAGAUCGUCGCCAUCGUCAUCACCAACCUUUCUUCGUCGCCAAUUCCAUGAUGCUCUUCAUCGUUCGUGAGUAAUCUCAUCGUAGGCUUGCUGGACGGGGAUGGGUUGGAUGAGAUCUAUCAUGUAAUCGAGUUAGUUUUGAUGGGGAUUGAUCCCUAGUAUCCACUAUGUUCUGAGAUUGAUGUUGCUACUACUUUGCCAUGAUUAAUGCUUGUCACUAGGGCCCGAGUGCUAUGAUUUCAGAUCUGAACCUAGUAUGUUCUCGUCAAUAUGUGUGUGUUCUUGAUCCUAUCUUGCAAGUUGUAUUCAGCUACUAUGUGUUACGACCCGGCAACCCCGGAGUGACAAUAGCCGGAACCACUCCUGGAGAUGACCAUAGUAUGAGGAGUUCAUCUAUGCACUAAGUGCCAAUGCUUUGUUCCGGUUCUCUAUUAAAAGGAGAACCUUAAUAUCCCGUAGUUUCCAUUAGGACCCCGCUGCCACGGGAGGGAUGGACAAUAGAUGUCAUGCAUGUUCUUUUCCCUAAGCACGUAUGACUAUAUACGGAAUACAUGCCUACAUUACAUUGACGAACUGGAGCUAGUUACAUAUCUCCCCAUGUUAUAACUGUUGCAUGAUGAAUGUCAUCCGGCAUAAUUAUCCAUCACCGAUCCAAUGCCUAUGAGCUUUUCCUACUGGUCCUUGCUACGUUACUUUGCCGCUACUGCUGUCACUACUGCUACUGUUACUGCUACUGCUGCCACUGCUGCUACUAUUACCAUUGCUAUUGUUGCCAUCACACCACUUUGCUACAGAUAAUUUGCUGCAAAUACUAAGUCUUCCAGGUGUGCUUGAAUUGAAAACUCAACUGCUAAUACUCGAGAAUAUUCUUUGGCUUCCCCUUGUGUCGAAUCAACAAAUUUGGGUUGAAUACUCUACCCUCGAAAACUGUUGUGAUCCCCUAUACUUGUGGGUUAUAAAGCUCCCACUAACUUUCUUGUAAAUAGAAGGUUCUCCAAAAACUUGUGUAAACCCAAACGCCUUGAUCACCUCAUCAAAGCGGUGAUUCCAACUCCAAGAUGCUUGCACCAGUCCAUAAAUGAAUUGCUCGAGCUUGCACACUUUGUGAGCAUUCUCUGGAUCAACAAAACCUUUGGGUUGCAUCAUAUACAACUAUUCCUUAAGAAACCCGUUAAGGAACGCCGUUUUGAUAUCCAUCUCCUAGAUUUCAUAAUCGAAAAAUGCAGCUAUUGCUAACAUGAUUCAGACGGACUUAAGCAUUUCUACGGGUGAGAAUGUCUCAUCGUAGUCAACUCCUUGAACUUGUGGAAAACCCUUUGCUACAAGUUGAGCUUUAUAAACGGUCACAUUACCGUCUAAGUCUGUCUUCUUCUUAAAGCUCCAUUUGUUCUGAAUAGCCUUUCGACAUUCAGGUAAUACUUCCAAAGUCCAUACUUUGUUUUCAUACAUAGAUCCUAUCUCGGAUUUCAUGGCUUCUAACCAUGUGUUGGAAUCUGGGCCCACCAUUGCUUUUCCAUAAUCCCUAGGCUCAUUGUUGUCCAACAACAUGAUUGACAAGACAUGAUUCCCAUACCACUCAGGAGCAGUACGUGCUCUUGUCGACCUGCGAGGUGUGACAAAAACUUGAUCUGAAGCUUCAUGAUCACCAUCAUUAGCUUCCUCUUCAACUGGUGUUGCCUCGACAAAAAAAUAUUUCUGCCCUGCACCACCAUCCUGUUGAAGUAGAGGUUCCACAACUUCAUCAAGGUCCAUCUUCCUCCCACUCAAUUCUUUCGAGAGAAACUCUUUCUCAAGAAAAGCUCCGUUCUUAGCGACAAACACUUUGCCCUCGGUUCUUAGAUAGAAGGUAUACCCAACAGUCUCUUUUGGGUAACCUAUGAAGACGGACUUUUCCGCUUUGGGUUCCAGCUUUUCAGGCUGAAGCUUUUUGACAUAAGCAUCACAUGCACAAACUUUAAGAAACGACAACUUUGGCUUCUUGCCAUACCACAACUCAUAUGGUGUUGUCUCAACGGAUUUUGAUGGUGCCCUAUUUAAAGUGAAUGCAACUGUCUCCAAUGCAUAGCCCCAAAAUGAUAAUGACAAAUCAGUAAGAGACAUCAUAGAACACACCUUAUCUAAUAAAGUACGAUUACGAUGUUCAGACAUACCAUGACGUUGUGGUAGUUCCAAUCGGUGUCAACUAUGAAACAAUUCCUCAUUGUCUUAAGUGAGCACUAAACUCGUAGCUCAGAUACUCACCUCCUCGACCAAAUCAUAGGAACUUGAUUUUCCUUGCUACGAUGAUUUUAGACUUCACUCUAAAAUUGCUUGAACUUUUCAAACGUUUCAGACUUGUGUUUCAUCAAGUAGAUAUAACCAUACCUACUCAAAUCGUCAGUGAAGGUGAGAAAAUAACGAUAUCCGCCGCGCGCCUCUAUGCUCAUCGGUCCGCACACAUGAGUAUGUAUGAUCUCCAACAAGUCACUUGCACGUUCCAUUGUUCUGGAGAACGAAGUCUUAGUCAUCUAGCCCAUGAGAGAUGGUUCGCAUGUGUGAAGUGAUUCAAAAUCAAGUGACUCCAAAAGUCCAUCAGCAUGGAGUUUCUUCAUGCGGUUUUCACCAAUAUGUCCUAAGCGGUAGUGCCACAAGAAAGUGGCACUAUCAUUAUUAACUCUACAUCUGUUGGCCUCAAUGUUAUGGACAUGAAUGUCAUCACAAUCGAGAUUCAAUAUGAACAAACCCCUCACAUUCGGUGCAUGACCAUAAAAGAUAUUACUCAUAUAAAUAGAACAACCGUUAUUCUCUGACUUAAAUGAGUAACUGUCUUGCAAUAAACCAGAUCCAGAUACAAUGUUCAUGCUUAACGUAGGCACUAAAUAACAAUUAUUAAAGUUCAUCACUAAUCCCGAUGGUAAUUGAAGGGAGAGCAUGCCGACUGCGAUCGCAUCAACCUUGGAACCAUUUCCCAUGCGCAUCGUCACUUCAUCCUCCGCCAGCCUUUGUUUAUUCCGCAGUUCCUGUUUCAUGUUGCAAAUGUGAGCAACAGAACUGGUAUCAAAUACACAUGCACUACUACGAGAGCUGGUGAGGUACACAUCAAUAACAUGUAUAUGAAAUAUACCUUGUUUGGCGUUGGCUGCCUUCUUAUCGGCCAAAACUUGGGGUAGUUGUGCUUCUAGUGACCAGUCCCCUUGCAAUAAUAACACUCAUUUUUCGGCUUAGGCCCAGCCUUGGGUUUCUUCGUCGAAGGGGCAACAACUUUGCCACUCUUCUUGGAGUUACCCUUCUUGCCUUUGCUGUUUUUCUUGAAACUAGCAGUCUUAUUGACCAUCAACACUUGAUGUUCUUUCUGGAUUUUUGACUCAGCGACUUUCAGCAUCGCCAACAACUCGCCAGGUGACUUAUUCAUCCCUUGCAUAUUAUAGUUCAACACGAUGCUCUUAUAGCUAGGUGGCCGUGACUGAAGAAUUCUGUCAGUGAUAGCUUCUUGCGGGAGUUCAAUGCCCAGCUCGGCUACAUGGUUAGAGUACCCAAGCAUUCUGAGCACGUGUUCACUGACACACGAAUUCUCCUCCAUUUUGUAGGCAUAGAACUUAUUGGAGGUCUCAUACCUCUCGAUCCGGGCAUUCUUCUCAAAGAUAAACUUGAACUCCUCGAACAUCUCAUAUGCUCCAUGACGUUCAAAACGUCUUUGAAGUCCCGGUUCUAAGACAUACAAAACUCCACAUUGAACUAGUGAGUAGUAAUCCAUAUGGGACUGCCAAUAGUUCAAAACAUCUUGGGUCACCGUUAGCGGGUGGUGCAUCACCUAGCGCAACAUCAAGGACAUAUUGCUUUUGUCCAGAUGUGAGGAUAUGCCUCAGAUUACGGGCCCAGUCAACAAAGUUGCUUCCAUCAUCUUUCAGCAUAGCUUUCUCUAGGAAUGUAUUAAAAUUCAGGGUUGCUACUGCGCGAGCCAUUGACCUACAACAUAAAAUUUUGCAAAGAUUACUUAGACUAUGUUCAAGACAAUUGGGUUUAGAUAAUCAUAUUACUAAUAAACUCCCACUCAAAUAGACAUCCAUCUAGUCAUUCGAGUGUGGCAUGAUCCAAUUCCACUAACUCAUGUCCGAUCAUCAUGUGAGUUGAGAUUAGUUUCAAUGGUGAACAUCUCUAUGUUGAUCAUAUCAACUAUAUGAUUCAUGCUCGAACUUUCGGUCUCUUGUGUUACGAGGCUAUGUUUGUACAUGGUAGGCUCGUCAAGUUUAACCCGAGUGUUCCACGCGUGCAACUGUUUUGCACCCGUUGUAUGUGAACGUUGAAUCUAUCACACCCGAUCAUCACGUGGUGUCUCGAAACGACAAACUAUCCCAACGGUGUACAGUCCGGGAGAACACAAUUUUAUCUUGAAAUUUUAGUGAGGGAUCACCUUAUAAUGCUACCGUCAUCCUAAGCAAAAUAAGGUGCAUAAAGGAUUAACAUCACAUGCAAAUCAAAAAGUGACAUGAUAUGGCCAUGGUCUUGUGCUUCUUGAUCUCCAUCACCAAAACACCGGCAUGAUCUCCAUCAUCACCGGUGCCACCAUGAUAUCCAUCAUCAUGAUCUUGAUCAUUGUGCUGCCAUCGAGGUUGUCGCGCUAUCUAUGCUGUUACUACUAAAGCUACUGCCUAGCGAUAUAGCAAGAGCAUCUACAAGCGCAAUUUUUUUAAGACAACCCUAUGGCUCCUGCCGGUUGCCGUAGCAUGGACAUGAAAGUCGAUAUUUAACUACUACAACAUGAUAAUCUCAUACAUGCAAUAUAUCAUAUCAUGUCUUUGGCCAUAUCACAUCACAAGCAUACUCCACAAAAACAAGUUAGACGUCCUCUAAUUUGUUGUUGCAUGUUUUACGUGGAUGCUAUGGGUAUCUAGUAUGACCACAUCUUACUUACGCAAAGCCACAACAGUGAUAUGCAAAUUGCUAUUUAACCUUAUCCAAGGACCGCCUCGGUCAAAUCCGAUUCAACUAAAGUUGAAGAAACAAACACCCGCCAGUCAUCUUUAUAUAGGACACUUCAUCGGCAGUGCCCUGCCCUCCUCGGGCCGCUCCAUGACAAGGACAAUGCUCACCACAUGGGUGGUGGCCGGGAUGUAGGCUAGGAUAGGCUCCUUCUCCUUCGACGCGGUGAGGAUGGGCAUGGUGGAGAGCACACGCUCGAGGUCGCGGAAGGCCUCAUCCAAGAUGAUGUGAGUGCCAUGAUUGUCACUGUAUGCUUGAGUGUGUGAUCAUGAGAUGAUAUAAAGCCAUUUCACAAUAUUGAAUUGUUUUCUAAAAACCUUUACUAGUUUCUGAUCAAGGUAAAAACCCUACUUUGAGUUGCACCACAUGCUUUUGAUGUCAAGCAAUGAUGCUACCCAAAGUUGGUGAUAUGAUUUUAGCUUGUCUUUAUAUUCCAAAACCACAAAAAUAAGUAUUUUUAUAAUCAUUUCCCUAAUUGAAUUACAUGUCCAUUUCUGAGGCCAGAAUUGGUAUUCCUACAUGGAAAAAUACUUUUAUGCCUUAGAAAAAUCUGAUUAAAUUUAGAGAUGAUCAGAAGGACAAAUAUUUUCCAUACAUAAGAUUUUAAACCCUAUUUUAUAUUAUAAUUAUUUGAAUAAAACCCUGAAAGCCAUUUCUGUCUGUUUUGACCUUUUGAAAUAUUUCCAAAGGAAAUAUUCUCAAUAAAAUCCUAGAAAAUUCCAGUGGUAUCCCUAAGUCAUAUUUGGUGUCCACAUAAAGUUUCACCUUGAUCCAAGGUGAUUAAGAACCCCAAAUAACCCUAAAACCCCUUCUGUCCAGAGUGAAGUUAGAGCAACUCUACAUAACAAGUUUGUCCUAGGACGCUGAAUUUUUGCACGAGUGCCUAAUACCUCAAAUGAGGAUUCCACACCAAAAAUGGGAUUUGUGGGACUUAGUUUGCCCACACUCUCUUAGGAAGGGACAGAUCUAGUCAAAUGGAAGUGUUUUCAAGUUUACAAAGCUAAACUUGUCCAAUGGAGCUCAAACUUGGUGAAACCCCAUGGUUUAGCACCAAACCCAAACUUGUUAAGUUGAAGCACCAGUGGUGGGGUGCAACCCCCUCAAACCACUGUCGUUCACCUUAUGGCAGAUAGGGAAAAUCCACCUUAGCCACAGCUAAACCCAACCCCUUUGCUCCAAACUCAUAGAUUAGGUGGCCAGUAUCCAUAUCUAAGCCCAGUCAACUGGCCCCUCACUGGUUCAAAGUGGAAAGGCCAAAAACUCCAAUUUAGGCUUCAGUUCAAGGCUGACACCACCAGUAUUUCUUGUCUCCCUUGACGAGUCAAAGCUCCCACGAGACCCGAACGGCUAGCCACACUCCCAGCCAGUGCCAGGACAUGCUAGACACGUCCAAAGUGCCUCAGAGUGCACCAACAUGCCGUGGCAUGCCAAAACUGCGCUCUGGGCGCACUACAGGAAGCCACCGAGGUGGGUGCGACGCUCUCGGCCAGUUCCAGCCUCCCCCGAGCUGACCAACCUCUUCCCCAACAACACCUCUGCGUCAAGCAACCCUCAGGGCCCCUCCUUCCCCCACGCUAGAGCUCGUGCGACGCGUGCCCGCGCGUACCAGAACCGGCCAAGGUUGCGCGGCCACGGAUGCUCGACUCCUCCCUCUCUCCCUCUGCAACAGAUGGUUCUAGUAGUCCAAAACCAUGUCCUGAGACCGUGGUUUUGACCCCAGGACCUCUCUGCACCCCCAUGCGUGCCACGGUGAGUCACCGGCGCUCCCGAAUCGGCUCACCGCCGCGGGCCAAUUUAUAGCCCUCCCCCUUGCUCCAGCACCCCUCAGAUAGCUUCACCACGACCACUAGCACCUCCCUAGCCACCCCAGCAAACCAGCACAACCCUGGUGCUCGAGAUCGACCGAGGCCCCUCCGCCUCGGAGCUCCGGUUGAUCUCUGGCUACACGACGGCUCCUACGCCCGUCGACCCACCAAACUGAUCCCCUCAACCCCAGGAAGCUUCCCGCAACUCGCCCGAGCAUUUCCGUGCCUCUAGCCAUCUCCUCGACCACCUCCCGUAUCUCCUCCGCCGUGACCUCCUCGUCGCCGGUGAACCCCUGCCUCUGCGACGUUGUUCCGACCACCAGCAGGUAGGGGACAUCAUGGCGAACCUAUUCCAGCCCUUGUUGGGGACUUGAGAGCGUCGGCAGCCUCGCCGGCGUGCUCCUCCUCCCCUCUGGCCAGAGGUAGGAGACGACCCGGACAGGUGUGUCCCACCUGUCGGUGGCCCAGCCUCCUCCCCUGCGCUGCCCACAGCCACUGACCGCAGGUCCCCGCACGUCAGGUUCAAACCUGACGGCGCACGUGCCUGGGCAGGCUGUCGGCUGGCCAUGGGCCAACCCAGUUUCAGGCCGAGCCAGGCCAUGGACUUAGCCCAUUUUCUUUUAUUUUAAAAACCCGAUUUCUAAUAUUUUUAUAAUAAACAUUUAACCAGUGUAAAAAAUAUAAUUUUUCCACUGUUAUUCUCCUAAAAAUAUGUAGUAUUUAAUAAUAUGAUUGGAUGGAUUUUUCAACAACUAUUCUAUUUUACAAUAAUAAAAAGGACUAAAUUGGAAUAGUUUUGCUUCUAUUUGGUUAAUUUUAAAAAUGUUCCUUCAAGAGAAUUUGUCGUGCUCGCCCAUGGUAAGCAAUACAGCCGACUCCCCCGCCGCCACGUGUGAGUGGCCUCAGGGAGCAAGUGAUGAUGAGAGCUGGGUAGACCCAGUAUUGCCUCACCCGAUCGCAGUCUGUAGAGGUCGGCGGUACGGCCGACUUCACUAUAGCCAUGCGCGCACGGCGUCAUCGAGUGGUUGGUCCUGUGUCGCAUCCCAUCGGAGGGGAUGAAUCUUGACGUAUGGGCCGAUGACUUGGCAGGAAGGGGUCCGUCAGCUGGCGGGUUGCCUAGAGCCGUAGGGAUGAGGACCCAACUGCAAACCAACCAAAGCGGCUCGAGCCGACCCGCCAGAGCAGGCUCCCAAGGGGCCGAGCCGUCCCCGAUGUUUUGACAAAAGGGGCAUGAGAUAAGAUGAGGCUACCCUAGGGUUAUCCCCCACAGUAGCCCCCGAAGCCGGGAGACCACCAUCGAGUGGAACGUCGUAGUGCUUCGGUUGUGGGGAGCGGGGCCGCCAUGUGCCGAGCGCCACAGGCCCGGCCGAGUCGAACCACGUGGAUGACUGGAUAGGGCCUGGAGUUGGGGCCCACCCAUCCAAGACCUCGCUCCGCGUGCGGGUUCUACUGCGACCGAGGAGGCCAUCGGUCGACCUUCCCGUGCGAAUUAACACGCCCAUGCGGAGUGGGGGGAGUGGAGAUCGUGCGCAACCGAGCCAUUCCUCCACUUGCGGUGCGGGGGUUUAAAUGAAGGGGAGGGGCAUGGAGCAGGCACUCCGCCCUCAUUGCCCCCAGCCCCUCGCCUUCCUUGUUGUGCCCAAGAAAGAGAGAGAGAGGACGAGCAAACGUCGCGUGGACCCCGCGAGCGCCACCGGUCGCCUCCGAUGUCAAUCCCCCCAUUCGGGAACUUCUUCCGCACUGGCCACGCCACCGCCUCGCCCGAGCCCGUCCCGAGCCAACUGAUGGUGAGCAGGUGGGAAUGGGAAAUCAGCAACAUCAACGAGGACCACAUCGAGACCUCCGCCAACGCUAUCAGUUGCCACCGCAAAGCGGCGUGGAGGCGCGGCCGCCCGGGGCUGAGCAUGUCCCAGCACCCCGGCACAGAGAAGUAGUGGUCUUCAUGGAGCACUUCGUCCGCGGAUUCGGGCUGCCGGUGAGCACAUUUUUCCGGUGGUUCCUAACCAAGUUCGGGUUGCAGCCCCACCACCUUGGGGCCAACUCCAUUCUGCAGCUCUCUGCCUUCCUCACGCUAUGCAGGCGAUAUCUUGGAAUUGAGCCACAGCUCAACCACUGGUGCCUCCUCUUCUACCUCAAGAAGCAUAUGGUGGAGGACAAGGCGAGAGGGAUGGAGAUGACCACGUGUGGGGCGGCCCUCAUCUACAACCGACUUGAACCGGCUUCCACAAGUGCCGUGGUUUUACCACGAUAGAUGUCCUCAUGAAAGGACUUAGUGAUGAGACCAUCGCAACUCUGUGGCGACUGAAAUAGAUUAAUCGGGAUCAGGAAGCGUGUUUACCCAGGUUUUGCCCCUCCGAUGGAGGUAAAAGCCUACGUCCUACAUUGUGUGUAUUGAUAAUGAAAUCUAUUAGAAGGGUGCUAAUUCGCCUGACCUAGCUCUCGAUCUAUGGUUACUUUCCCCCAUUGUACCUAGAGACUCACCUUUAUAUACAAGACGAGACCCUAGGUUUACAAGAAUCUGGGUCACGUUAUGACUCGUGAUCCGAUAUGUCUCUAACUCGCCUUGCCUUUCAAGCAAGGCCUAUAUUCUGCCUAUCUUGUACCUCAUGGGCCUUGAGCCACCAUCUUCAUAGCGAGAACCGCCAGGCGACUUACUGGAACAGGCCACCUUGCACCUUUGGUCUUGUUCAUCUAAGCCCAUCUUGAGUACAUUCUUAAUCCGCCAUAAUCAUGACCCGACCCAUAAGGCGAGUUAUACGAUGGGGUCAUAUCCCCAACACCAAGGUUCUUCUCCAUGAGUCGGUGAAGAACUGGCAGCGUUCGUUGUUCUACGUGAAGAACAUGGAUCUGGCACUGGACCUCAUCAACCUGCCUCCCUUCGUCAACGAGUAGCCGACUGCGUUACUACAUUGGGGGAAGAAUCGGAAGAAAACUAUAAAGGCGGUGAAUCAAGCGGUCAACAGGCUCCGGGUGCUGACCGGCGUGGAGGGCCUCAAGGCCGUCGACCUCAUAACCACCAUGAUAGCACGUCAGAUCCUACCGGUUUAGCACCGCUCGCACCGCAUCUGCAUCAUGUGGGGCAAGAACGAACCAUGCCAGUUCUCCAUGAAGGAAUUGAACCUCGUCACCAUCGCGAGGCAAGUGAAUCUGAUCACCACCGCCUGGCUGGAAGAGGUGGGGUGGAACUGGGGCAAGGCCCCUUACGAUCUGAUGCAUCCGUCACCCGAGGUACACAAAACACCGUCUCCUUUUGCCUUUGAAUUUCUUCCACCGGCUCUGAGUUACUCGUGACCGGGAUGGGCGAAACUUGUUUGUGGGACUGCAAAAUUAUAGGCAAUCAGCGACCGAUAGGGAGGAUUCGGACGUCGAGGAACCAGAGGAUUAUCAGGGCGUGAGCCAGCGGGCGAGAAGACGGCGAGCCACGAGAAGUCAGACGAGGAGCCGGGGGCAUAGAGUUGGAGGGCGAGGGUGCCAUCACAUGCAGGAUUGGACAGACGAUGACGACCCUAAUGUUGAAGAAGUCCACGGUCCAGGGGGCACGGAGGCCAUGGAGGAGAAUGCCUCCGAGCUGAGGGGGUGGACCCGACGGACGGGUCUCAAGCUGGUGCCCGAGGAGUCGACGGCGGCCGACCGUGCACGACGGAAGCUCCUGGUCGCCUCUAGACCGGUACCCAAGUGAGCAAUCGAGAUGCAGCCGGACGGCGUCCGCAGAGGAGGCGGGAAGAAGGCGAGCAUCGCCCCCUCAGGAAUGGCUCCGCGGCGUGCGAUCCCUACAACCAUCGGGUAGGUCACCUUUGAUCGUUCUAUUUGGUCUUUUUCUUUCUCGUUCUUUUCUUACCCCAUAUUCCUCACUGCGUAGAGCCCCACGUGCCCUGGGAANNNNGCCACGGAGGAGUGGGAACACGCCUCCUAGUGAGAGCAAGAGGUUGCUGAGUGAGUGUGGGCGACGAAGUAGCGCCUCUGGUGGGAAGACGCGAUGAAGGGGUCCAGGCUUGAGGCGGCCCGUGCCGAAGGAGCGGACGAGUCAACGCCAUGGGGGAACGCCCCAACCACGUGGUCGUUGCGCGUGGGAGGACAUGCCGAAGCCGGUGCCAGUGCCACGGUGGAGGGGCAUGCGGCCGCCAACGCGGAGACAACCCCAGCUGGGGAUGUACAAGACGUAGAGGUCCCCCAUGGCCUGAGGGUGACCGUGUGGGCGACCCCAAUGCGAGCCGGGACGAUGAUGGAGGGUCCUGGAGGGAUGAAGUCGGUGGUAGCGACAGCGCCCCGGACGUCAUAAUGCCAGAGCCGGUGGGAGCCCUCCCGACCCACUCCAUGCAGACGCUGCAGGGACCUAGUAUUGUGGCACCGAGUGGCAUGUUGCCGUCCGGCACCGGGCCCCUCAUGGUGGUGCCGGGGGCCGGGGAGGUUCACACCGAGCGGAGCUGGAGCCGAUUCUUGCACCUAGCCGUAGGAGUCAUGGGCGAUGGCGAGUGACUCCACGAGCACGCUUGCGGCAACGGUGCGCGCGAUCAAGGCACAGUUUGCCGACUACGAGGCACAGGCGAAGCUGGAUGCUCACAGGGCGCUGGGCUGGAUGGCUCAUCAGGAGCAGUCCGUGGUGGUAGGUACCGCAACUUGGUUUUGUUCUUCAUGAUUUUAUUUUCAUAGCUUUCCAGUGGGGGCGCGCUAGCACACCCAUUGCGUGUAGCCCCUGAGACUCGGGCCAGCGGCAAGACAGUCGGGUCGAGUCUUUAAGCAGCGCUUUUCAUGACUUUGUCGCCUGCACGGCCUUCAUGACCAUCGGGUGAGCGCCUUGAGCAAGCUUUUCAUCCUGACUCAGGAGACCGGUGAUCGGCUGGCUGCCGUGAAGGUGGACCUACAGCGAGCGCAUGGUAAGUGUCCUCUUGUGCUUCUUGCUUCUUCUAGGGAGCCGCUUGUGAUGGUGGUGUUGUGUAGGCUCGACCCUUGACUCGGAGACCUUUCGGCGCCUGUUGGUGACAACUGAUGACCCACAAGUGUAGCGGAUCUAUCAUAAUUCUUUCGAUAAGUAAGAGUGUCGAACCCAACGAGGAGCAGAAGGAUCUGACAAGUGGUUUUUCAGCAAGGUAUUCUCUGCAAGCACUGAAAUUAUCGGUAACAGUUAGUUGUGUGAUAAGAUGAUUCGUAGCAAGUGGCAAGUAACAAUAGUAACAAAAGUGUAGCAAGAUGGCCCAAUCGCUUUUGUAUCAAGGGACAAGCCUGGACAAACUCUUAUAGGAGAUGAAGCGCUCCCGAGGACACAUGGGAAAUUCUCUCAAGCUAGUUUUCAUCAUGUUCAUAUGAUUCGCGUGCGCUACUUUGAUAUUUUGGUAUGUGGGUGGACCGGUGCUUGGGUGUUGCCCUUACUUGGAAAAACAUCCCACUUAUGAUUACCCCCUCUCGCAAGCAUCCACAACUACGAAAGAAGAAUUAAGACAAAGUCUAACCAUAGCAUUAAACUAGUGGAUCCAAAUCAGCCUUUACGAAGCAACACAUAAACUAGGGUUUAAGCUUCUGUCACUCUAGCAACCCAUCAUCUACUUACUACUUCCCAAUGCCUUCCUCUAGGCCCAAAUAAUGGUGAAGUGUCAUGUAGUCUACGUUCACAUAACACCACUAGAGGAAAAACAACAUACAACGCAUCAAAAUAUCGAACGAAUACCAAAUUCACAUGACUACUUAUAACAAGACUUAUCCCAUGUCCUCAGGAACAAAAGUGACUACUCACAAAGCAUAAUUAUGUUCAUGACCAGAGAGGUAUUGAAUAGCAUCAAGGAUCUGAACAUAUAAUCUUCCACCAAGUAAUCUAACUAGCAUCAACUACAAAGAGUAACUAACACUACUAGCAACCUUACAAGUACCAAUCGGAGUUGCGAGAUGGAGAUUGGUUACAAGAGAUGAACUAGGGUUUGGAGAUGAGAUGGUGCUGAUGAAUAUGUUGAUGGUGAUGAGUCUCCUUCGAUGAGAGGAGUGUUGGUGAUGACGAUGGCGACGAUUUCCCCCUCCGGGAGGGAAGUUUCCUCGGCAGGACGGCCCUGCCGGAGCUCUAGAUUGGUUCUGGUCGAGUUCCGCCUCGUGGUGGCGACGAUUCCUCCCGAAAGCCUCCUGAUGAUUUUUUCUGGAACAAAACCCUCCUUAUAGCAAAAAAUGGGAGCCAGAGGGGCAACAAGGGGCCCACAAGCCACCUAGGCACCGCCAGGGGGGUAGACCGCGCUUGGCAGGCUUGUAGCCUCCUGGUGGCUCCCCUAUGGUACUUCUUCCGCCCAGUAUUUUUUAUAAAAUCCAAAAUAAUUCCUCGUUGAUUUUCACGGCUUUUGGAGUUGCGCAGAAUAGGUAUCUCAAACUUGCUCCUUUUUCAGACCAGAAUUCCAGCUGCCGGCAUUCUCCCUAUUCAUGUAAACCUUAUAAAUUAAGAGAGAAAAGGCAUAAGUAUUGUACCGUGAAGUGUAAUAACAGCCCAUAAAGCGAUAAAUAUCAACAUGAAAGCAUGAUGCAAGAUGGACGUAUCAACUCCCCCAUGCUUAGACCUGGCUUGUCCUCAAACGGAAGCCGAGAUCAAUAAAUAUGCCCACAUGUUUAGGGAUAGAGGUGUCGACAAAACAAAAUACGGACAUGCAGGCAUCAUGAUCAUAAUUAGAACAGCAAUAACGUCAUAUAAUCUCUUAUGCUAAAGUGACAAUUCCUUCACAAAGUAAAGUAUGGAUCAAGAAUCUUAUUGAGAAUUAACAACCAAUAGCCUUUAGUCAUUGAAGCAAUUGCAAUUUAUCAUAACAUCGGAAAGAGUCAAAUAAGAGCUUGUAAAGCGAAUCCACAUACUCAAUCAUCCUUUCGUCUUCUACAAUUGCUAAAACUCACGUGGUACUCAUGAUAUCAAAGUUUCAGUUGGACACAGAGAAAGAUAGGGGCUCAUAAUUUUGCCUCCCAACUACUUACCUCAAGGGUAAUUUCAACAAUAAUAAUUCAUGGAUACUUACUUACAAGUUCAAUAUGAAUAUAGAUCUUUCCCUAGCACAUGACGUUAGCCAAGAUAAAGGCAAAAUAAGGAAUUGGUGUCGAUCACCAUGACUCUUUUAAGGACAAAAAGUAAAGGUACAAGAUAGGCCCUUCGUAGAGGGAAGCAGAGGUUGUCAUGCGCUUUUGAGGUUUGGAUUUGUGACCUGUUAGUGUGAAGGAACGUCACUUUAUAUUGCCCCCUGUGAUAAAGAACUUUAUUAUGCAGUCUGUCGCUUUUAUGUCUUCUUCAUCACAGGUUCGUACAAAGAUUAUUUUCCACACACUAAUAGAUCAUACAUAUUUAGGGAGAAAUUUUUAUUGCUUGCACCGAUGACAACUUACUUGAGGGAUCUUAUUCAAUCCAUAGGUAGGUAUGGUGGACUCUCGAGGAAAAACUGGGUUGAAGGUUUAUGGAUGCACAAGUAGUAUCUCUACUUAGUGCGGAAGUUUUGGCUUAUAAGAGGUGGAAGCAAGUGUCACAUGCUAAGGAAUAUUGUUCGGAACCAAGCAAACAUAAUUCAUUAUGUUGUCUUCCUUGUCCAACAUCUAGUUCUAAGCAUGUAAUAGUUUAAUGAGUGUUCACAAUCAUAGAUGGUGUCCAAGAUGAUAUAUUUAUAUGUGAACCUCGCUUUCUUUAUUACUUCCUAUUAAUUGCAACAAUGACCAAGGUCUACGUUUGUCCACCCACAACAAGUUUCAAUCAACAUUCUUUUUAUAUGUGAAGUCAUCACUUCCCAUAAGAUCAUAACAUGAUCUUUCAUGCUUUUGUUCUUUUAUUAUUCUUUCUUUAGAUCAUGGCAUGAGGCAAGGCCCUUAACUAAAAUACUCUUUAUUAUAUGACUCAUGAGCUCCAAUACAUUGGGGGUGACACAAAGCAAAACUCAAGCCUAGAACACUAAGAACUUCAUUCUACUAGAGAAAGAUAAACCCCAAAAAGGAUCGAACUAAGAAAAAGGUAAAGGCAAAAGAUGUAAUGGUGAUACGAUACCGGGGAAACUCCCCCAAGCUUGGCACAAGCCAAGGGGAGUUCCCAUACCCGUGCUUAAUUGUCUUCCUUCGAAGGUGAUGGUGGUGGACUUGUUGCAACCUAGGUUUGAUCCUCCGUCUUCCAAGGCAUAGGUGCUCCAUCAUGGAAAGAUGAUCGAGUCUCCGGAAUCCUCAAAUCUGCAGCCAACCAUAUUGAUUUGAAUCUAUACUCAUACUCACAGUUUUGGUUUUGCAGGUCAUAGAUCUGGGCUUGGAGGUGACCAAUUCUGUCAUAGAGCCUGGAGAGGUGCUUCCCGAUGUCAUUGGCAUCGAUCUUGUGCUUGUUGGUGAACUCCGUGAUCAUCAUGUGGUUGGCGUUGAGUCCGUGUUCCACCAUCCCUUGGCACUUGAAGACUUGCUGGUCCAUUGCUUCGAGCCUCGCCUCCACGCUUCUGGUCUUCUUGGGCCCCUAAACAUGACAGAUGUGCAACACCCCCUCACGCAUCUCGAUAGAUUGAGGGUGUUGCGGCACGCCCGCGAGGUAGGGAUUGAUGACCUUCUCGAAGAACUUGUCCUUCGGAACUUUUGGGGAUGCCAUAGCGAUCUAGAUCUGUCUGCACAGUAGCUCGAAACGAAAACACAGGAUAUUUGCGUGAUACGAGGGUCAGACCUUUCGGGAGAAUAUAUAAUGAAAUUUUCCCGACCAAAAAGAGGUACUACGCAAGAAAACGGAGUCCGGGAGGCACACGAGGUGCUCACAAGCCCCCCAGGAGCGGCCAGGGGAUAGGCCGCGCCUGGCAGGCUUGUCGCCUCCUCGUGCACUUUCCGGACUAUUUUAAAUUUUUAUAUUUUUCUAAAAUUUCCAAAACGGAGAAAAUUUGCUACUGGAAAAGUUUUGGAGUCGGUUUACUUACCGAAUCACAUACCUCUUCAUUUUUGGAGUCUGAAAUAGUCUGAUAAAUAUCCCUCUUGUACUCGUCCGGAGUUAUGGUAUUAAUAAUAUUGCUUUCAACAUUUAUGGGAGUAUGUGAGAUAUAAUGCUUGAUUCUUUGACCAUUUACCACUCUCGGAAAAUUACCUUCCAUGUUGUUGAUCUUGAUGGCACCGGAACGAUAUACUUCCCUCAACAAUGUAAGGACCUUCCCAUUUAGAGAGAAGCUUGCGUGCAAACAAAAACUUAAACGAGAAUUGUAUAGCAAGACAUAAUCACCUACAUUGAACUCACGUUUUUGUAUCCUUUUAUCAUGCCACCUCUUAACUUUUUCUUUGAACAACUUGGCAUUUUCAUAUGCCUGAGUUCUCCAUUCAUCAAGUGAUCUAAUAUCAAAUAACCUCUUCUCGCCAUCAAGUUUGAAAUCAAAGGUGAGGUCUUUAAUUGCCCAGUAAGCCUUAUGCUCUAGCUCAAGAGGGAAAUGACAUGCUUUACCGUAAACCUUUUUGAACGGAGACAUGCCCAUGGGAUUCUUAUAAGCAGUUCUAUAAGCCCACAAUGCAUCAUCAAGAUUCUUAGACCAAUUCUUUCUAGACCUAUUAACAGUCUUUUACAGAAUUAGUAUAAUCUAUCUAUUACUUAGCUCUACUUGACCACUGGACUGAGGAUGAUAGGGAGAUGCAAUUCUAUGGUUGACAUCAUACUUAGCAAGCGUUGUACGGAAAGCACCAUGAAUAAAAUGUGAACCACCAUCAGUCAUUAGAUAUCUUGGUACUCCAAAUCUAGGGAAAAUAACUUCCUUAAGCAUCCUAAUAGAGGUGUUGUGAUCAGCACUACUAGUUGGGAUAGCUUCUACCCACUUAGUAACGUAAUCAACAACAACUAGGAUAUGAGUAUACCCGUUGGAUUUUGGAAAAGGUCCCAUAUAAUCAAAACCCCAAACAUCAAAUGGUUCAAUGACAAGUGAAGAAUUCAUAGGCAUUUCCUGACGUUUACUGAUAUUACCUAUUCUUUGACAUUCAUCACAAGACAAUACAAACUUACGGGCAUCCUUGAAGAGAGUAGGCCAAUAGAAACCAGAUUGCAAUACCUUGUGUGUAGUUCUAUCUCCCGCAUGGUGUCCUCCGUAAGCCUCAGAGUGACACUUUUGUAGGAUCUAUCCCUGUUCAUGCUCAGGUACACAACGUCUAAUAACACCAUCUACUCCUUCCUUAUAAAGGUGAGGAUCAUCCCAGAAGUAAUGUCUCAAAUCAAAGAAGAAUUUCUUCUUUUGCUGGUAUGUGAAACUAGGUGGUAUAUAUUUGGCAACGAUAUAAUUUGCAUAACCAGCAUACCAUGGUGUACUACGUGAAGCAUUGAUGACAUUCAAUUGCUCAUCAGGAAAGCUAUCAUUAAUAGGUUGUGGGUCAUCAAGAACAUUCUCCAACUCAGACAAGUUAUCUGCUACGGUGUUCUCAGCACCCUUCCUAUCAACCACAUGCAAAUCAAAUUCUUGUAGCAAGAGAACCCAUCUGAUAAGUCUAUGUUUAGCAUGUUUCUUUUCCAUGAGAUACUUAAUAGCAGCAUGAUCAGUGUGAAUAGUAACUUUGGAAUCAACAAUGUAAGAUCGCAACUUUUCACAUGCAAACACGACUGCUAAAAAUUCCUUUUCAGUAGUAGCAUAGUUUCUUUGGGCACCGUCUAGAGUUUUACUAGCAUAAUGAAUAACAUUCAACUUCUUAUCAACUCUUUGUCCUAGAACAACACCAACAACAUAAUCACUAGCAUCACACAUGAUUUCAAAAGGUAGAUUCCAAUCAGGUGGUUGAAUAAUAGGUGCAGUUAUCAAUGCCUUCUUAAGUAUUUCAAAUGCUUCCUCACAAUCAUCGUCAGAAACAAAAGGAAUAUCAUUUUGUAAGAGAUUGGUCAGAGGCCUAGAAAUCUUAGAAAAGUCCUUAAUGAAUCUUCUAUAGAAACCGACAUGACCAAGGAAACUUCUUAUACCUUUGAUAUUUGUAGGGCAUGGCAUUUUCUCGAUCGCUUCAACCUUAGCCUUAUCGACUUCAAUACCUCUUUCAGAAAUUUUAUGUCCUAACACGAUGCCUUCAUUAACCAUGAAGUGGCACUUCUCCCAAUUCAAUACAAGGUUGGUAUCUUUACAUCUCUGCAAAACUCAAUCAAGGUUGCUGAGGCAAUCAUCAAAAGAAGACCCGUAAACGGAGAAGUCAUCAAUGAAAACCUCAACAAUCAUUUCACAAAUGUUAGAGAAUAUAGCCAUCAUACAUCUUUGAAAGGUAGCUGGUGCAUUACAUAAGCCAAAAGGCAUACGUCUGUAAGCAAAGGUACUGAAAGGGCAGGUAAAAGUGGUUUUCUCCUGAUCAGAUUGUGCAACAGGUAUUUGGGAAAAACCAUAAUAAGCAUCUAGAAAGCAGAAGUGUGUGUGUUUAGACAAUCUUUCUAGCAUUUCGUCAAUAAAAGGCAAAGGGUAAUGAUCUUUCCUAGUGGCUUUAUUCAAUUUCCUAAAAUCGAUCACCAUCCUAUAGCCAGUAAUAAUCCUCUGUGGGAUCAAUUCAUCUUUAUCAUUAGGGACAACGGUAAUACCUCCCUUCUUAGGGACGCAAUGCACCGAACUUAGCCAUUCACUAUGAGCAACAGAAUAGAUAAUACCUGCUUCGAGGAGCUUAAGUAUUUCUUUUCAUACUACCUCUUUCAUCUUAGGAUUCAAUCUUAGGAUAAUCGGCAACUGGUUUGGAAUCAGGAUCGGUUUUGAUUUUAUGCUGGCAUAGAGUGGGACUAAUGCCCUUAAGAUCGUCAAUAGUAUAUCCAAUAGCAGCACGGUGCUUCCUCAAAGUUUUUAAUAACUUCUUUUCUUCAUGCUCUGAAAGGUUAGCACUAAUUAUAACAUGAUAUAUCUCUUUUUCAUCGAGAUAAGCAUACUUAAGAGUAUCAGGUAACUGCUUAAGCUCAAACAUAGGAUCACCCUUUGGUGGGGGUGGAUCUCCAAGCAGUUCAACAGGAAAAUUAUUCUUAAGGAUAGGAUGUUGUUCAAAGAUAACUCUAUCUAUCUCAUUCCUUUCAUCCAUAUGCAUAUCAUUUUCAUGCUCAAGCAAGUAUUGCUCUGAAGUAUCAGUAGGAGGCACAUCAAUAGAAGCUCGAGAAAUUAUUUCAUCUUUACUAGACAACUCUUUUUCAUGCGGUUGUCUACCAAGCUUGGAGAAAUUGAACUCAUGUGACACUCCUUCAAAGCCAACAGUGACAGUUUGCUUCUCACAGUCAAUAUGAGCACUGACAAUAUUGAGAAAAGGUCUGCCAAAUAUGAUGGGACAAAAGCUAUCUUGUGUGGUAGCAAGAACGAGAAAAUCAGUAGGAUACUUAGUUUUACCACACAAGACUUCAACAUCUCUAACAAUUCCCAAAGGGGAGAUAGUAUCUCUAUUGGCAAGCUGAAUAGUGACAUCAAUAGGUUCCAUCUCGACAGGUGCAAUCUUGUCUUUAAUUUCAUCAUAUAAAGAUUGAGGUAUUGCACUAACAGUAGCACCCACGUCACAUAAACCAUGAUAUCAAUGAUCUCCUAUCUUAACAGAAACAACAGGCAUCACUACAAGAAAUAUGUCAACUAACGACCUUUUGUCAGUGACGCUGGAAAGAAUGGUUAUAAAUCUAUGACCAUUUGACACCAUUUGGUCGUAAGCUGUUUGGACGGGUCCUAGCCCCAAAAACUAACGACCAUUUUCGUCACAAAGGUCAUAACUUGCUUACUGGAAAAGGUCAUAAAGCGAACAACACCUGGCGCUGCCUUAUUUCUUGGUGAUAAUGACCAAUCUGAAUGGGCGUUACUAAAUAGUUCGAAUGCACUAGGCUGGUUACGCAGCCACCUCAGCAGCCUCACUUACUUGUCAUUGAGGUAGGACCCAUUUGACAGGCAGGUGAGCACACAAUAAGGGGCCGACAACCGAGUGGGGACAUGCGCGAGCCUCGCUUAAUUCCCGAAAAAACAUGCGCGAGCGGGGACUCAAACCCACGACCGAGCGCUUUCCACUAAGUGUUUGCUACCGCUGGGCUAGAGAGGGACAAUUGCUCAGGUAUCGGUAUUUGGGUGUAUAUUAUAUUAAAUCACGGGUCUCUCGUAUCAUUGACAAGUGGGACCGACGGGGACGACCAACAUUUGGCCAAUUUCUGACAGGGGCCAACACAUAGCCAAUUUCCGAUAGGGGACGAGCAAAUCUAGAUCUCGGGGGCGGCGGCGACCGACGGGGACGUGGCGGCGGCGAUCGACGGGGAUGGGGGCGGCGGUGAUUGAUGGGGAUGGGGUCAGCGACCGGCAGGGGCGGUGACCAGCGGUGGUGGUGCUAACGCCACGACCACCUCACCCAUCGGCAGUGGUGGUGGUGCAGACGCCACGGCCACGACGACCUCGCCCGGCCAGUGGAGGUAGUGGUGGUGGUGCCGCUCGCCUCAGCCACCCCGCCCACUUGUAGUGGUGGUGGUGCCGCUCGCCUCGGACAGCGACUUCGCCCACACAUGGGGGACUCGCCGCCGCCGAGCAUGAGGGACUCACAACCGAGCAUGGGGGACUCGCUGCUGCCGCCGGUAUGCUCUCUUCCCCCUCUCCUCUUCCCCCCCCCCUCCCCUCCCCCCCUCUUUCCCCCCUCUCCCCCUCGCUUAUUUAUUUUUUUCAAAUUGUGAAGAGAAUUUCUAUUGAUGAAAUUGUUAGGAGAAUUGCAGUUAAUGAAAUUGUUACACCUCUGAAUAUGAAGGGAGUUGAUGUAGAUUUGAUGUUACACCUAUGAAAUUUUAGCACCUUAUUUUCACCACAGUAGUUGAUGUAGUACACAGUAGUUGAGAUUUUUCAGCACCUAUGAAAAUUGAUGUUACACCUCUGCCUCAAAUAUAUUUAAGAACAUCAAUAUUGAUGUAGAUCUGAUGUAAACUAGGAAAAAUCUCAUUGAUGUAGAUUUGAUGCAAUCUUUGAAAUGUCAUUCUUGUAAAUUUACAGUGUUGUUAUUAUUGGUAGUUUAACCAAAAUAGUUCUUUGUGGCAGCAUAUGUUGUUAUUGUUAGUGGUUUAACCACAGUAGUUGUUUGUAAAUCACCUUUGUUUUUUUUGUGAAGCACCAUGUUUUUGUUAGCUUUUCUUUUCUCCCAUGUUCACCACAACAUCUGUAUUUCUAUUUGAACUGCUUUUUAUUGCUCCCAUGUGAAAUCAGUAAACCAUGUGAACCGGACUAAAGUAGUGAGAAAUUGGAAAUAGCUGAAUGUUGUGGUUAGGCAGUUAGCAUAUAAAGUUUGUUGCCUACCUUAUUUUCUAGAUUUUUAACUGCCAUUACUGCCAUCCAUUCUCAUUAAUUAAUGUGAUGCACUUAGAUAGAUUUGCUAACUUGCAACCAUUGCUUUGUUUGGCAGAUGGAUAGAAGCUGGAUUAGAAAAGGAGUUAGAAGGUUUUCGAAAGAACAUAUGAAAGGAGUUGAUGAAUUCAUGCAAUUUGUUUGGCAAAUUUUUCCAAGGAUGCUGUCAUUGUUUGCCCAUGCUGUAAUUGCCUCGAACGUUUGAGAAAAGCUCAAGGAGUAGUGGAAGAUCACAUUCUUCUUAAUGGGAUGGCCAGCACAUAUGAUAGAUGGAUAUAUCAUGGAGAACCUUCAGCCGGACAACCUCAACAUAUUGAAGCUGAUACACAGGCCCCUCAUAUGAUGGGUGGUGGUGAUGCUGGCAUUAAUUUUAUGGAAAAUACUUUGCGAGAGAAUGCUGGUUUGGAUGAAGAGGAUGGGCAUGAAGAUGAUAGGAUUCCUGACCUAUUGAAGGAUCUAUAUGGUACUGAAGAUCGUGCUGAUGGGCAAAAGUCGAUGUUUGCUGAGGUGUUGGAGGAGGCUAAGCGCGCAGCUCAUGAAGGGGGUAACUUUUCAAGAUUUACCUUCACCGUGAAGUUACUCCACAUAAAGUCUUUCUACCGGAUUAGCAAUGCUGCAUUCAACGCAAUACUCUGCCUUUUGACCUUGCAAUUCCCUGAUAGCUGUGUUCCCAGGUCUUAUGAUGAAGCAUUGAGCAUAAUCCGCAGGCUGGGGCUAGGUUAUGUUUCAAUACAUGUGUGCCCAAAUAACUGUGUCUUGUUUCAGAAGGAUUUUGCGAAGCAUGACAACUGUCCAAAAUGCAAUGCCUCUAGGUGGAAAGAUGCUGAUGGGAAGAAGUCAAUAUGAUAGAAGGUACUGAGGCACUUUCCGUUGAUACCAAGGCUGCAGCGGAUGUUUAUCUUGAAGAAAUCAUCGUUGGAGGUACAAUGGCACAAGCUUCAGCGGCAACCUAUGGACAAUGUGCUGAGCCAUCUAGCGGACAGAGAGGCAUGGAAAGAAUUUGACAGUGAACAUGGAGAUUUUGCUCCACAUCCAAGGAAUAUAAAACUCGUCAUUGCCACACAUGGCUUUAAUCUGUUUGGGAACAUGAACACGUCUUAUAGCAUGUAGCCCGUUUUUGUGGUACCGUACAACCUGCCACCAUGGGCAUGCAUGGAUCAGUCCAACUUCAUGAUGUUACUUCUUAUCCCAGGUCUAGAGUCUCCAAGAAAGGAUUUUGAUGUCUUUAUGGAGCCCCUCGUAGAAGAACUGCUCUAGCUCUGGACUGGUGUACCUACAUACGAUGCCUCUAGUCUGGAAUAAAAGUUCAAACUACGUGCUGAAGUCAUAUGGUCCAUCCAUGAUUUCCCGGCACUGCACACUCUGUCUGGGAGGAUCACAGCGGGUUAUCAGGCAUGUGUCCAUUGUGACAAAGACCCUUGCUCAAAGAUAAUAAGGAGCAAGAUCUGCUAUAUUGGGCACCGCCGCUUUCUUCCCCGAAACCAUCGCUGGAGAAGAAGCAAAGAUUUUAAUGGUGAGAAUGAAACCCGUGACAGGCCACCUAAAUUCACUAAGGAAGAGUUGGAGCAGCAACUUGAGAAGGUGAAGGAUGUGAGACCAGGAAAGCUUGCAAAGAAAAGAAAGCGCGUGAAACAUCAAUGUUGGGACCGGAGGUCUUGUUUGUGGGACUUGCCAUACUGGGCUGGUCUGAAAUUAAGGCAUAAUCUCGAUGUAAUGCACAUUGAGAAAACCAUAUGUGAGAAUCUGCUAGGGACGUAUCUGGACAUUGAAGGGAAGACAAAGGACACGGUUAGUUCUAGGCUUGAUUUGGAGGACAUGGGCAUAAGAGAAGAUUUGCAUCUACAACAUGAUGAAGCUGAAGAUACAUUUGAAAUGCCACAAGCAUGGUAUACAAUGAGUAAAGAACAAAAGCUAGCAUUCUGUGAAUUCAUAAGUGCGGUGAAAUUUCCAGAUGGUUAUGCUUCUAACGUAGAAAAGUGUGUUACUUCUGAUGGAUUCAAACUUUCAGUACUGAAAACCCAUGGUUGUCACAUCCUCCUCCAAAGGAUUUUACCGGCUGGCUUCCAUGGAAUCAUGGACAAUGAUAUAUAUGAAGCGGUUGCUAAGCUGGGAAAUUUCUUUAGAGAACUGUGCUGCAAAACACUCAAUUUAACUAUUCUAGAAAGACUUGAAAAAGAAAUCCCAACUAUUCUUUGCAAGCUUGAAAAGAUUUUCCCUCGAGCUUUCUUCACCUUGGUGGUCCAUUUGGCGGUGCACUUACCAAAAGAGGCAAUGCUUAGAGGCCCUAUGCAAUACGGUUGGAUGUACCCAAUCGAAAGAACACUGCUUACUUGUAAGCAUUAUGUGCGAAACACGGCAAGACCUGAAGGUUCGAUUGCUGAAGCAUAUGUCGUUGACGAGUGCUUGAGUUUUUGCUCUAGAUACUUUGGUGAUGUGGAAACAAGAUGGAACCGGCCGGGAAAAAAUAGAGAGCGGUCUGAUUCGCAUAGUGGUGAUGUCUCGGUUUUCAACCAUGCCGUGAACUUUCUUGGAGCCUCGCGAUACUUGGAGGCUAGUGAUGAGUAUGACAAGAUGGUUUGGUAUGUGCUCAGGAAUUGUGCCGAGGUUAUACCAUAUAUCGAGUACGUUAUAAGUUGUGCACUCGUUAUUUAUUUACUUUUGCUUGGGUUGUUGGCACCAGCCUAAUAUUUUAAUGCACAUGUUUUGUUGGCAUUGCAGGAAAUGCAAGGAAGAGUUAAAUCAGGAAGAAAGCCAAAUCAAUGUUAUUACAAGGGUUGCCAAGGGAUUUGCUAAAUGGUUUAAGAAUCAUGUUGGAAAGUUGCAUGAGGAGAAGAAGGUUAGUGAUGAUCUAUUUGCUUUGGCAUGCUUACCGGAUAACUGAGUGCGAGUGUAUUCAACAUGUAUUGCUGAUGGUGUCCAGUACCACACCGUUGAUCGUGAGGAAAAAAGGAAGACACAAAAUAGUGGAAUCGUCACUGAGGGGUCACAUGAUCGUGAGAAAUUGACUUCUAUGGUCAGCUGAGAAGCAUCAUAGAGUUGCAGUACAUCUCUAGUGGAGGCAUCCAUCGCUCGGUUGUCUUAUUUCGCCGUGACUGGUUUGAUCUUGGUAGCAAGAAGAAGAGACUCUCUUGUGUCAAAUAUGAUGGCCACUUCAAAAGCAUCAACACUUCAAGGUGCUGGUAUAAGAGUGAUCCCUUUAUUCUAACAGCACAAGCAACAAUGGUGUUUUACCUGCCAGACACUCUUUUGCAAAAAAAAUGGCGAGUUGUGCAAAACUUUGAGCACAGACACUUAUGGAGUGUGACUGAAACUGAAACUAAAGUGGAAAAGGGCCCCGGUGGUAGUGGCCUAACAUAUCAGGAUGAUGAUUGUACAGAAGUUUCGGUGCAAGCUGGUGAUGACUCUAUGGAAGUUCCGGUGCAAAGCAGAGUGCGUAGGGACCGGGAACGUGUGCUCAUUGAUGCUGCAACAGUUGAAGGCGUCAGGAAAGGAAGAAAUGUGGUAGAGGAUGGACAUGAGAGCGAGGAUGAGGAAAACAGGACUGAUCAUACUAUGCUGCAAUAUUGUAGUGACGAUGAGGAAAACAGAAGUGGGCAUAGAGUUCCUGGUUCUGGUAUCGACGACGAUGAGUAGAUAAUAGACAUGAAGGUAAAUAUUGUCUCCUUGGUGAUCUAAAACUAUUACUGCAUGUUCCUUGUUUUGAUUGGUGAUCAACCUUCUCUAUAGUUUUUGUUGUUGUAAUCCUGAUGUAGUUUUUGUACUACAAUUCUCACCAGGUAGCAAAAUGCAUGAGACAGAUGGUUGUAGUGUUGGAGAGGCAGGUGGUGAAGAUCAUGAUGGCUGGAGAGGAAAACUGAUGUAGUUUUGGUGAUCAUGAUGGCUGGAGAGGCAAAAUGUUGUAUUCAGAAAUGGCUGGAGAGGCAAAAUGAUGUAGUUUUGGUGCCAUUCUCUUAGUUUUGGUGAGAACUGUUGGUUGUGAUGUGAUCUUGAUUCAAACUCUUGUGUUGUAAUGAAAAAUAUUGCAAACUGUUGGUUGUGAUGUUCCUGAAGUUUUGUUUGAACUGAAUUGAGAUGUUGUUUUCAUAGCUAUUUUCAAAACUGUUGCCUGUUGCUAUUGCCUGUUGCUCUUGCUGUUGCCUGUUGCUAUCUACAUCAGAGAUCUGAAUUGAGAUGUUGCAUGUUGUUGUUGUUUUCAGAACUGUUGCUGUUCCUGAAGUUCUCAGAGAGCGAGCUGGGGCUCUCUCUCGCCAAAAAAUAAUGCGCGAGCGGGGGUCGAACCCAUGACCUGGUGCUCAUUUCACUGGGUUUCUAACACUCGGCUAGGAACAGGUUGUUGGUUUUCUACUCUAUGCCCACUCUUUUCAAUACAACAAACCAAUCGACACACUCUUUUCCCCACUCGCCGACAAGUCGACCCACUCUUUUCCCACUCGCUGACAAGUCCACCUCUCCACUCGACCCGCUCCUCCUCUCCACUUGACCCACUCCUCCUCUCCGCCGCCAGCUCCUUCCUCUCCCACCGCCGCUGACUCCUUCCUCUCCCACCGCCGCCGACUCCUUCCUCUCUAUCUGUCGGCUACUCCUUCUUCUCUCCUGAGGUAUGAAUCCACCGAAUUCUUCCUACAACUUAGUUUUCUGCUACUGUUUAGAUUAGGGUUCUUGCCGCCGCCUAGAUUAGAUUAGAUUAGGGUUUGAUUAGGAUUGGUGAUGUAGAUAGAUUAGGUUUGCUGAUGUAGAUAGAUUAGGAUUGGAUUAGAUUAGAUUAGGUUAGGGUUUUUGCCGCCGCUGUUUGGAAAUUAGGGUUAGCUUUGGUAAUGUAGAUAGAUUAGGUUUCUUAUCUACUGUUGAGGCCCUGUUGUUGUAUCCCUUUGUCAAAGGAUGCUUAUCUAGCUUUGGUAAUGUAGAUAGAUUAGGGUUAGCUUCUGCUUGUUGUUAGCCACCAUGGAUCAAUCAUCACUUACUUGUUAGUACUACUACUACUUCUGCUUAUAUAUCUAAAAGAAGAUUAGUUUAUUAAUCAGUCACUUCCGUAAUCCCAAUCUAGCUCUCAUAGACACUUGUGUUGGUCGACCAUGGCCGCUCAUAUAUUUUGCUUGCUGUUAUUUUUGCAACUGUGAUGAGGACAUGUCAUGGUCAAUGGGAGAUGCUGUGUCGGCAGGUGCAUGAUUUUCAAUCAUUUUUUACCUUGUACGACCACUGGGAAAAAAAUAAAAAUAGUGAGGAACCUGUUGGCUAGUAGUAGUAGGGAAAAAUAAUGGAGUUUGUAGUAGUAGUAGUACCAUAUAUAAAUCACCGUUGUCUUUGACUGUCUGUCUAUGGUCCUUGAUCUGGAUAUAACUCUGCUCACUAUGCUACUCAAAUCUCACUGUAAUAGGCUAGCAAAUGACUGAGGAUACUCAUGGAAAUAUUGUUUUUUUGGAUGGUAACUAUGAAUUAUAGGGUGGAGAUGCUGUUAUUCAGAUCGUUUCUAGAGUACAAAUCAGAGCAUUUGGAUUUCUCACAUGGACAUGUCCUGGAUAUGCAUUGUUCAUAAUAUUUAUGUUUGAGAUCUUCACAAUUACAAUAUCAGUCAGGGAUAUGGUAAUGCAAGUUUUUUACAGUACAAAAUGUAUUCAGUACAAAAUUUCAACUUGUAUAAGGUAAAAGCAGAUCUUCACUGAACAUCCAAGUACCAACAAGUUGUGUUGACUGUUUUCUGCAUUUACCUUAUGUGCAAGUUUAUUUGGAUCCAUUGGACCUUUUAAGUUUGGAUUUACCUGGACACAUUAUGUUGACUGUUUUCUGUAUUUAUCUUUUAAGUUAUGUUUACUGUUUUCUGUAUUUACCUUAUGUGCAUGUUUAUAGGCGUGUUGAAAUUUCCUAGAAAUCUUCAUUGUGAGCUAACCUUUUGAGUUGUGUUUACUGUUUUCAGUAUUUUUAGGACAGUUUCAGUAUUUUUAUGAUAGCUUGUUGUUUACUUGCAGUGCUGCUUUUCUUACUACAAAUGGGGGGAGGCCGACGCAGUCGGCUGCGCUCUGCCACGCCAAGUGAGAUGGCUGACUUGGAAGGUAUCGAGUUCUUCACGAUUAUACUUGAGAAAUCCUCAAGCAGGCAAGUGCUGCCUCACAAUUUUGUGAAGAUGCUGGACGGCCAUCGGCCACAGAAUAUGAAGCUGCGACAGGCCGGCAACGGGCUUCGCAGGCUGUGGGACGUGGAGGUGGUGUUCGACACCGAUGGAAGCAUGUACCUAGAUCAAGGCUGGAAGCAUUUCGUCUGUGCCUACGACCAGCGGCACGGGUACUUCCUUGUCUUCAGGUACGACGGCAACUAUGUGUGCACCGUGAAGGUGUUCGACACGACUAUGUGUCGCAGGCGCUACCACGACGACGACGAUGCCAGUACGUUGUGUCUCUUCUUCCUCACCAUUAGGCUAUGUCUCACACACAUUGUUAAAAAAACUUUUUUGCAUUUGGCAAGGCAAUGGGAGCAGGAGCAGCGACUCUGGCUAUAGCAACAGGUUCUAUAGCAAAAGCAGCAGCGACUCUAGCUAUAGAAAAAGUAGCAGCGAUUCUAGCUACAGCAACAACAGCAACAAGGAUGAGGAGGAACAGAGUGGGGAAGAAGAGGAGCAGAGUAGGGAUGAUGAGGUGGUGGCCGACGAUGUCCUCGCGAUGGUGGUGGUGCCUGACGAUGACCUCGCGACGGUGGUGGUACCUGACGAUGACCUUGCGAUGGUGGUGGUUCCUGACGAUGGCCUCGCAAUGGUGAUCCCACAACUAGGCGACAGGACCAUGCCAAUUGUGGUAGAGGAGUACAUCCCACGGCCUGGCCUGGGGCUUCGCCGCUCUAAGCGCUUCAGGAUGAUGAAGGAGAAGGGGAAGAAGCAGUAGUGAAGAUCUUAAGAACCUGAUGGUGUUGAACUACUACUUCACUUUUAAGUAUGAUGGUGUUGAACUACUACUUCGCCGCUUUAAUCUUUUUAGUGUAAACCUUUUAAGUACGAUAGUGUUGAACUACUACUUCACUUUUAAGUACGAUGGUGGUGUGCCUGAUGAAAUUUUGUGCAUGCUCAUGGAUGAAAGAUAAAAUUUUUUGUUUUUGUGCUUGCUCAUGGAUGCUCCUUGGAUGAAAAGUUUUUGUGCUUAUGGAUGUUUUUGUGCUCAUGGAUGUUUUUGUGCUCAUGCCCGCCGUUUCGACCACAUUUUGAAGUGGGCAUAGUUGUUGAUAUAAUAACAAUCUUUAUGGUCACAUCACUACAAGAAAUAUGCCCGUUUAUGACAAAAAUAUAAUGACCAUGGUAAAUUUGUCAUAGAUUUCUGACCAAAAUUUACAAAAUCGUCGUGGGGUGUCCAAGGAGGGUCCAAACUCUACACCGUUUUGACCAUUUAUGUCAAAAGGUCAAGGUCUGAUUAAUCAAAUGGUCAUAAACGAGUGUAUCAUUAUCCAUAGUCUUAUUUCGGGUUCUUAUUGACCAAAUUAAUAAGGUCAUAUGCUUGAAUGGGUGUGACUAGGCAGCCACAUCAUCUCUUUUACCUAUGUGUACCUGCAUGUCGUGCAUGCAUGUCGAUCUAUCUUACAUGUGGCGAGCAAGAAAGAAUAUCUACAUUGAUAAGUGCGACCCAUAUCUGAUGUAUGGGAUUUACUAACAUGCAUGGCCCACUUUACACAUGGUGCCGCCUAGAAUAUCGAGAAAACAAAAGAACAUACAGGGAUUUGAACACCAUACGUUUUGUAAAGGAACAUAUAGUUUUCUUUCAAUUUUUUGAGGAUUCAAAUUUGCUUCAAACCCAAUUACAUCUACAAUUAACAUGUUUUGCUUCAAACUUUUUCGUACAUGAACAUCUACAAUUAUUAUUUUUUGCUUCAAACCCAAUUAUAUUUUGUUAACUGUAGAUGAAAUGCGGUCUAAUAUUUUUGAAGCAUUUUGUAGAUAUUUUCUGUCAAUUGUUUGAGGAUUUAAAUUUGCUUCAAACCACUUUGAAAGGAACAUAGUUUGCUGUAAAAAAUAUUUGAUAUGUGCUGCACGUGAUGAAAAAAUACAUAAAAAAAACAAACCAAACACAAUUACAUAAGUUUAAUUGUCAUUGGUGAAAAUAUUUGUGACAUGGAUCAAUGAAAUGGCACAGAUCUAUCCAUCCAUCCGUCCCACAUCCAUCCAUCUAUCGAUCCACAUCCACCAACCGCGAAACCCUAAUUUGUCUAGUGCUCGAUGCACACAGAGCGAGAGCGAGAGGUCACCUCCGUCCCCUUCCAGAUAUCUGCCGCCACCUCCCUCCCACCUCCUGGAUCUCUCCAUCUCCAUCAGCUCCACCCGCACGAUCCUCUCUCCCACUCGCGCGAACCCCUCUGCCACCCGGGCUUGCACGGCCUUCGGCCCGUGCUGCGCUCCCUGCUGGCCCUCCUCCCGAUGGCCGGCGAGCCUCCCUCGCCCCGGCUUCCCGGCUUCCUGCUCUUCCCCGACCAGCUGGCGUGCCGCCAUGACCACGUCCAGUACAAGCUCGCGCCUCCGGAUCCGUCUGUGCCUGCUCACCCGUUUCACAUGCAACGGGUUCUGCCUCGAGUCCAUGUCCACCAUCGUCGUCGAGUUCGUCACCUGCACGCUCCAAGUAAGACCGACGACCCUCACCCUUCCUAAUCCCUUUCCAUUUAUUGAUCAAUUUCACUGCCUUGCUUGCUUUGCUUUCCCUGGUCGCCGCUAGAUCGGUCGGGUUCACCGCCGACCCACCCACCCUCAGAUCCGCCUGUACCCAUCUUGUGCUCCAGAGCUAGUGAUUCGCUGCAAACAGUAGCUGGUAAAUCGAUUGCUUGCUAGAUCUUUCUUAGGGGACGGGAAUCAUCAGACAUAGAGAUAAGAUGCUGCUGCCUAGCCUAGGCGACAGAUAUGAUUUUGACCGUGCAUGGGCGACUAGCUAGCUAGUUCUACCAUAAUUACCUCGGUCCACUAUGCUACUACUAGUUCCUGGGCCAUUAACUCAUGCUUGCUUGCUACACAAUGUUAGCCUGACAGUAAUUAACUACUUUUCUUCUAAAGUUUCAGUUUCAUAUUAACUGCCUACUUCUACCAAUAAUAAUAUUGUACAUCUUUAGAGAGUACACUACUCUCUUAGUAUUUUGCAACAUACUCUACAGGGGAAAGGUGACUGUCAACAAAUGGAUUUUUUUAGGAAUUGUGUUUGUCUCUACAAUCCAUUUGUUGACAGACACCUUUCUACAAUCCCUAACCCUCUGCCUCGGUACGGCGCCCGAAUUUGCUAUGGGUUUGUUUAUCUGUUUGUCUGUAAGAAGGUUGCGUGAUUUUGUCGCUGAGGAUCAGCUGCUUUUUUUUCUUGUUUUCUUUCCAGGAGUAUGUCCUGCCUCAGGAGUACGUGCAGACAAUGAGGGAGUCGAUGCUGAAGAGGUGCCCGGUCUCCUCAUACGAGGACGUCCAAGGGGUCUUCAAGAAGGAGAUUGGAGAAUUGCCAGAAACCGUUAGUUCCUUCACCGCAUCACUACAUUUUCCUAGUACAUAUUGCUGGCGGAACUUAGCUCCUGUAUUAACUUCCUAGUUCAAAUUUAACCAGCUUGCCGUCUGUCUUUCACCCUUCUGACCCCUGUCUUGGCUUACAGGUUCAACACGACCACUUGCUGGAUACUUCUGUAAUAGAUAUCGCCACCGUGGAUUUAGUAGUGAAUGCUCUUAAUUACAUUUUCCAUACAUUUGACUACAGGUACAACCAGUACUUUGUUUAUUACCUCGUUUUCUCUCUCUUUUUAGUUUAUAACAUGCCUCCUCGAAAGCUUUUAGGCUUAUGCUGAUGUGUAGAAUUAGUUAUGAUAGAGGCAUGUUCUCUCAAAUCAAUAGCUAGGUCAAGCACGAUAUUGAUAUUUCCUUCUUGUUAAUUACACAUGGGAAUCAUUCUCCAAUGUAUACCUGGCAUAACAGCUCAAUUUGUUGAACUAGAAGUACCUAAUUUUAUAUUUCAGCUUGCUUGUUAUGGUUAGGAAUUAGAAGGACAUGUUUGAUGUUUUCCAUUUAAGAAUUGUUUUUAAUUCCUUUAUUUUUCUGGUUGACACUGCAAACACAGUUCCUAAAAAAAUCCAUUUGUUGACAGUCACUUUUAUACAUCUUUAGAUAAUAAUAAUAUUAACCAUCGUCCAUCCUGGUCGUCAGCAUGUGUGUGUGUGCGCGCGCGCGUGUUCAGUUUGAUUCAUUGUAUGAUAACUCGUUGCCAUCUAUGCACGGAUUGCUCAUCCGGCUGAAACCUGCACCGCCAUUACUCUAGUUAGUUUAUGUAUCUAGGCUAUACUUCAGAUUAAUGUUUUAUGUCAUGAUCCUCGACGUUAAUCCUUAAUAAUUGUUUACAAAUCAACGUUAGAUCUUAAUUUCUGUCUAGGAUUAAAAGCUAUGGUUCCCUCAUAUUUAUGAGUACGUACAUGUAUUUACAUGGGAGAUCUAAUUAGCCCAAGAGUGUGUUGCGUACAAUUACGUACAUGUAAUUACAUGGGAGAUCUAAUUAGCCCAAGAUCUAAUUACGCAGGACCCAACUAACAAUAAAUGUAUGAUUAUAGCUUCAAAGAAUCACGGAUGCACGCAUGACUUAGCUGGCAAUAUACAUUUGCAUACCUGGCUUGUGUGUGUUGCGUACAUCUGGGUAUAGGUACGUGGAUUAAAUUAUUUCAGCAAAAAUCACCAUGCUUGGAAUCACAACGCAUAUAUGGAUAUACUAUACCAAUCCCGUUCAUAAAUCAGACUUACUUAAAAUAUACUCUGAAUUUGUAUGUGACAUUGCACAUAGUAUUUUCUUCAUAUAAAAAAUGUUGAAUAAGUUAUAAAUUUAUUUCAUAAAUGUAAUUAAUAAAUAAAUUCUAUUCUAUGGUAUUACGGAAACAUACUAUUUGUUUUCGCAUGUUUACUUCUCUAUUAAGUGUUUUCACAUGUUUACUUCUCAAUUGUUUGCAGAAAUUAUUAAGUAGUUUUAUGUGAGCAGUAAGAAAAGAUGGUCCUUUGUUGUUCCGUUGCUUAAUAUAAGUAUUGUUUUUUGUAUUUGUCAACUUACUAUACAUUUUUAUAUAGCCUCUAUUUUCUUCCUAUCAUAACGUAUCAUUUUGGUAGAGUGAAAUUGUGUAUUGUGCACUUCAAAAUUUUAAACAGUUUUUAUUCUAAAUGAUCAUGUUUGAUGUGCCUUCUAAUGUAUUUCAUCUUGUAAUGUAGUUGCAUGUACAUUAAGAGUAGAAGGUGUGUGGAUGACCAUCAGCUUCUAAGGACAAAUCCAAUGGUGGUGUGGACGUCCUUGUAGAUCAGCUCCGACUAUAAAGUUAGAAGAAGCUUUACUUCAUGUUGGAACAAAAUGGAAGUUUCUUGUGAUGUGAUGGUGUUUGUUAUGUUAUAGAUUGUAAGUUGAUGGUAUAUUGACUAUUGCUAGAUAUUAUAUGCCCUGUUAAUUUGCUAAGUUACUGUGAUGUGAAUACCGCUGGAUAGAAGAUGAGUUAGAAACAGGCCACGACUCAUACUGAUUAUGCAACAAAACGUAGAAUAAUGAGAAACUAGUUAAGAAAAUUUCUAAAAGCAAGCAUAAUUCUCAUGGUAAUGUUUUUUUAAACAACAACCCAAUAAAAAAUAUGUCUUCCAAAGUAAUAAAUGGGCCGUAUUUAUGGGCUUGGUCCGUUAGGCCACUAAAAAUGCCAUGUCAGAUUACGUGUGAUGUCCAUGUCAUUUUUUCUUGCCAUGCCACCUCAUGCCACGUGGAUGAUGCCAUGUCAGCUCAGCCACGUGUGAUGUCCAUGUCAUUUUUUCUUGCCAUGUCACCUCAUGCCACGUGGAUGAUGCCAUGUCAGCUCAGCCACAUCAUAUCAUAUGUGGAUGAGGCUCAUGGGUAAUGACCAAUAUUUUGGUCAACAGAUUCUAUGACCUAUUGUUUUCGGUCAUAGGAUCCUUGACAAAAAAACAGGAAAGGUCAUCUUUGUUUGUUCUUGACGGCCAACUGUUGACCCUCUCAUUUUGGUCAAAAGAAGGUCAUAAAUAAAAAAUAAUGACAAUUCAAUGACCAAAAUGGUGGGUCAUUAUCGACUGUAUUUCUUGUAGUGCAUUCAUCAUAGAAACACCAAAAGUUUCCCAAUAUCCAACCACUACCUAGGAAUGGUCAUACCCGUCGUUCUGACCGCAUUUUCAAAAUGGGCAUGAAAAAUUAAACAAAAGUUUAAAAAAUUGGCUUUCAAGCAACAUAUCAGAGAAACACCAAAAGUUUUCUAAGAUUCAACCACUACCUAGGAACGGUCAUACCCGUCGUUCUAACCGCAUUUUCAGAAUGGGCAUGAAAAGUUAAAUUUUUUUGGCUUUCAAGCCAUAUAAUCAAAAAUAAUAAAAAAUUGGCUUUCAAGCCAUAUAAUCAAUCUCAUGGCCACAUUCAAUGCAUAGUUUGUUGAAAUGAUCUCAUAUUUUGUAGAAGGGUGCAUGUUGGAAUGAAAAACAAUGUUGAUUAAGGAUGUUUUCAUCUUCCUUGUAUGAAAAAUUCAUUUUUCAUUUUUCAAGUGCCCAAAAUGAGUUUUUUGUGAAGGACCUACCAUAUAUUUUUCUAACAUACUAGGCCAUAUUUAAUGUACAAUUGGCAAAAUGGUUGGGUAUCAAAAUCUUUUAUCCAUCUCUCGUGAAAAAGACAAAUCUAUGUCGAAUCAGUUGGAAGAGGGUCAAAUUUGAACUGCGGCUGCCUUAUAGUUUGUUCUUUAUUUUUUCCAAAAAUCAUUUGUAGGUACAAAAGUAUCUAUUUCAUCAUAGAAACACCAAAAGUUUCCCAAGAUUCAACCAUUAUCUAGGAACGGUCAUACGAGUCGUUUUGACCGCAUUUUCAAACGGGCAUGAAAAAUUCAAAACAAUUCAAAAAAUUGGAAAACCUUCGCAUCGUGUCAUCAUAUGUGAUAAAUUUACUAGGAAAAAUAAUAGCCUUGUAAUACGACAAUUAUUUUUAAAAAGUGUUCACAGAAAUGAGUUGUCAUGUUUGAAGAUUCAUGGCUUUCAAGCCACAUGAUCAAUCUCAUGGCCACAUUCAUGGCAUAGUUUGUUGAAAUGGUCUCAUAUUUUGCAGAAGGGUGCAUUGAAUGACAAACAAUGUUGAUUAAGGAAGUUUUCAUAUUCCUUGUAUGAAAAAUUUCAAGUGCCCAAAAUGAGUUUUUUUGUGAAGGACCUACCAUAUAUUUGUUUCAAAAUUGGUCCAAAUCAUUUUUGUAACAUACUAGGCCAUAUUUAGUGCACAAUUGACAAAAUGGUUGGGUGUCAAAAGCUUUUAUCCAUCUCUUGUGAAGAAGACAAAUCUAUGUCGAAUCAACUGGAAGCGGGUCGAAGCGGGUCAAAUUUGAACUAUGGCUACCUUAUAGUUUGCUCUUUAUUUUUUCCAAAAAUCAUUUUUAGAUACAAAAGUAUCUAUUUCAUCAUAGAAACACCAAAAGUUUCCCAAGAUUCGACAUAUAGCUAGGAACGGUCAUACCCGUCGUUCUGACCGCAUUUUCAAAGUAUCUAUUUGCUCGUUGCUCAAGUGUCCCCACAACCAGAUAUUUCUUCCCUGACGUCUCCCAUUCCUGAACUACUAGUAGUUGAUUUAUCGUAACUAUACUCACUAGUUCUUUCUGCUCCAUUUCUUUUCUUUCUUGACGGAGGGAGUAGCCCCGAAGCGUUGUUUAUCGAGUUUGGCCCUUGUACAACUUAGAGAUCAUUCUCUCUUUCUCUUUGGUUGCGUACGGAUUUGCAUGUUGCUUCCAGUAUUGAUAUACCAACAAGGCGCAUGGGAGAGACCGAUGGUUGCUACUAUCUCUUCUUGAUGAGUACUUGUCAAAUAUAUAGUGAUGCUAGCAAGCUCUCAUAGUACUAUAGUGUCCGUUUAUUAUUUUCCAGUAGGUAACAAUGUACCGCUGCUUGACUUAUUUAUUUUGAAGGGGAAUGCUAGCUUGUGAUCGAAAGGACGGACAAAGCUACCCUACUGAUGUUACUAAGCUGUCUAGCCAAUUGGUUGUCAGCUAAUGAGAGAUAUCUUCUUUUCGGGCUCAUUCGGAUGCAUCAAUUUUUCUCAUGUUGUCUGUCUCCUUGAAGUCCCUAAACUGUUUUUCUUCUCCCUAUUGAUUGUUAAUUUGCCGAUGUGUCCUUUGCUUCUCUGUUAGUGGGCUGAGCACUAUUAUUUAUUUUGGCGUGAGCAAAGUAUAGUGAUUUCCACAAGAAAGACACAUGGUCAUCGGAAUUUAAUAAGACAUUAUUCGGUAUUUUACAACAUUUAUUCAUGUAAACAAGAAAGACACAUUUAUUCCCUAAACUGUUUUUCUUCUCCUUAUUGAUUUAUUAUUUAGAUAAUGUUGAAAUCUAAGAAGCACUGACAAAACAAAAAGUCUGUCUCCAAACCCUAAAAAACUAGUGAAAAAAUUCCCUCCCACCCCCCCAAAAUUUCCCUCUCACCCCACCAAAAUUUCCCUCUCACCCCACCAAAAUUCCCCUCCACUCCCUCUCCCACUACCAGGCGGGACCCACCACUCCCCUCUCCAUUCCACUCCCCACUACCCACGCGUGAUCCAUUCCACUCCCCACUCUACCGUCCCUCCCAUGCUCCUAACCCUAGCUCCGCGCCGCCCCUCCCCUGCUCCGCGCCGCCCCGCCACCCCGCCGCCCCUCUCCCCUCUCCCCGACGAUGACUACAUCGACGACGUCGAUGGCUACAUCUACAUCAACGACGAUGGCUACAUCUACAUCGACGUCGAUAGCUAUGACUACAUCGACGACGGCUACGACUAUAUCGAUGACAACGACGACAAUGGGUACAUCUACAUAAUCAAAAGUCGACGACGACAGGUACCUCUCCCCUCGACCCAUCUCCCGUCGAUGUUCAUGGGUUCCCCCUCAUGUGUUCUUCUAGGGUUUGUGCUGGGCUAGAUCCCCCUCAUGUGUUCUUCUAGGAUUCAUGGGGCUAGGGUUAGGGUUCAUGCUGCAGCACAAUAUGUCAGUUGUAGUGGUGUUAGGGUUAGGGUUCAUGGGGUAAAUAUGUUAGUUGAAUAUAGAAUGACACAGUGGGCGGUUUUAAUUUACCGUGGUUUUGAUUUGCGUAGAGAAGCGAGUCGCAUUAGGCCGUGUGAUGGGUGGCGGUGGCUGGGUAGAGGCGGAUGCUAGAGCUACCAUUGUAAUGAGGUGACUUUUAUGCUUCUUCUGCUGGUGAUGGUAUUUCGCUGCAAGGCCAGAUACUCAUCUAUUUAUUACAACUGUUAUGGUGUCUUCAAAGUUAAUACUACUAAGAGCUUGAGCUUGUGUUUUUCUUUGGAAACAGUCAGCGGUGAUGCUGAUGCUAGGUGUAGGUGAGCUAUUCAGACUUCAUUGCUGGUGUUUGGCUUGGCUUGGCUUGACUUGACUUGAGUAGUAGUGAUGCUAGGUGUAGGUGAGCUAUUUAGACUUCAUUGCUGGUGUUUGGAUUGGCUUGGCUUGACUUGACUUGAGUAGUAGUGAUGAGUCUAGAUAUAGGUGGUCGUUUUAGUUUUUUCUGAACAUAAUUUGUUGUUCAUUUGAAAUAACAUGGCAUAAUAUAUUCUAUAUGCUGUUUCAAUGAUGGGAAGAACAUUUAUCAUGUUGAAGCAUGCGAUUACUUCUGUUUUGCUUUUUUUCCUUCCAAAAAGAGGAUUAUCACGGGCCUCUGCAUCAAGCGAUGAAUACUGUCAUAUAGUUGUGUUGUGCUGCAUGAAUGAAUGCGGAAUGAUUCGGCGGUAGUGAAAAUCAUGAUUGUAUAGACAACAUUUGGCUAGAGUCUUAUAGAUGAUUGUAGGCACAUGGAUAAAAUUGCCUCCAUUAAGGAAUACAGUUGAGUAAUUACUUUGCUUAUAGAUGAUUGUAGGCACAUGGAUAAAAUUGCAAGGUAAAACAUAAAAGUAAUUGUUGUAAAUAGUUAAUGCAUUGCUUCACAUAUAUAGUUUUCUUCAACUAUAAGUUUAGUACAUUACUACCUCCUGUUUCACAUGUAUUAUUACUGAUGCAUUGCUACACUUGUAUGUGCAUGCUGGUCCAAGUGCUUCAAUUUAGUUGCUUGCUUCAACUAUAAGUUUAGUACUCAUGCAUUAACUGUAUGUGCAUUGCUACAGGUGUAUGUGCAUGCUGGUCCAACUAUUUUACAUGUAUUAGUACUGAUGCAUUAACUACAUCACUAUAUUGUUGAUCCAAAAAGUUCACUUCACAUAUAUUACAUGUAUGUGCAUGCUCGUCUAAAUGCUUUCCUUUAUUGAUAUAAGUGCAUCAUUUUACUUUAUCCCUGUUGUAUCAGAUUGUUGUUUAUUCAAUUUUGCAAGCACCACCUCAAGAUCAUCCAUGGCAAGGAUGACAAGGUCAAACCCGAGGCCAACCAUUGGUAUGCAAGUUGCUCCUUGUGGUUAUACUGUUAGAUUUAUAAAAUGUGUGUUAAUGUGCUAAGUGAAUUGUAAUAUGCGAAGUAAAAUAUCUUGGAGGCUGGUGAUGUAAAAUACUAUCAGAUUUUAUUAUGCAAAUGUAUUGCUGUAAUCUGAAUUAGCUGGCUUAGCUGUGCCUGUGUGGUGUUACUCUUCCUUAGCUGAAUAAGUAGGAUUAAAUGAUAAUAAAAUAUCAUAAGAUAUGUUUGGUUGUAUGUCCAUGCGUUCCAACAAUUAACCUAAUAAUUAUGUUUCCUUUGCCUAGCAAAGAUGAGCAUCCUCUCACCGAGUACGAGAAGGUUAGGGCUAGAAAUAUGAUGAGGAACAAUCGGAUAUUCUAGUCCCUUGGCAUUGGUGCAAUAUCGUCAAUGAUUAGAACUAAUGAGGUUGAAGAAGGUAGUGGAGUUAUCAAUGAUGACCCAGAGUACAAUCCUAAGGAGGAUGAAGUUGUAGUGCACAAGACUGUUAAGGUGCAAACUCUGUCUUGCUUGGAGGGUUCGAGUUCUUGAAUGCUCUCUGUUUCCUUGUGCUCACAUAUUCAUCUUUUGAUCUAAUGUUUUUUUCUGUGCUAUUUAUACAAGGCACUGAAGGAAUCUAUAACGAAGAAGCCUCGUGUUAAGAAGACAGCCAACAAGAAGAGGAAGAGCUCAGAAGCAUCUGCUGCAAUGCCACCAGGAAGGGUGAUGGCCCCACUUCCACGACAAACAAAGAGGAUCCUAGAACCUGAUGAACCUGGCAGAGUCACAACGCAGAAAGCAACUAUGGUGGCUGCGACGGACCAUCAGGAAAGUCCGCUGGGCAUGGACUUUGAGAGCUCGGUGGAAAUGCGUGAUGAGUUUCCGCCCAUGGAUGAAGAAACCACUCUCUGCAUGGAUGAAAGCGGCACUGUCUGCCUACGCGUCAGCCAUGGUGGACCUUCUAUUGAUAGGAAUGAUGUCAUCAGUGAAGAAGAACAACAACUUGUGCUUCAACCAGGCAAGUUCACCUUCUCUUUUACUAGUGCAUUUUGCAAAUGGAAGUGAUCAUGUAUGCUUACCUAUUUAGCAGAACCAUUCCUGCAUUUGUCGAUUUCUCUUCUAAUUUAUGAGUUCAAUUUCAUUUUCAGAUGCAAUAACUAACAAGCAUAGACUUAGAAAGGGCAAAGGGCUAGAGAGAAUAACCAUGUCGCUUGGCACAAAGGUGCAUAUCCAAAUUUCCCAUGGGAUGAAGCAUCCAGAGAAGCCUCUAAAGGCAGAAAAGUUUUUUCUGAGUGUGGACUCGUUGCAAGAAGCCAUCUGUCGGUUCUUCCUCACUUUAAGGAAUACAAAAAUAAUGAUACUCUAGUGGAGGACUACAUUGGGAAAGUUGGUGUAAGCUACUUGUUUUAUAGUUAAUGUGCUACUCUAUUUUCUGUUUUGUAGUUAAUGAUCACUAAUGUUGAUCCUUCCUUGUUUGCUGUCUUGGUAGGCAAAUUUUGAGAUGAACACAGACUCGGAGACAAUCAAGUACGCGUGCAAAGAUGUCCUACAAAAAAGUUCAAAGAAUCAAUGCCAUAAGAUCAAGAAGAAGUAUUUUGAUACCGCAACAGCAAACAAAGUGAGCACCAAGUCUCCGGUGCCAGAUCUGACGGACGGUGAAUGGCAAGCUCUGGUGCAGAUGUGGUCUAUCCCAAGACACAAGGUUUGUAUAUGCUUUGUUUGGUGAUUUAUGUUCUGCACAUCAGGAUGGGAAUGGGCCAUGGUUCCCUUCUUCCUCUUCCAUGUUUCUGAUUAGAGUAGGAACAAUAGAGAGCAUCAACUUUCAAAAUCAACACCAUAUGUAAUACACUGACUCUUAUAUAGUACUAGUUGUUCAUGUACUUGUGCUAGUGCAGGAUAACUGAAAUAUUUCCAAAUCAAAUAUGCUCAGACUCAUAUUGUCCUACUAUACUACUGCCUAUUCCACUUUCUUUCAACUUGGAAAAUAACAUUAUGCUUUUUUGUAGGAAACCUGUGUGUCGAACAAGAUUAAUUGAGAAAAAGUCGUGUACCAACACAGGACUGGUUCCAGGCACUACACAACACACAUUUUUGCCACUGUGAGUACCUUUUUCUAAAGACCUUACCGUUUGAUCCUCGUUGAAUAUCAUUUCUUAUUCUUGCUGGAUAACAUUUUGAUUUUUGAUGAAAAACAUUUCAGAAAGAAGAGCGUAAGGGUGAGUAGCUUCUUGUUCAAGGUCACCCACAACAGCAAGAAGCACGGGUUUUCGAAGCCAGUCAAGAUUGUUAUAGUAAGUCACUCCAUGCUUUUGUCCAGCUAGUUCAAACUUUUGUCUAUAGACCUCAGCCCUCUUUGAUUCAGAGCCACCAAGAACACACCCUAGAUUGCUGUUUGCUAGAGCCUAUGAUAGGUUUGGUAUCUCAACAAAGAUAUUAGAAUUUGUUGUACAGUUCUCAACAAAGAUAUCAAAAUUUGCUGUAGCUAUUUGUUGCAUUUUUAUGAUAUGAUGAAAAUUGAUCUGAAUGUUAGUUCUCAACAAAGAAGCCAUAUUAUAUAGAACCACCAUAUUGUUCCGAUUGCAUGUCUCUAGAUCACAUAAGUGUGUACACUUGUUGUAGCCAGUUUCAUAUAAUGCUUUAACUUUAGUAGUUAUCAUCUACUUCUGUUUGAGUUUGAGUAAAAUAUCUACAUAUAGAUUUUGUGUGCUAGUUUGAUUACUUCAAAUAAUCCAUUUCUUGGUCUGGUUCGGUGGCAUUCUUGCUUGGUUUCUCUAGCAGAAUGUGAAAUAGAUCUACCACUAAUGUCUAUCAUUUUCCUCCAUAUUCUAGCUUGUGUGUACACUUGCUGUAGCCAGAUUCAAAUAAUGCUUUAAGUUUAGUAGUUAUCUUCUACUUCUGUUUGAGUUUGAGUAAAAUAUGUACAUAUAGAUUUUGUGAGCUGGUUUGAUUACUUCAAAUAAUCCAUUUCUUGGUCUGGUUUGGUGGCAUUCUUGUUUGGUUUCUCUUGCAUAAUGUGAAAUAGAUCUGCCACUAAUGUCUAUCAUUUUCCUCCAUAUGCUAGCUUGAGAUGGAAAAAAUGAAGGACGCGCCGGUACCAGAAGGUGAAGAACCAAAGUCUGAUGCUGAGAUUGUUGAAGAAGUGCUCAAGACCGAAGUCAAGCAAAGCACAUUCGUUAGGAAUGUUGGUCUCAAGUCAUCUAGUAAGAACUUUGGCAAAGGAACUGCUGCUGUGGCUGCUCAUGUUCGUGAUCUUGAGCAGAAGCUGGAGAGGUCGGAGCUUCAAGAUGAAGUGAUGCAAGAAGAAAUGGCAGCAAUCAAGCUAAAGGCGGAAGAAUAUGAAGCUCCACGCGACAAGGAACUUGAGCUGCUACGCAAGAAGUCUCAAGAACACGAAGAGAAGUUAGCCCACUUGAUGGCUCUCUUCGGCGCUAAAGCAUCAUAGAAGUUGAACCUGUCGUAGAACCUGUCCUAGAAACAGUGAAGUGGGCUAACUUCUCAAGAACCUGAUGAAGUUAGCCCACUUGAUUGGUCAUUCUAAUUUACGACCUUUUCAUUUGGUCGUAAUUCUGCCAUGUCAGCCUGCCACGGUGGAUCUGACAUGGUGUGGAUGGAUUGCUAGUGACCAAAUCAGUUGGUCGUUAAACCUACGGCCUUCUGUUUGGUUGUAAAUCCUACGAGCAAUCCAGGAAAAAGGUCAUUAUAGUUCAUUAGAGACCCUCAGCUUUUGACCGUCUGUUUUUGGUCGUAAAAGGUCACAAAUGGAAAUCAAUGACCAUUCGGUGACCAAUGUUGAAGGUCGUUAGUUGACAUAUUUCUUGUAGUUCAUGCCAACAACAGGCCUAUGUUUGUCUCUAGCAUGAGGUUUAGCAAUUCUAGCAGCAUCUUCACAGAAGUGAAUAUCAUGGCCAUCAACAUUGUCGGACAGGAGAUCUUUGAUAAUAGCAAUGCUAGGUUCAACCCUAAUUUUCUCACGGGGUGUAGGUGUUCUAAUGUACCCCUACGUAUCACAGUUGAAGCUUUAGAAUGAUCCUUUAUUCUAAUAGGGAAAGGUGGUUUCUCAAUGUAAGCACUAGGAACAAUAGGAUAAUUAUAAGCAAUGACUUUCUCUUCAACUGGAUUGGGUUUAACCACAUUGAUUUCUAAGGGAGGAUGAUAUUUGAACCACUUCUCUUUAGGGAGAUUAAUAUGAGCACCAAAUGAUUCACAUAAUGAAGCUACUAUCUCAGAGUCAAAUCCAUGUUUAGUGCUAAAAUCACAAAAAGUAUUUGUUUCAACAAAGGAUUUAACGCAAUCAAACUUGAGAUUCACACCUGACUCCUUACCUUCAUGAAACUCCCAAUCUUUAGAGUUGCAUUUAAUUCUUUCCAAUAAAUUCCAUUUGAAGUCAAUAUCUCUCUUCAUAAAAGAACCGGUACAAGAAGUGUCAAGCAUGGCGCGAUUAUCAUGAGAAAGCCGAGCAUAAAAGUUCUGAAUAAUAAUUUCUCUCGAGAGCUCAUGGUUGGGGCAUGAAUAUAACAUUGACUUAAGCCUCCCCCAAGCUUGAGCAAUACUUUCUCUAUCGCGAGGCCAAAAAUUAUAGAUAUAAUUCCGAUCAAGAUGUACCAAAUGCAUAGGAUAAAACUUUUGAUGAAAUUCCAAUUUCAAUCGGUUGUAGUUCCAUGAUCCAGUAUCAUCACAUAGCCUAUACCAUGUCAAUGCUUUAUCCUUCAAAGAUAAGGGAAAGACCUUCUUCUUGACCUCAUCCUCGGGCAAACCUGCAAGCUUAAAUAAACCACAAACUUCAUCUAUAUAGAUUAGAUGCAAGUCGGGAUGUGAUGUUGCAUCUCUUGUAAAAGGAUUAGCCAACAGUUUCUCUAGCAUACCCGAAGGAAUUUCAUAACAAAUAUUUUCAGUAGGUGCAGAAGGUUGAGGAGCAACUCCUUGAACUUCCGUUCGAGGUGAAGAUACCCCGAACAAGCUCCUCAAAGGAUUAGUUUCCAUAGUGACAAGUGACAAUAAAUUUCAGCACACUACAUAAAUGUUUCCUUACCAAAGGCACUUCACUCCCCGGCAACGGUGCCAGAAAAGAGUCUUGAUGACCCACAAGUGUAGGGGAUCUAUCGUAGUCCUUUCGAUAAGUAAGAGUGUCGAACCCAACGAGGAGCAGAAGGAUCUAACAAGUGGUUUUCAACAAGGUAUUCUCUGCAAGCACUGAAAUUAUCGGUAACAAAUAGUUGUGUGAUAAGAUGAUUCGUAGCAAGUAGCAAGUAACAAUAGUAACAAAGGUGCAGCAAGAUGGACCAAUCCUUUUUGUAGCAAGGGACAAGCCUGGACAAACUCUUAUAGGAGGUGAAGCGCUCCCGAGGACACAUGGGAAAUUCUGUCAAGCUAGUUUUCAUCAUGUUCAUAUGAUUCGCAUUCGCUACUUUGAUAUUUUGGUAUGUGGGUGGACUGGUGCUUGGGUGUUGCCCUUACUUGGACAAACAUCCCACUUAUGAUUAACCCCUCUCGCAAGCAUCCACAACUACGAAAGAAGAAUUAAGACAAAUUCUAACCGUAGCAUUAAACUAGUGGAUCCAAAUCAGCCCCUUACGAAGCAACGCAUAAACUAGGGUUUAAGCUUCUGUCACUCUAGCAACCCAUCAUCUACUUAUUACUUCCCAAUGCCUUCCUCUAGGCCCAAAUAAUGGUGAAGUGUAAUGUAGUCGACGUUCGCAUAACACCACUAGAGGAAAAACAACAUACAACGCAUCAAAAUAUCGAACGCAUACCAAAUUCACAUGACUACUUAUAGCAAGACUUAUCCCAUGUCCUCAGGAACAAAAGUGACUACUCAAAAAGCAUAAUUAUGUUCAUGACCAGUGAGGUAUUGAAUAGCGUCAAGGAUCUGAAUAUAUAAUCUUCCACCGAGUAAUCCAACUAGCAUCAACUACAAAGAGUAAUUAACACUACUAGCAACCUUACAAGUACCAAUCAUAGUCGCGAGACGAAUAUUGCUUACAAGAGAUGAACUAGGGUUUGGAGAUGAGAUGGUGCUGAUGAAGAUGCUGAUGGUGAUGAGCCCCCUCUGAUGAGAGGAGUGUUGGUGAUGACGAUGGUGAUGAUUUCCCCCUCCGAGAAGAAAGUUUCCCCGGCAGGACGACCCUGUCGGAGCUCUAGAUUGGUUCUACUCAAGUUCCGCAUCGUGGCGGCGGCGAUACCUCCCGAAAGCCUCCUAUUGAUUUUUUCUGGAACGAAACCCUCCUUAUAGCAAAAGAUGGGAGCCAGAGGGGCAACAGGGGGCCCACAAAUCACCUAGGCGCGGCCAGGGGGGUAGGCCGCGCCUGGCAGGCUUGUGCCCUCGUGGUCGCUCCCCUUUGGUACUUCUUUCGCCCAGUAUUUGAUACGUCCAUUUUGCAUCAUGAUUUUAUGUUGAUAUUUAUCGCUUUAUGGGCUGUUAUUACACUUCACGGUACAAUACUUAUUCCUUUUCUCUCUUAUUUUAUAAGGUUUACAUGAAGACGGAGAAUGUCGGCAGCUGGAAUUCUGGUCUGAAAAAGGUGCAAGUUUGAGAUACCUAUUCUGCGCAACUCCAAAAGCCGUGAAAAUCAACGAGGAAUUAUUUUGGAAUUUAUAAAAAAUACUGGACGGAAGAAGUACCAGAGGGGAGCCACUGAUGACCCACAAGUAUAGGGGAUCAAUCGUAGUCCUUUCGAUAAGUAAGAGUGUCGAACCCAACGAGGAGAAGAAGGCUCUAAUAAACGGUUUUCAGCAAGGUAAUAAUUGCAAGCACUGAAAGUAGCGGUAACAAGUGAUGGUGUCCUAAGGUGAAAUGUAGCAAGUGAAAAGUAACAAGUGACAAGUAGUAGCAACGGUGCAGCAAAGUGGCCCAAUCCCUUUUGUAGCAAGGGACAAGCCUGAGCAAAGUCUUAUAAGAGGAAAAACGCUCCCGAGGACACACGGGAAUUUCUGUCAUGCUAGUUUCAUCAUGUUCAUAUGAUUCGCGUUCGUUACUUUGAGAGUUUGAUAUGUGGGUGGACCGGCGUUUGGGUACUGCCCUUACUUGGACAAGCAUCCCACUUAUGAUUAACCCCUCCCGCAAGCAUCCGCAACUACGAAAGUAGAAUUAAGACAACGUCUAACCAUAGCAUUAAACUAGUGGAUCCAAAUCAGCCCCUUACGAAGCAACACAUAGACUGGGGUUUAAGCUUCUCUCACUCUAGCAACCCAUCAUCUACUUACUACUCCCCAAUGCCUUCCUCUAGGCCCAAAUAUUGUGAAGUCUUAUGUAGUCGACGUUCACAUAACACCACUGGAGGAAAAACAACAUACAACAUAUCAAAAUACCAAAGGCAUACCAAAUUCACAUGACUAUUAUUAGCAUGACUUAUCCCAUGUCCUAAGGAACAAAACUAACUACUCACAAAGGAUAAUCAUAAUCAUGAUCAGAGGUCUAAUGAGUAGCAUCAAGGAUUUGAACAUAAACUCUUCCACCAAGUAAUCCAACUAGCAUCAACUACAAAGAGUAAUAAACACUACUAGCAGCUUUACAAGUACCAAUCGGAGUCGCAAGGCGGAGAUUGGUUACAAGAGAUGAAAUAGGGUUUGGAGAGGAGCUGGUGCUGAUGAAGAUGUUGAUGGAGAUGACUCCCCUCCGACGAGAGGAGUGAUGGUGAUGACGAAGGCGACGAUUUCCCCCUCCGGGAGGGAAGUUUCCCCUACAAGAUCGUCCUGUCGGAGCCCUAGAUUGGUUCUGCUCAAGUUCCGCCUCGUGGCGGCGGCGAAUCCACAAAAAAGCUCCACCCUGAUUUUUUCUCGGACGAAACCCUUCAUAUAGAAAAAGAGGGGGGCCAGUGGGCCACCAAGGUGCCCACAAGCCCUCUUGAUGCGGCCAGGGGGUAGGCCGCGGCAACCAGGCUUGUGGGCCCCUGGCAGCUCCCCUCUGACACUUCUUUCGCCCAGUAUUUUUUAUAUAUUCCCAAAAAAUUCCACGUUUAUUUUCAGGACAUUUGGAGUUGCGCAGAAUAGAGGACUCAGACUUGCUCGUUUUCCAGUCCAGAAUUCCAGUUGCCGGUAUUCUCCCUCUUCAAAUAAACCUUGCAAAAUAAGAGAGAAAAGUCAUAAGUAUGGUUCCACAAAGUAUAAUCACAGUCCAUAAAGCGAUAAAUAUCAACAUGAAAGCAUGAUGCAAAAUGGACGUAUCAACUCCCCCAAGCUUAGACCUCGCUUGUCCUCAAGCGAAAACCAAGACCCAAAACAUGUCCACAUGUUUAGGGAUGAAGGUGUCGAUAAAACAUAAUACGGACAUGAAGGCAUCAUGAUCACACAUAGAACAACAAUACAUCAUGAAGAUUCUUAUGGGAAAGUAACAAUUCCUUCACACAGCAAAGUGUGAAACUAAACCUUACCGAGAAGUAGCCAUCAACAGUCCAUAGUCAUUGAAACAAUUGCAAUUUAUCAUAUUAUCAGAAAGAGUCAAAUAAGAGCUUGUAAGGCAAAUCGACAUACUCAAUCAUCUCUUUUGUUUUCCACUAUUGUUACAACUUACGUGGUACUCAUGAUAUCAAAGUUUCAAUUGGACACAGAGAAAGAUAGGGGCUUAUAAUUUUGCCUCCCAACCAUUUACCUCAAGGGUAAAGUCAACAAUAAUAAAGCAUAAGUACUCAUCUCCAAGUUGAUAUAUGAAUAUAGAUCUUUCCCAAGCAUAUGACGUUCACCAAGAAAAAGGCUAAAUAAGGAAUUGGUGAAGAUCACAAUGACUCUUACAAAGGAAAAAAGUAAAGGUACAAGAUAGGCCCUGCACAGAGGGAAGCAGAGGUUGUCAUGCACUUUUGAGGUUUGGAUGCGCGUCCUCUUAGUGCGGAGGAACGUCAGUUUAUAUUGCCUCCUGUGAUAAAGAACUUUAUUAUGCAGUCUGUCGCUUUUAUGUCUUCCUCAUCACAGGUUCGUACAAAGCUUAUUUUCCACACACUAAUAGAUCAUACAUAUUAGAGAACAAUUUUUAUUGUUUGCACCGAUGACAACUUACUUGAGGGAUCUUAUUCAAUCCAUAGGUAGGUAUGGUGGACACUCAUGGCAAAACUGGGUUGAAGGUUUAUGGAUGCACAAGUAGUAUCUCUACUUGGUGAGGGAGUUUUGGCUAAUAUGAGGUGGAAGCAAUCGUCACAUGCUAAGGGAUCUCUAAUCAUAUAACAUUGUUUGGAACCAAGCAAACACAAUUCAUUAUGUUGUCUUCCUUGUCCAACAUCUACUUCUAAGCAUGUAAUAGUUUGGUGAGUGCUCACAAUUAUAGAAGGUGUCUAAGAUGGUAUAUUUAUAUGUGGACCUCUCUUUCCUUAUUAAUUCUUUUUAAUUGCAACAAUGACUGAGGUCUAUGUUGGUCUACUCUCAACAAGUUUCAAUCAUCAUACUUGUUAUAUGUGAAGCUAUCACUUUCCAUAAGAUCAUCUCAUGAUCUUUCAUGCUAUCGUUCUUUUCAUACUUUUGAUCACGACACAAAACAAAGCCCUUGACUAAGAUACUCUUUAUUAUAUAGCUCGCAAGCUCGAAUACGUCGGGGGAGACACAAGACAAAAGACUCAAACUAUAACACUAAAGACUUAUUCCACUAAGAGAAGAAAUAAAAACUGAAAAGGAAAGAACUAAAACAAAGGUAAAAGCAAAAGAUAUAAAGGUGAUACGAUACCAGGGCAACUCCCCCAAGCUUGGCAUAAGCCAAGGGAGUUGCCCAUACCANCGUCAUUUUCCUCCUCAAGCUUGAACACUCUAUGGUAAAGUUCCUGCUUACUCUCCUCCAAGGAACGAGAAGGGAUAAACAGGGUCUUAGGCUUCUUCCUUUGGUCAGGGAGGCUUGACUUCUUGAACACCACAUGGGUGCGUCCUGGUUGAGGCAGAGGAGUCUCAUCUUCAUCGGAACUCAUUUGUUCCUUCCCUUUGGGAUCAUAGUCCUUUUCCCCGUUAGUGGUCCAGCCAUAAUGUUCCAAAUCCCCAUAGACCUUCGGGUUAGCAAGGUAAUCAGCCACAUAGCUCUCCCCCUCUGAAUCUUAAGAAGACAUCUUGACCUAGAUCUGCCGCGGAAAAUAGGCUCGAAACGAAAACAGAGGAAAACUGCACGAUACGGAGAUCAAAACCCUCGGGCGUAUAUAUAAUGAUUUUUUCUAGACCAGAAGGAGUGCUCCGCAAGAAAACGGAGUCCGGGAGGCACACGAGGUGCCCACAAGCCCUGUUCCCGUGGCCAGGGGGGAGGCCGCGGCAACCAAGCUUGUGGCCGCCUCGUGCGCUCUCCGGACUGCUUUUUUGUUUUUCUAAUUUUCCAUAAAUUCCAAAACGGAGAAAAAUUCCUAUUGGAAAGGUUUCAGCGUUCAAUUACUUACCAAAACACAUAUCUCUUCGUUUUGAGGGUCUGAAACAGGCUGAUAAACAUCCCUUAUGUACUCCUCUGGAGUUAUGAUAUUGAUGAUAUUGGUCUCAACAUUUAUGGGAGUACCAAAGAUGUAAGGCUUGAUUCUUUGCCCAUUUACCACUCUAGGAAAAUUACCUUCCGUGUUAUUGAUUUUGAUGGCACCGGAACGAUAUACUUCCUCGACAACGUAGGGACCUUCCCAUUUAGAGAGAAGCUUGCCUGCAAAGAAUCUUAAACGAGAAUUGUAUAGCAGGACAUAAUCACCUACAUUGAACUCUCAUUUUUUUAUUCUUUUAUCGUGCCAUCUCUUAACCUUUUCCUUGAACAACUUGGCAUUCUUAUAUGCCUGGGCCCUCCAUUCAUAUAAUGAGCUGAUAUCAAACAACCGCUUCUCACCAGCAAGUUUGAAAUCGAAGUUGAGCUCUUUGAUUGCCCAAUAAGCUUUGUCUUCCAGCUCAAGAGGUAAAUGACAUGCCUUACCAUAAACCAUUUUAUACGGCGACAUGCCCAUGGGAUUCUUAUAAGCAGUCCUAUAAGCCCAUAGUGCAUCGUCAAGUUUGCUAGACCAAUUCUUUCGAGAUCUAUUGACGGUCUUUUGUAAGAUCAAUUUGAUCUCCCUAUUACUGAACUCCACUUGACCACUAGACUGAGGAUGAUAAGGAGAUGCAACUCUAUGGUUGAGAUCAUACUUAGCAUCUUGCGGAAAACACCAUGAAUGAAGUGUGAACCGCCAUCAGUCAUCAGAUAUCUAGGGACUCCAAAUCUUGGGAAAAUUACUUCUUUAAGCAUCUUAAUAGAGGUGUGGCGAUCAGCAUUUCUAGUGGGGAUAGCUUCUACCCACUUAGUGACAUAAUCCACAGCAACUAAGAUCUGAGUAUACCCAUUGGAACUCGAGAAAGGUCCCAUAUAAUCAAAGCCCCAGACAUCAAAUGGUUCAAUGAUAAGUGAAUAGUUCAUAGGCAUUUCCUGACGCUUACUGAUAUUCCCUAUUCUUUGGCAUUCGUCACAAGACAAGACAAACUUACAUGCAUCCUUGAAGAGAGUGGGCCAAUAGAACCCUGAUUGCAAUACCUUAUGAGCAGUUCUGUCUCCAGCAUGGUGUCCUCCGUAGGCUUCGGAAUGACACUUCUGCAGGAUCUGUCCCUGUUCAUGUUCAGGCACACAACGUCUAAUAAAACCAUCUACUCCUUCCUUAUAGAGGUGAGGAUCAUCCCAAAAGUAGUGUCUCAAAUCAAACAAGAAUUUCUUCUUUUGCUGGUAGGUGAAGAUGGGUCGUAUGUAUUUGUCUACGAUAUAGUUUGCAUAAUCAGCAUACCACGGUGCACUAUGUGAAGUGCGGAUGACAUUCAAUUGCUCAUCAGGAAAGCUGUCAUCAAUAGGUCGUGGGUCAUCAAGGACAUUCUCUAGCCUAGAUAAGUUAUCUGCUACAGGGUUAUCAGCACCCUUUCGAUCAACAACGUGCAAAUCAAAUUCCUGUAGCAGGAGAACCC